CUAUUUCGAAGUUUUUUAACCAUCUCCUUCAUCAGAACAAGGUGGAUUUCAUUGAACAGUUCAAUGAGAAGCUUGUUGUCAAACAAAGGAACAAGACCACCAAAUUCUUGAUGUAAGUUGUUUUUUGUCUUAUAUUUGUAUAUUACUUUGUAGCAUGUUUAGCACGAAGAUUAGUUAGCAAUGAACUGUAAUGAAGAAAGAAAGUGGAGUUAACAACCUUAUUCGGUCAUUUCCCAUUUUGCGCACCAAACAUGCACUUGAUGUUUACAUCCUAUAAAAUCUAUACGAGUCCGCAACUUGGACUUAAAGUUAGUAGAAGUGAAUUCCUGUUAAAAUAUUUUGUACAUGUACAUAAGGCGUUCCUUUUUCAUUUGCUAUUUUCAUCCGUCCUCCCACAUUUUUCAACACUAAAAUCAUAUGGCUUAAUCAAUUUCAGCACGAGUAAAAAAAAUAUUACACACGGCUUCAUCUUCAUCAACUUUUCCCCUAUGAUAAUAUACAGGUUUCACUUCUUUUUGUGCUCAUAUUUUUGUUUAGGUUUGGCAAUUAGAUAAGCUCAGCUGCUUUUAUUUCUUUCUCGUCCAUUUUUUUAGUCUAGGUAUAAAUAUGUUUCCGUGUAUGCUAUGGGGUUGUGAGACAUGAAUAUUGAAUCAAUUGGAAACAUGCACCAAACAUCUUCACAUCUUGUAAAAUCCAAUAUCUUUUCCAUAUACAAUUUCACAAUUCUUCUGUGUCUUUUGCCUCUACAAAAACCGCUCUCUAUAUUUCUCUCCUUGGUUCAGCCAAGUUAAAUGGUGAAUUUUUUUAUUUUUUAUUUAUUUUGCCUGAAAAUUUUAUGUGAGAGUGCACAGGUGUAUGAGACUAUGGAUGUUGGUUAAGUGUGUAUUUAUAUGAGAAAUAGUGAGAGAGAUUGAGAAAUAGUAGUGAUAUGCACCAAACAUGCACUAAACUUGCACUUAUGUUGACAUCAUGUGGAAUCUAUUACCUUUUGUGUACACAGGUACACAAUUCCAAGUAAAUAGAAGUUAUUACAAAUGAUAAUUGUCGUCAAAUGUAACACUCCAAAUUUUCAUAAACUUUGGAGUGCUACCAAAAAAUGCACUUUUCUUUGUGUUAAAGGCAGAACGAUGAAAUAAAAUUCUUUAUAAAAAAAUAACUGGAACAUUCAUAAAUCUAAAUGAAAUCAUUGAAAUCGUAUCUUUGAAAAAAAAAAAUAAACACGCAACUAAUUAAAUAACACGUUUUUGAACAAAUUAAACUAACUAACAAAUUGAAAAAUAGAAAACUUAAUGCUUUUAUUUUUAUUUUUAUUUUGAAUUAUCUUUGCAGCCCGUAUCACUAUCCCCCACCAUUUCAACUGACCUGUAAAUUUUUUUGUAAGAGGGAGUAUUUAAAAAUAUCCAGUAAGAUACGUGCAAUUUUCGUGGAUAAUUAUAUAACAAUAAAAUCUACAUUUCAUACCACAUUUCUCUUAUGGAGUAUAUUGGUGACCAAACGACAUACUUAUCAUUAGUCAUUUAAAUUUCCAAAGGAUUUCACAUUUCGUUAUGAAGAACCCAAUAGAGUUUACAUUUCGUUAGGUCGAACCCGAAGGUCCACCGAUAAUUCAUGCAUAAAUUAUUGGAUUUAAAAGUAUACUGAAAUAAAUCAUUUACACAAAAGUAUCGUACUUUGAUUUUGAAAGGUUGGAAAAAAUAAGAUCUUGCACGUAAAAAUUCUCUUCUUAUUUUUCUAUACCUUUUCCUCUCCUCUCUCUUUAUCAUGGCUCUCUUUAUUUUCCGUGAUGAAAUAAUGCAAAUUCUUGCAGUAGUUAUGGUUGAAAUCUCAAUUGAGUUUGCAUGCAACUAGAAUUGAAAAACCUUGUAAUAUAAGGAAUUUGAAUAAGAAUUGAUUUCAAAUGGUAUAGUAGUAUACUCUACUAUUGAUUUUCCUGGUAUAAUCAUCCCAUUAAAAGUAGGACACUUGGCCAACUAGUGCUUGGUUUCGAAAAGUGAUUUGAAUUGCACUAUACUAUUGGUUUCAUAUAAAUCACGUGUGGUAGGAAUUACAAAAUUAAAAGAAUUUUACAUAAUUAAUAUUGCAAGCCCCACCAACUCGAUUAACUUGUUAUUCUUUUAAUCUGACUUAUCUUGAUGCAGUCUAAUCCAAAAUAACUUUUUUUCUCGUGUUAAUGACUUCUAACUAAUUACGAGCUACAAAAAGUAUUCAAUAUCGAUAUACUUAUUCCCUAUAUCAAAAUCUAAUUAUUUGCCCAAAAUAAAAUUAGAAUUAAACUAUUUCACUUUAGUUCCUCUACUUUCAAAAUAUAAAUAUAUAGCAUAUGGAAUAAAAAAAAUUUAUUCUAUAAAAUUUUCGGAGAAUUACAAACUUUCCUCUUUAAAAAGAAUUUCGUCCUCAAAAUUACCUGAGUUGGUUAACAUGUUUUGGAUACUUGACUUUGACAUACUUAUAAUAGUACAUAACAUGAAGCAAGAAAACUCUUAAUCAUGCUAAAAGAAUGACAUUUCAUUUCAUACCUUGGAUCCAUCGGAGAGUGGUUGAACAGUGAGUGUCGCGUGCCAAGAAUUUUUUUUUAUUUUUAUCAUUGCAUGGUUAAGACUUUAAAAAUUUUACAUUGCCCUUAAAUUCCUAAUGUUUAUGAAAAUACUUUAUUUUCAUUUCUAUUAAAAUUUUUCUAAAAUAGGAUUUUCUCAAAAUAAAAGUUUUCAAAAAGAUAAUUUUUUUAAAUUUGGAAUGGUUUAAAAUAUUGUUUUUUUGUCUUGUUGAUUUAAAUACUGCGCAACCAAGUCUUUCAGAUAAGGGGGGAUCACAAGUGGACCUCUUAAAUCAUGAGCUCUUCUUAAACAGUUUAGGCAACCUUUCAAUUUUACUAAUACGUAAAUCAAGAAAAUUCAAACAAUAAGUAGGAACUAGAGAUCUCUUAAAACAUAUAUUUCUAAUUGACAAAUUCCUAUCAAAACUCAUUUUGUUGGGGCAAAAAAAAAAUGUCUACACAAGGUGGAACCUGGGCUCUGAUACCAACAGGGUGGUGGGACAUCAAGAUUGAAUCAAUUAGCAAAUGGUGGGUUUCAGAAGGAUCAAGACUAGCGGGGUAUGAUGAGGAUUCUUACGAUGCCUGAAAAAUUGACAAAGAAGUGGAGAAGCUUUCUCCCAAUGGUGAUUUUGAAGACAAUUUAGCUGCCUAUCAUCAUUAUGUCUCUCAUAUCAUGCUCGAUGAGAGCCAAAGCCAAGAUUUGACGCAAUAUCAAACAAGAGAUCUGAAGAGAUUUCUUUGAAUGCAGUAGGUAAAAGUGAUGCAGAUGCUGAUGAUGAGGAAAUUGAAAUAAUUCCGAGGAUGGUGAAGAUGUUUCCGUUUGCUACAGAUGAAGGUUAAUGAAAGCAUGAAGAAGAAGAUGGAGAGCUUGAUGUUAAAGCCGAAAGUGAAGGCAAGUCUGAGAAUACGAGUAAUGGUGCACUAAUGCCACAGUUUGAUAUUUUUUCUGCUCACAUGUAAACAUGGCCUCUCUUUUGAGAGGCAGUGAUGGAAAUGAUAGAAAUCCACCAACUAGAGGUAGAAGAGGUUAUACUUUGUUUUCACAAGCUAUUCCUAUAUUUUUCAACGUUUUAAAAUUCUAAAUUCAUACCGAUUUCAUCAGUUUUAGCUUGUGUCGAAGAAUAUCUACUCACAACUUCAUCUUCAUCAACAAUUCCUAAGAUUAUAUAUAGGAUUAUGGAAAAAAAUUUCCAUUUCCAUGACUGUAAGAGCAUACUUACAGCAAACAUGCACCUAAUGUGCACCAAAUGUACACUUAGAUGUUCACAUCUUAUAAAUUUUGAUAUCCUGUGCAUAUACGGGUUCACAACCCUAAAUUAUUAGAAGUCAGUUCGAAGACCCUUUCUUCUUUCAAAGAAAAAUUGAGUAAAAUUUCUUUUUUUCCUACCAUUUUCUUCUCUAUAGAUAAGACUCUUUAUUUUUCUAUUUGUAGUUUAGCAAAUGUGAAAUGGUGCGGACGCUAGUGGAGCCAGUUCUUUGCGAGCCAACGCUAUCGCUCGUGCUGGGUUCUCCAGAAUUAACGGGUCCUAUGAUGAUGAAGUUCAAGAAGCAGGGUUUACCUGAUCUGACUUUUAUGAAUGGAGAAAUGAACGUAAUGGAAAGUGGAAGCAGAAAUUGGAGGUGAUAACAUAGUAGUAGCUUAACUCGUGGAUUUGUGAUUGGUUUUGGGCUAUGAACCGGCCCAAUAGUUUAUAAGUCCAUCACUGAUACAUGUGGAAUUUCAAGAAUUAUUUGUGAUACAUUUGUGACUUGGUAUGUAAGACCUAUGUGAUAUUGAGAUCGGCCAGAAAAUUGUCCAUGAUUAUAUAUUUCUUCUAGUUCACUGAGAGGCCUUGACCGUGUUCUAUACUAGACUAAGGAGUCUUUACUAGGGAUGAAAAUGCCUUGACCAUGUACAUAUAGUUCAUUUAGGGGUCUUGGCUGUGUUCUAAAAUUAAUUAUGAGAGAUUUUUGAGAUCAACUUCCGUUUACCGAAGGGGCUUAAGGCCCAUGUUGGGAGUGCUUAGCCCAAUGGGUAGUCUACACAUGUAUGACCAGCUUACACAUUUCAAUUAGAGGGUACAUUUUUAGUGAAUUUUUUCAGUACGUUUGAUACGAUGAGAUUAUAGUAUGAUUAACAGCUUAUGUUUAUAUCAUGACUUGAGAUGAUAUUUUACGAAGUUAUGUGAAUGUCUCAUUUUUUAGUUUUAAUUAUAUGAAGUUAUCUUGUGAAUUAUUAAAUGAUAUGAACAUGAUUUUUGAUAAAAAUGUAUAAAUGAGAAGGUAUAAUUAUUUUCGAAUUUCUCCUCUCACUGAGAUAUCAACUCAUAUAUUUUCCUACGUUUUUCUUAUCAAGCAGCAGUUAAGUAUCUGGGCACCUUUUGAAGUUGAGCUUUUGAUUUUGGAGUCAGAGCCAGACGACAGGAUUUGCUAGUAUGACUUACUUCAUAGAAUGUUCAUGUGUAGGUGUGAUUUUGCAUCAUUUGUAGAUAGUUAUGGGGCUCACUAUGUAUGUGUAUCCAUAUGUACAUUUCAUAUUAUUAUCUGGGUGAAAAUUGAGAUUUAGGCUUAUUUUUAUUGUGUUGUGUUAUGUUCUGGGAUUUGUGUAUAGUGAAUUACAGGUUGAUUAGUCAUAUUUACAAGAGAGAUAAUGUCGAAAUUUUGUUAAAAAUAAAUUAUAAAAAGUAGUGUUUGUAGUAGCCUUGAUGCUUGAUCCGACUUUUAGUUGGUAUUUAUCAUCGGUGCAUGCCACAUUCCAAGUCCAGUAACAUUACAUGGGGCAGGGCAUGUAAUCGAUGUGGGCUAAAAUUGAUAAUUUGAGAAUCGAAGCAAGUUUGGAUAACUAGUUAAAAUAGGGGAAAAAUGUCUUGCAUCCCUUAGAAUUAAACAAUUAUUUUAGACUUAAUAUAUAUACUAUUGAACCACCUGAAACAAGAACUUGCAUACUUUGUUGUUAUCAAUUUGGAUUCAAAAUAUGCUGAAUUCACCGUCCCUGAUAAUUUUAUUAUACAGUGACUAGCAGCGUGAAAUUAAAUCAUGCAUCAACAAGUGAAAAAUAAAGAAAGCAUAAGAUUGAAUAUUAAAGCAAGUUAUAAACACGAAGAAAGUAUAUAAUUAAUAAAACUAAGUAAACCAUCCUGGAAGGGGUGAUGAUUACUCUUAAAGCACUGCAUUCAAGGAGGGAAAACUAAGCCAUUACUAGUUCUACUGUUGCAUGCUUGAUGGUUCUGCAUUUUGUCGAUUGAUUCCAUUUCCUCCCUUGUGCUAUCCUCCGUGAGAUCUCUCUCUUUUUCUCUCUAUACAUAUUUUGGAAAAGCGAUUUGAGAAUGUGACUACUUUCUGAUUAAGAAGAAGAGAGGUUAUACUAUUGUAAGUUGGCGAGUUGUUAAGCUUUCAUUUGGAAAACAAAUAUACAAACUAUUUAGAAAUUAAGUCAAAGUUAAUUAUAGAUUUCAAUUUCCAAUGCACACACAUGACAAUUAAAGGAGUGUAUAUAUUGAUUUAUCAAUUUAUAGAGAACGUUCUAGAAUUUUGUAAAAGGAAAAAAUCACUGCCUCGCACAUGGAACACACCAUGCCUACACGUAACAUGCGAAUAGGCGCAUGUAUGAUACAUAAUAUUUUUGUUUAUAUAUUCUAACAUGGUCACAUAAUAUUGGCAAAUUAUUUAAUUUUCAAGGUAUUCGAAUAAAUAAUCCAUAAAGUACCAAAUGACCUUCCUCUUCUUACUAUUUCGCUAACUUCAUUCAAAAUCACGUGAAAGAUAAUCACGUGUCAUGAAUUAAAAAAGAGACAAAAGUAUAAGAAUUAAAAUUAAAGCAAGUUAUUUGGAACAAAAUAAAUAUAUUAUGGCUUGCGCACUUGAACGAAAAAUGAAGUCAUUUAAUUAUGUCAUAUUAUACAAAUUGAAAGACAUUUAGGUUUGUUUAUUAGUGUUUUUUUUUUUUUUUUGUACAAAGGAAGAAGGCAAAAAGACUCAAAAUACCAUGAUUAUGUGGUCAACAAUGUUGUCACUUCCAUUAAUGAACAACCAAGGUAAGGCAUAUAUUUAUUUAUUUAACUCGUUCGUUUGCAUUUUUCUGUUCCUUUUUUAAGUUACUUAAUGUUAUUAUGUGCAUAAUUAUUGAUGAAAGAAGAGGACAUCGAGCAUCACAAAUGUCGACAAGGCCCCCUAAGAAGAGUCCAUCUGAAGACGUAAAUGAAACAAGAUCAAACAGGGAGAAGCAUCAUGCUUUAACAAUGAGAGCAAUAAUCAUCCACGUUUAAUAAGGGAAAACGCAGUGAGUUGAAGCCCUACCCAAGGUAGCUUGUCAAAGAACUACCACACCAAGAGCUCUAAGAGUAUAAGGAGAAGGUAAAGUCCAAGUAGCGAUUACAUUUACAUUUUUCUCAUUACAUUGCACUUUGAUUAUGAAUUAAUGGACAGUUCUUUCUUUUGCAAGAUUUGGAUUUUCUUAUUAGUAUAAAAAAAUUGAAAAAAGAAACCACCAAAUCAGGAACAUCAGCAAAUUUAUGAGGAGCAUGGAAUUAUGUGAUGCUUUGAACAUGUUCGUAAUUCUUGGUAAUAAAGAUUUGGUCGAAAACCUUAAAAUAAUCGAGUGGUGGAAUUUUCAUGAAGAUGAAGUCACGAGUAGAGAUUCUUUGAUGCAGGCUAAAAUUGAUGAUUUGAGGAUCGAAAUACGUUUGAAAAACUAGUGAAAAUAGCAAAAUGACUUGCAUACUUAAGAGUUAAAACAUGAUUUUAGAGUUGAUAUACGUUGAAGAUGUACUACUGAACCACCUCAGAUGAGAACUUGUAUCCUUUGUUGUUUCCAAAUCGGAUUCGGCAUAAAGAGUCUAGCAGUGUGAAAGAAAAUUAUGUAUCAUGAAGUGAAAAAUUAAUAAAAAUUAUUAAGACCAUCCAAGGAGAGGUGAUCUACUCAAGCCAGUCAAAAUGUAAAGUGUUCCUUAAUGUUGGGAAAACACCUCCCGAAGAUUGCCCAAAGAUCAAUCAAAGUUGACAAUAUGAAAAUAUCCAAACCACUUCAAGAACAAGGAAAUGAGGAAGAAAUGAUUUCAAUGUAUAUUGGAAGAACAAUGUAUUGGAUUACUUGAACAAGCCUCAAGUUAAUCCCAAAGAAAGAAAAAAUGGCUUUGAAUUUAUACCCAAGAAGAACAAACUCUUACUUGUAAAAUUCUAUCCAAGCCCUCUCGGUUUAUCUCUCUCAAAAUCGUGCCUAGGUCUUGUGUUAUGUUGAAAGAGGCAAAAAAACCGUGUAUAUACCUAGGCGCUAACAUUCUGUUUGGCUUCUGCACUCGGGGCGCCUAGGCGCCAUGUUUCUGCCGGGGAGGCAGAAACUGGGCGCCUGGGCGCCCGGCAGAACCAGCCCCUUCUCUUCCUUCUCUUCUCAUUCCUUUCUCUUCCUUCUCUUCUCACACUUAAUAUGUGCGAAGAUAUAGAAAGUAGGAUUAAGGAGAUAUUGUAACACUCCGAAAUUUCAUAGCAUAGAAUUAUUUGGUGAUAAUAAUCUUGACCAAGAUGGCUUUAGAUAAUUUUGAAAUAGUUGAGGGAUUAAAAUGAAAUAGGUAUUAAUUAUUAUUAUUUUGGGGCAAAUAAUUUUUUAUUGAUAAAGUGAGAUUUUGUAUAUCGAUAUUGGGCAGGAUGUAAUUGACUAGAUAUUAUUUUUGGUAACACAAAAUCAGCGUCGUGUGCAUGAAAUAUUUAUUUAAUUAGUUAGGUGAUUAUGUUAUUUUUUAACCUAUGUUUAAAUUUAUAGAUAUUUCAAUUAUUUUAUUUUAAUCAUUAAGAGAAGUAUGUUUUUGGUAACACUCCAUGGGUUAUAAAAAAAUUUGGGUGUUACAUAUUGGAAUAUGUAUUUGGCUUUCAAAUAACACACUCUUGAGUUAAAACAAGGCUCUACUAAUGAAGGAUCAAUAUAUGGGUUGAACAAUGAACAAAUAAUAUAGUUGUUAAAUCAAGCAAUCAAUGAAUAAUGUUUGGAUCUUCAAAGAAUGAUCUCUAUAAUCAAAAUAUUGUUCAACCACACUUUUGGACAUCCCAUAAGGUAUAUAUUUAUAAUGGGUAAUGUUUGGGACGAAAAUGAACUCAAAAAUAUCUUGAAAAUCGAUUUUUAUUAUUCCUUAUAUAAACACAUUGUUUGAGCGCCAGUCUAGUAUCAGGCGAGUGGCAGCAAAGUCAAUAUUUUCAUCAUAACAUUCUAUUCUGAUGUCUUAUUAUGGUGAUUCAAAGUGCAUUUGAAUGUUAUCUAAGGUACUACAAUUUUCUAGUUUAACAUUUUACAAAUUCUAAUGUUUUCUUUUUGAAAAAUUCAUUGCAACUUGUGACUGAGAAUUUGGCGCAAAACUUAAGUAAUAAUUUGACACUCCUUUGAUUUCUAAUUGCAUUUUAUUGAUCAUAUGUGUUCUUGGAUAUCUUUGGCUCCUCCAAGGACUAUAGUACCAAACCUUUAUUAUUUUGACUUUAUUUACACUUCAUUACUCCUAUUUUAACUUUAGUUACAAUACAAUUAACUAGAAGUGGACAAAUGUCUAGAACAAACCAAGCUAAUCCAAAACCAAAUCAAACCAAGUGGUUCGGUUCGAUUCUAUCAAAAAAAUUAACGGUUUUGGUUCUUUGAUCCAAGAACCAUUUUGUUUUGGUUUUGGUUUGGGUUUGAUUCUAGUUCAAGAACCAGAACCUAAACCAAACUUAACAUUUAAUUAUAUAUAUGAAUUAUUGGAGACUCUAAUUUUAUAUUCAUUGAAAAAUAGCCCAUUAAUUGAAUUAGUCUAUUAAUCGAUUUUUGGUCAUUAUAGAUAGACAGCUUAUUAGUUGUUUACACCCUAAUAAUGUAUUCAUUUCAAUCAUUUCUCCUUCACUCCAUUUCAAUUUACAUGCCUCGGCAUGCUGGUAUCACAUUUCAUCAAGUAAGUGGAGUAUCUCUUCAAGAUCGGAAAAUAAACUUGGUUAAUUACUUAACAAGUUUUUAAACUAUUUUUUACCUAUACAAGUGAACUGUAAAAUUUUUGCAUAAUUCAUUCUUUAUUGUAGUUGUGUGCCUUCAAAUCUGCUGCAAUUAAUUUAGUGAAUCAUUGCUAUUACUUAUUAAACGUUUUUAGUAUGAGAAUGAAAACUGAUUUGUAUAUUCAAAUUAUGACUAUAUUUUGUUUGUUAGUUAUGACUUUUUUGAUCUCUAUGAUUGAAAUUUGAACUUGUUCAAUGUUUGAUAUUUAUUCUUUUUUUAUUUAAGUAUAUAUUACUAACUUAAAUGGUACAAAUAUGAAAAUUUAAGAAAUGAAGCUAAAACCAAACCAAAACAAACCAAAGCCGAACGGUUUGGUUCCAUAUCUUUCAAAAAACCAUUUGGUUCCAUUAUAUAUAUAAAAAAAAACAUUUAUUCAUGGUUCGGUUUGGUUCUAUUGGAACCAGAAUUAAAUGGAAUCUUGUCCACCCCUACAAUUAACUCCUAAUACAAUUCAACAUGAUUUUGACUAUCAAAUUGCCAAUUACAGAUUUAGAAUUUGCCAGCUAUAUAAUUUGGACCUAACACCUCUACUAUCCUCCAUCAGACUUCUCACUUUCUCUCUAUAUAUAGAAUUUUGGGAAACGAUUUUGAAAUUUUGAUCAGUUCCUGAUUAAAAGUAGUCAAGUUAUACUAUCGACAGUUGGCUAGUUGUUAAGCCUUCAUUUGGAAAACAAAUAUAUAAAUGGUUUAUAAUUUUAGUCUGAGUUAAAUAUAAUUUAUAAUUUCAUGUGCACAUAAAUAAUGAUUAAUGGAGCAUAUAUAUUGAUUUUUCAAUUUAUAGAGAAUGUUCUAGAAUUUUGAAAAAGAGACACCCACCUCGCACAUGAAACCACCAUUCCCGCACGUAGCAUUCAAUUAUGUGUAUGUAUGAUACAUAGUAUAUAUUUUCAUAUAUUCUGAAAAAUUCACACAAUAUAUUGGAAAAUUAUAAAAUUUUCGAGGAAAAUGAUUUUUUUUAAAAUUUGAAUAAAUAAGUACGUAAUUAAUAAACAAACCUCAUCUCCUUAAUUUUCUCUGAGUUGUUAAAAAUUACGUGGAAGCAGAUCACCUAUCAUGAAGUGAAAAUAAAGAAAGCAUAAGAUUAAAAAUUAAGGGAAGUUAUUUAGAACUAAGUAAAUUUGUACAUCAUUUACGGCAGCUAUAUGUUCCAUAUGGCUUGCCCACUCAAACCAAAAAUGAAGUAGAUAAAUUAACAAAUUGAAACAUACAUUAGUUUGUUUUAUUACUAUGUAUUUCCUAUGUAUAAAGGAAGAAAGCAACAAAGACUCGGAACAACAUGAUUAUGUGGUCAACAGCGUCGUUGUUCCUCACUAAUGGACAAGAAAUGUAAGGCCUAUUAUUUGAAAAGUAUAAGAUUGAAAAUUACAAGUUAUUGAGAGAAAAUUAAUCUGUAUCAUUUAUUGCUGCUAUAUGUUCUCAAACCUAUUAGUUCCACAUGGCUUGCAUACUGAAACGAAAAAUGAAGUAAACUAAAACAUAAUAUCCUACAAGUUGAAACCCAAUUUAAUGUGUUUAUUACUAUAUAUUAUCUGUGUACAAAGAAAGAAAGCAAAAAAGACUCGGAACAAACAUUAUUACGUGGUCAACAACGUUGUUGUUACUUUCACUACUUAACAACCAAGGUAAGGCAUACAUUUAUUUAUUUAACAGGUUCGCAUGGAUUUUUAUGUUUUUCCACUUAUAUAAUGUCAUUAUGUGAAUAACUAUUCAUGAAAAAAGAUGAUAUCAAGCGUCACAAUUGUCCACAAGCCCCACUGAGAAGCGUCCAUGAGAAGACGUAAAUCAAACAAGUUCAAAGAGGGAGAGAUAUUAUGCUUUAAUAAUGAGAGCAAAUAAUCAUAUCGAUGUAAUAAGAGACGAGUCGAAGCCCCACUAAAGGUAGAAAUUCUCAAAGAACUACCACACUAAGAGCUCCAAGAGAAUAAGGAGAUGGUGGAGUCCAAGAAGCAAUCAUGUUUACGUUUUUCUAAUUACCUCGCACUUCAAUUCUAGAUGGACUGUUUAUCAUUAUUAUUAUUAUUAUUAUUAUUAUUAUUAUUAUUAUUAUUAUUAUUAUUAUUAUAAAAGAAAUACUUUUUUUUGGAAAAUGAAACCACCGAAUUGGAGACAUUAGAAAAUUCAGGAGGAGAAUGGAAUUAUGUGAUGCUCUGAACAGGCUUGUAAGUCUUGGUAAUUGAGAUUUGGUUGAAAACCUUAAACUAAUCUUGGGGUAUAAAAUUUUGAUGACGAUGAAGUCAUGAGUAGUGAUUCUUUGACGCAAGCUAAAAUUGAUGAUUUCAAAAUCGAAAUACGUUCGAAAUCUAGUGAAAAUAGCGAAAUGACUUGCAUCAUUAAGGAUUAAAACAAGAUUCUAGAAUUGAUAUGUGUUGAAGAUGAACUAUUGAACCACCUCGAAUGAGAAAUUGCAUCCUUUGUGGUUUCGAAUUUGGAUUCAACAUAUUCUGAAUUCACCUCUGCUGAUUUUAUUAUACAGAGUCUUGCAAUGUAAAAGAAAAUCGUGCACCAUGAAGUGAAAAAUAAAGCUAGCAAAAUUUAUAAAAAUUAGGGGUGAAUAUUACUAAAGCCGGUCACAUGGUAAAAUGUUCCUUCACACAUAUAUGAGAGAAGUGGGCUUAAGCAAGCAGGUGGAGCUCUAGGGAUUGGAAUCUUAAAUCACUUCAUUCAACGAGAGAAAACCAAGCCAUUGCUAGUUCCAGUGUUGCAUGCUUGACGGUUCUACAUUACGUCGGUUGAUUCCAUUGCCUUCCCUCUGCUAUCGUCCUUCAAAUCCCUCACUUUUUAUAUAUAGAAUUUGGGGACAAAUACAAUACAUCGUGUAAGUUAUCCCCUAACAAAAUCAUUCGUCUGCUAAAGUUAAUUUUGCGUGUCGAUAAAAUGUAAAUUGUUCAUAAUAAAGUCUUAUGAAUAUUACAAAGGAGAAGACCCUAUUUAUAGGGCUACAAAUAACUGUAAAAGGAAAUAACGUAAAAGGAAAGAUUGUGUAAUAAUUACACAAUCAAUUAUUAAGGAAAAUAAUCCUACACUAUUGGAAAAUUAUCAUAGAUAAAUAUUGAUCCAAUAUAUUAUUGUACUCUACUAACCACGAAACGAUAUUGAUUUUUCCUACAAAUUAUAUCAUGGGCUAAAUCUUGCUUUUCCCUACCAAAAAAAAAAGUGCAGAAAGAAUAUUUGUAAGCUAAAAUAUAUACAUUUUCCCAACAAUUAUUUUGUUGGCUAAACCUUGUUUUUUCUCUAAAAAUAAUUUUUCGUAGGGAAAGCAUAUAUGUUGGCUACUAUAUUAAUUUUUAACCAUAUUCAAAAUAAUAUAGAGAUGUAGAAAAAAGAAUAAAUUAAUUAAGACGUGUAGUAUCAAUUAACGUAACAUUGAAUCCAAAAUAUUUCCAUUCACUAAGUAUGGUUACAUUCGGAGUUAAAAAUAAUAUAACAAAUAUCCUUUGCAUCUAUUAUGCACCUAAAAACAUAACUCUUUAUGUGACGAAUUAGAUAUGGAGUUGAUCCUCACCAAAGUAAUCAUGUUUGCCCUCAAUAGCAUUAUUUUUUCUCAUUAGCAUUAAUCUCUAUUAACAAUAGUAGAUUGAUGCCAAGACUACAAAGUACAAUUGAAUUGUUACUUAACGACUUUCGUCUUUUUUUGCAUCCUUUGCUCCAUCUUUGAUAGAGUUGCAUAUUUUACUUUUUGAGCAGCGCAUUUUGCUUCUAACUCCUUCUCCGUAUUGUGUACACUAGAAGAAGAUAUCUCAAUUUCUUGACAGCAACCAUCUCCCAACCCACGAAUUUGAUGUUUGGGCUUUGAACCUAGAAUGGACAUCAUGAUAUUAACUCUAGUCUUAGGAUCUUCUACAUAUAUCUCCUCUAAAGGGGUAUCUUCGAAAAAUUGCUGCUCCUUUACCUUUUCUACAAGAUAUUCAUAAUCUUUGAAAUGCAUCUCAUUCUACAAACAGAACCCACAGGAGAUAUAAAAUUGCCCAUAUUAUUAAAAUAUGGAAGAGAUAUACUACAACUAUACACAAGAAAUGUAGCACUUGAUAAAUAAAUAAAAACAGUUACAGGGCCUAUUUGUUAGUGAUUAUGAAUCAAUUUUUUGACCAUUAGAGGGAAAAAGUGAAUCCCACAUAUAAGUGAAGAGGUCAAAAAUGACGGUUGACUAUUGGAAGUAAUUGUCAAAAAAUUGAGUUUUGGGGGUAAAAAGUCAUAACCAAAGGAGGGCAUAAUGUUUAGUCUUUCUUACUUGUUGAGCCUCGGCUACAUUAUAAGUCCAACACUUGUUCUUCCUUGCAUAAAUGAACUUGAAAGGGGUCAAUUUUAGGAAAACAAUUAUGCUUCAUACACUAUAUUUGAAUUAUUAGAAAAAUUAUUUAAUUUAGAACAUGUUGAUGACAUAUAAGUUCACUACGUCUAUCAUCUCCUUCAUAAUGUAUGAGAAAGGACAUGAACCAGUACAAUGAUUGUACUUUUUCUUCGAUCAAUUCACUAUGUUCAGUGAUUAUGCUUUCUGCAAAGAAAAGAAUGUAGUUAUUAUAUAACAAUAUCGAGAAGAAAAGCUUUGAACUAGUAAAUAGUUAUAAAAUAAAUACAUUUAACUUAUCGGAAAUUGGAAUAAUUACACAAUUACACCCAUUGAUCUAUACCUCUAUCAAGCAUCACCAUAUUAGAGCAAUAUCGAGAAGAAAAGCUUUGAACUAGUAAAUAGUUAUAAAAUAAAUACCUUUAACUUAUCGGAAAUUGAAAUGAUUACAGAGUUACACCCAUUGAUCUAUACCUCUAUCAAGCAUUCCCAUAUUAGAGUUAUUGCACAAAAAAGCCACUGAUAUUAGCCAUAUAUAUAUAUUCUCAAAAUGAGAUAUUUGAUCAUGAAUGGAAAGUUAUUUCUUCUAGAAUUAAUAGAAGAAAUGAAUUUAAAACUAAUCAGUUUACUGAUGUCAGAAUUUUUAGAAAAAAAUUUCGAAAAACUUUUUUCAAAAGAAGAAAUAGAAUCUUUUUAGGAAGAUUUUUUUAAAUUUCCCAAAGAAUAAAAUUUUUUAAGUGGGCAUAUUUCUAAGUUUUUAAUAAAAUACUCACUUCAAAAAAAAAAGAAAAAGAAAAAACUAUUCAAAAUACAAAUACUCCAAAAAAAGAUUUGGAAAACUUCUUCUAAUAAAUCUAUUCAAUCAUCUCAUCCUCCUUUGCAAGAGAUAGUAGAUGGAAAUACUGAAAUUCUUUCUUCUCAUCUUAAAAAGAUAUCUGAAGACCUGAUGAAUCUCAAGUUGCUGCUAAAGAUAUAAAAAAUAUUCAAUCUCAAAAUAAUUAAACUAAUGUAGUUCUUUUGUUACACUUCACUCGUUUAUAGUCAAAGUCAAGAAAUGAUAUAAUCAAAGUUAGGUAAUUCAACUUGUCAAAGUCAAAGCCAAAUAAGGACUUAAGUUGUAGAAAAGAUUUCAUGGGGCCUAAUUUAUAAUUACUCAUACUUAAAAAGGGUCAGAAAUAAUACCAAAUAUGAAUUUAGAGAUUUAAUGUUUUAUUAUUAUACUUAAAGGACUAAAUGUUAUAUUAUAUGAAGAUUUGGGACUUGAGUUGCAAUUAUACAAUAUAAAAGGAUAAGUAAUCCCUUUCUGUCAUUUAGGGAGACAAUUUCAUAUACUAGAAGUCUACAGAAACGAAGCAGAAGAGAAGGAAGGAAGGAAGAAAAAAGAAAAACAAGAAGAGCAGGAAGAAAAAGAGGUUAUUGAGGAAGAUGAAAUAUGGACUCAAAUAUAAGGUUCUUCAUUUCUUCUAUUCCAAGAGGUAAGAAAACACAUUGUUGUUCAAUAUUGCUAAAUUUGACUUUGUAAUUAAUGGCUUGUCUUUAAAGAUUUGGAAGAGAGAUUAGGUAAUGGAGUUGAAUAUUUGUUUAAGUAAAAUUUUGAAAUGGGUUUAUGAGAUAAAGGCAUUCUUCCAUUUUCUUGUGAUUUUGUGGUGCUAAAACGAUUAAUGUAAGGAUUUGAAGUUGGAUUUAUCAAUUUUAGAGCAAUUUUAAGCUAUUUUCGAGCAAUUGUAGUACACAAGUGUUAAUUCCGAAAUUUUGCCCCCCGAAAAGUGCUAUUUCUAUUAAUGGUUUUGAUGCCAGAUUUCAAUAUAUUCUGGAACUUUAGUGCUAAUUUUGUCAAACCUUGGAUUUCCAGAUUUUUAAAUGUUUGAAUGAAUUUAUAUGACAUAUAUUGAAGUCUAUGUAUUGGACUAACUAUGUAUAAAGUUUGUAUAGUAUAUGUAUAAGGUAGUGAUUUUAUGAAAUUAUAGUGAUUUAAUGGAAUUGAUGAUGUUUCGUGAUUUGUUAGUAAAUAAUUGAAGAGAUGAAAAUUUAAAGAACGAUCGUGCUACCUGCACAGGCUCUUUUGCACAGAGCUUGUAUAGGUGCACACACAUGGGGUGUACCCCACACAUGGGGUCCACAUGUGGAGUCCAUCUCCAUGUGAGAGCCCCUGACAAAUCUUAAAUAUCACUUUGUUUAUCUUCAACGUGUAGGUUAACUUCUCCCUCUUACAGUGGUCUACCCCCAUUUAGUUUCUCCAUAUUUGUAUAAAUAUGAGAUCCAUAUUUGGUAGCUAAUACCUGAGAAGCUAAUGAAAUAGACAUAAACCUUGCAAUAUUUCUUCCAAUGAGCUUUCAUUCUAUAACAAAGACAAGGAUCAUUAGAUUUGAUAUUGUCCUUUGCUCAGACUGUUUUAACCAUAUUGAAUGCUUUCUCAAAGUCCCUUUAGAUUUCCUCUUAACACUCUUAGAGGAAUCAAUGGUUUGCCCACUACCAAUUUUGAUAAAGGGCUUAACAGUCCUAAGCAUGUUAAACAACUUAAUGAGUAUGCAUUCAAGCUUAUUCAUAUCAUAAUUCAUAAUUAUUAUGAAUAACUAUAUAACAGAGAUUGCAGAGCUAAGUCAAUACUUAGUUCAUAGUUAAUGAUUGAACUCAAUUGAGACACUUCUCAUGUCAAUCAUCUUCAAUACAUGAGGAUUGACUGAAGAUUCUUUUGUCACUUUGCAUCGGUAUAGUUGUUUGGAAGUCUCAUAUCCUUUCACACAUGAUUAUCAUAUAACUUUUUGUAAUGAAGAAUUAUGUGUUAAUAUCUAUACUCUCAAGUUGUUUUUGUAACUCAGGUGACAUAGUUGCAGAUAUUACAUACGUUGCAGUACUAUUAUCAUCACUGCAUUUAUUAUAGCAGCCACCUCUCCUUAAUCGAGUCAUCACCAGGUGUCUCUGAAAAAUGGCUACUUAAGGACAAUCAACUUUCUGAUGCUUGAGAACAAUUCUCAAAUUACAGUGUCAAUCAAGAAGAUUCAGCUUAGUUGUUGGCAUCCAGUAUGCCAUUUAAAACAUAUGGUUACUCAGGAUUCAAUAUAAAUGUAAAUGACGAAAAGGAAAAGAAUAAUAUAUAAAAUGCGACAUGUUAAAUUAAUUAUGCUCCCACUGUUUAAUUAAAAUUUAUGACCCUCUUACAUAAAUUUAUAGAGUCCAUACUUGACUCUCAGUGGGCUGGGAUCCCAUCUAUUAUAUUAAAAUCUUGAGUAUACUCAACAAGCCUUAAUAUAACUUUUGGGUAUAUACUAUUAUCAAUUGUAUCUCCAUACAACUCCCAGAUCAUUAAGCUGGCUACUCUUUGUUUUCACACAUCUUAUGUGUUAGCUUAAUAUGCCUCUAAAAUUUAUCUCUUUGAGUGUACUCAACAAAAGAUAAAUUUUAGUUAAGUCAAACCCGUCAUUCAGAAAUAUCAAAUAUUUCAUAGUGUCAAACAUAUCCCUAAUGGACCAGCCUUGAGUGUACUCAACAAGCUGAGACGAUUUGGAACUCUGGUUUUUCACUAUAAUGAUAGAAGGCGAUUAUAAAUGUGAUUUACUAUUUUAUGGAGGGAUUUUGCUUUCAAAGGUCUCAUCAUAACAAUAAUAUAUAUUUUAUUAUACAUCUACCAUGCAAAUAAAUAAAUAUAACAUAAUAUAAUAGUGUGGACGAUUAUGGACUUUUACUAUCUAGUCUUCCCGAAUCAUAAGGAAGACUAGUUGAUCAAUUCCUAGGGAGUAUAGCAUUGAACAGUAUCAAUGCACCAUCUCCAUGGUCUCCUCCUCCUCUUGUUUCUCAAUUAGUCCAGCUGCAACUUGUAUCAUAUACUAGUUGGCACGCAGGCCUAAAUGAAAUUGGACUCGUAGGUCCAUAGCAAUAAUAACAAUAACGGACUCGCAUGUCCAAAAUGAUUAAGAGUUCGCAGGCUCAUAACUCGACAAGAUUAAAAAAUCAACCAUUCAACACAUCCAUAUGGUCGAGUCCAUAAUUAUCCACUAAUAAAGCAUUUAUCACAUAAAUGAAUACUUAUAUAAUAUCUAAUAUUAUAUGCAAACACGUUUCAAGUUUCUAGCAAUUAAGGUCGUCUAAACUCUUUUAGACAAAUGGAUUGGAACAAUUAAAUAAUUAAUUAAUCAUAUUAAUCAAUCAAUUUAAUUAGUGAUCAUAUUUAAUUAAAAUCAAAUUUUAAUUAAAUAUUGAAUUAGAGUCCAACUCUAAUUCAACAAUUAUAGGACUGGCUAUUUAAUUAAAAUCACAUUUCAAUUAAAUAUCAAAUUAGAGUCCAACUCUAAUUUCAUAACUUAAGGCAGUUGAAUUUAAUUAAAAUCAAAUUUCAAUUAAAUAAUAAAAUUAGAGUCUAACUCUAAUUCCAAAAAGAAAUUUAGGGCGAGAAAAUUUAAUUAAAAUCAAAUUUUAAUUAAAUGUGAAAUUAGAAUCCAAUUCUAAUUACAAGAAUAUAUUCGGGUGAAUAAUUAAUUAAAAUCAAAUUUUAAUUAAGUGUUAAAUUAGAGUCAAAGUCUAAUUUCAAUUGAAUCAAUAUUUUAAUUUAGGAUAACACUCCUAAAUAAAAUAAAAUUCAAUUUAGGGUCAAAUUUAAUAUUUAAGUUAAAAUCACAUUUUAACGAAAAUAUAAAAAGCCGUAAAUUUUAAACUAAACUUUCAAUUUGGGUCAAAAUUAAAAUAAUAGGCCAAACCCAUUAAAAUACAAUUUUAAAACCAUUUUAAAAAUUCAAAUUCAAAACAAUUUUGAGAUUUGCAAAUUGACCCAAGUUUCAAAUUACAAACAAAACCCUUCAAUUUUCGAAAUUGCAAAUAUGCCCUUCUUCAGAAAAUUACAUUUAACCCCUUUUAUAAUAUUGCAAGCGGGAUCCUACAAUUUCAAAAUUUGCAAUGAGGCUCCCACCUCCAAAUCUUAGUCACCCGACUAAAAAACCCUAAGAAUUAAAUUUUUUUUGUUGGCGCCGGCAUCGCCGGUCGGCACCACAAUAAUGCCCCGUGGUAGGAGCCCAGGUGGCUCCUGCCGCUAUAGCAGCGUGAAAAUGCUGCUCACAUUGCAAGGCAGCGGUGCCUGCUGCCACUCCAGUUCGCCGCUGCCACGUCCCUAUCCAAUCCAAAAAAUAUAUUUUUAUUUUAUUUUAUUUUCAGUCGUGAAAUCAUAUUUUAUAAAAAAUUAAGAAAACAAAUUUUCUUUAAUUGCUAGAAACAUGAAAAAUAUGUACAAUCAACAUUUGAUUAUUCAAUCAUGCAAAUCAAUUCCUAACAAGCACAAAGUAGGUUCUGAUACCACUGUUGGAAAUCUACUUAACAUACACGGGGGAGAAUUAAAACAGAUUUCGAUUCCCACCAAGAAUUGCCUUUAUGUUUAGAUAGAAAUUGUGAUAAGAUUAUACCUUUUUCAGAUCUGCAAACUUCUUUGCUAUUCUUUUCGUUCCACCAAUCUUGAUUCGCCACCCAUAGCUGUCCAAUUAUCCAGCCUCCAACGAUGAUCCACACAGAGAACAAGAUUGCAGGUACCAGAGUUUUCUCCUCUUGUGCUAGCAAGAAUAAUUAUGAGAAAAACAUAUGAAUUGAAAACCCUAGCCAUGUAUUUAUAUAAGCCCAAACGGGUCUGGCCUAGUCCGGUCUAAUAUUUAAUUAAUCCAUUUAAUUAAAUCCGGUCCGUGAAUUAAUUAAUCCAAUUAAUUAAUUCGGGCCCAUAAAUAACCAAACCAAUUAAUUAAUUAAUUUAUCCAACGAUUGUUAAAUUAAUUAAUUGACAAUUGCAAUUUUUCAAUUCUCUUUUGUGUACUACCCAUCAGGUUCACGAUCAAGAUGUCUAACGACGUGAAAUAUUAUUUUGAUCUAAUCAAAAUUGAUAAAUUAAAACACCCUUUUAAUUUAUCAUCAAUUCACACUGGCCGUCCCAGAUUGACAUCUAACAAUGUGUCAGGGCAAUACAUGUGACGGGAAAUGUCAAGUGGUAUGACAAAACCAAACUCGUUUGUUUACCGUGAAACUAUAAUCCUUCGUCAAUAUGAUCCGAUCAAUUACGAGAUCUGGAAGUAUGUCAAUCUCGAUUAUCGAUCAUAUCUUUCACUCCAUUAUUAAGUCAAUAUAAGUCGAAAACUCUUUUUCGACUUAUGAGUACACCUUGGCCGAGAAUUUAAUUAUUGGCUUAAUUGAAUAAAGCGCAGAUCAUAAUCUCUUACUAUCUAAGAGUGACGAAUCCUCUAUUUGGUCAUUUACAACCUUCAUAUGAUUGUUGACAUACCCGAACGAUGUCGAAUUGGCAACCCUUGGCAGAGCAACAUCCAACACCAUCAAAGCAUGACUGUCCUCAUAUAAGGUACUAUGACGACCUCAAGUCAAAAUGACCAAUCCCACUAUCGAACGUUAGAGAUUAACCACUGACACUCAGAUAGUUAUCCAUGUGGAAUCUCUCGACGGGUCUUCAAUGUUUUGUUCUAUAACAAAACAUCCACCUGUUCAUUUAAGUGUCACCACACUUUAGCUUGUGAGAUCAGCUACUUACUUCAUUAGUAAGAAAUGCCACACGUGAUGGUCUAUCCAUAAUAAUGAUAUCCAUAUCUCCUUGUUAUUUACGACCACGGAUGAUUUAAGAUUCAAUCAAAUGUAAUAUGUAUUUCACAAUUACAACUCCUUGUGAUUAACAAAUUACGAAGAUUUGAAUCUACGGACUCUAUUAUUUAUUUAAUUGACUAUUAAUUAAAUAAUAGAUCUGCCAUUAAAUUGCAUUAAUUAUAUAUCAAAAGUAUUUAUGUCCAAAGUUGAUUGGACCUAGGGCAUAAUACUUAUAUCAAAGCCCCACUAAAGGUAGAAAUUCGCAAAGAACUUGUUGGGACCGAUGGAAACGAAAUGCAAAAUUGAGAUUUAAUGGACACCAAUUUGAAGUAUAAUACAAUAUCACAAAAUAUCACGAACAUGAUUAAAGUAAAAGAUGAAUUAAGCAGAGGAACGACGAAUUUUAUUAAUAUGGAGAGAAUUACAACUGGACAGCAAUGAUGCUUCAAUAGAACUGACAGAGGGGCCUUGUAUUUAUAGUACACUUGGUCUAGCCCUAAAAAAGUCCCAAAAAGGUAGAAAUAUAUAAUUCAAUUGGACUCCUAUUUGAGUCACACUUCUAACAGAACUACCACACUAAGAGCUCCAAGAGAAUAAGGAGAUGGUGGAGUCCAAGAAGCAAUCAUGUUUAUGAUUUUCUCAUUACCUCGCACUUCAAUUCUAGAUGGACUAUAUAUCAUUACUAUUAUUUUUAUUUUUAUUUUUAUUUUUAUUAGUAUAAAAGAAAUACAUUUUGGAAAAUGAAACCACCGAAUUGGAGACAUCAGAAAAUUCAGGAGGAGAAUGGAAUUAUGUGAUGCUCUGAACAGUCUAGUAAGUCUUGGUAAUGGAGAUUUGGUUGAAAACCUUAAACUAAUCUUGGGGUAAAAUUUUGAUGAAGAUGAAUUCAUGAGUAGUGAUUCUUUGAUGCAAGCUAAAAUUGAUGAUUUCAAAAUCGAAAUACAUUCGAAAAACUAGUGAAAAUAGCGAAAUGACUUGCAUCCUUAAGGAUUAAAAUAAGAUUCUAGAAUUGAUAUGUGUUGAAGAUGAAGUAUUGAACCACCUCGAAUGAGAAAUUGCAUCCUUUGUGGUAUCGAAUUUGGAUUCAACAUAUUCUGAAUUCACCACUGCUGAUUUUAUUAUAUAGAGUCUUGCAAUGUAAAAGAAAAUCGUGCAUCAUGAAGUGAAAAAUAAAACUAGCAAAAUUUAUAAAAAUUAGGGGUGAGUAUUACUAAAGCCACAUGGUAAAAUGUUCCUUCACACAUAUAUGAGAGAAGUGGGCCUAAGCAAGCAGGUGGAGCUCAAGGGAUUGGAAUCUUAAAUCACUUGAUUCAACGAGGGAGAACCAAGCCAUUGCUAGUUCCAGUGUUGCAUGCUUGAUCAUUCUACAUUUCGUCAAUUGAUUCCAUUGCCUUCCAUCUGCUAUCGUCCAUCAAAUCCCUCACUUUUUAUAUAUAGAAUUUGGGGACGAAUACAAUACAUCGUGUAAGUUAUCCCUAACAAAAUCAUUCAUCCACUAAAUUUAAUUUUGCCUGUCAAUAAAAUGUAAAUUGCAUAUAAUAAAGUCUUGUGAAUAUUACAAAGUAGAAGACCCUAUUUAUAGGGCUACAAAUAACUGUAAAAGGAAAUAACGUAAAAUGAAAGAUUGUGUAAUAAUUUCACAAUCAAUUAUUAAGGAAAAUAAUCCUUCACUAUUGAAAAAUUAUCAUAGAGAAAUACUGAUCCUAUAUAUUAUUGUACUCUACUAACGUCCCCCUCAAAUUGAUGCUAGUAAAAGCAUCAAUUUGCAAUCGCGAACUGGAUGCGCUUUCGAGUCAACAUUUUUGUAAAACCCAUAAACCAAGAACUCAACAUUGCUGAACUUCAAAUCCAAGAACUGAUUCAAAACUCGAUAUGAUUCUCGGCAAAGAAUCAAUGUCCGACCAGAAACUGAUGACACUAACAAAUCAUCACCAAAACACUGAAUGCUCGCACCACACUUGAUGCACCGAAGAGUCACACGUUAACAAAAAUUGUGUCAACCAUAGACAACUACAAGAAAUUCAAACCUAAAAGGCUAAGUUAUGCCCAAAGAGAAUUGAAGAUUCAACCACUCCAAAGAUAGUCCAGAGAACACACUCCCCAAGAAGAAUUUUCAAAAGAAAUUCACGAAGUAUGCCGACCCACACAGUGAACUUUAUCUAUUGGGAGAACUCAAUCGAACACAUAAUUCAUGUUCCGACAAAAGCUCUAAUGUCAAUACACUAGCCGAAAUUCAGUAAUAUUGCUGACCAAGAAGCUGUAGGUAGAAGAAAUCCCACCAAACAACUUACACUAAAAAAUGUCAAUUGAACUUGACAUACCAAUUCCAAAAUCCAGCUAUGCCAAAUUCCAAAUUCCAAAUACAUUGGACCAACACCAAACCAAAUUCGAGAUGAAACUGGACAUAUACAAAACCAAAUUCUCAAUCCCAUAAACUGGGCACAUACCAAAUCAAAUUUCCAAUCCCAUGAACUGGGCAAACACUAAACCAAAUUUUCAAUCCCAGGAACUGGGCAUACACCAAAUCAAAUUUCUAAUCCGUUUGUUAUCUUGUAAUCCACCCCAAAUUAUCAAGUUUUUGCCAUCAUCAUCAUAUCCCGAAUAAUUUGUCCAAUACACUAAUAACAGCCCAAAUCAAUCACCCCACAAAAGAAACCAAAAUGCUGUCCAAACAAAUUUUACCCAAAAUCAACCCAUACAUAAAAUCAUGCUUAGAAUUUGUUAUUUUUAAUUUUUUCAAAGGAACAAAACUGAUUAAUUCUUGCAAAAAUCCCACAACAAUGUUUAGCUCAUCUCUCUUUACAAAAGCAUCAAAUUUGAAGACUUGAACAGGCAACAAAAUCACAAGCUACUUAUCACUUCAAACUAUAUCUAGACAAUAGCAUUGGCAGCACUCGCAAUUCUAGAGAAGAAAAGAUCCAAAAAGAUAAGCAAGAAAAGUUCCCACAUAUCAUAGACCCAAUUAAUCACAAGCAUACAAUUCACAAAAUCCAUGAACCCAACAUCAUAGCCCAACUUAUUACCCCCAAGCCCAACCAUCCAUAUAACGCAGCCCAAAAUACCAAACCCAAAAUAAUAACCUAAAGCCUUAACCUAAUAGCCCAUAACCUAAUUAGCCCGACCCAUAAUAAAGCCCAACUAACAAUGACCCAUCUAAUCGGUCCAGAACACCAUAUGGACCAACAAAAACAAACAACCCAUAUCUUAGUCAAAACCCACUUUCUCGAAAAUUAAAUUACAUGGCCGAACUAAACUCCAACGCCAAUUAAAUUACCUAGCCUACAAAAAAAAAAAGUCAAAUUCGGCAGACCCAUCAACCUAGCUGCUCAACCCUCAACAUUCAUCUUCUAAAAACUGUUGGCUCUCAAAUCCUUGACUCUGGUUUGCGCCACCACAAAAAUGACGAUCCACUUGUUUUUGGAGCCGCACUUUUAAAAUCCCCAAACUUGUCCAUAAGACCACUCUCCUUGCUCCCUUUAUUCUCUGAUUCCAUACUACAAAUUGGCUUAGAGCGAAAAUAAACCAAAGAUUAUUUUCGAAAACAGUAAAAAUGGGGGCCAAAAUCUGGAAGGAAAAGGUCAUAAAAAAUGAAGCCACCGUCCACUUCUUCAGUUAUAAGCACCCACCGUCCAAACAAAGCACCCACUUUCUUUAUUUUAAGUCCAACCACCCAUAUUUUCUAGCUCAUUCAGUGCUUUCCUCUCCCCUCUAUGCGAACAUAUAAAAAAGUUUUGAUCACCGAAUGAGCGGCACAAGGCCGCUCAUCGGAGAACGAAACUUUGCAAGUUUAACCCAAGAUUAAACUUGCUCUGAUGCCAUGUCAAUAAAAUUGUAAAUUGUAUAUAAUAAAGUCUUGUGACUAUUACAAAGGAGAAGACUGUGUAACAAUUACACAAUCAAUUAUUAAGGAAAAUAAUCCUAUACUAUUGGGAAAUUAUAAUAGAAAAAUAUUGAUCCAAUAUAUUAUUGUACUCGACUAACCAUGAAACGAUAUUGAUUUUUCCUACAAAUUAUAUCAUAGGCUAAAUCUUGCUUUUCCCUACCAAAAAAAAAAAGGUGCAGAAAGAAUAUUUGUAGGCUAAAAUAUAUACAUUUUCCCAACAAUUAUUUUGUUGGCUAAACCAUGCUUUUUCUCUAAAAAUAAUUUUUCGUAAGGAAAGCAUAUAAGUAGGCUAUUAUUUUAAUCUUUAACCAUAUUCAAAAUAAUAUAGAGAUGUAGAAAAAAGAAUAAAUUAAUUAAGACAUUUAGUAUCAAUCAACGUAACAUUGAAUCCAAAAUAUUUCCAUUCACUAAGUAUGGUUACAUUUGGAGUUAAAAAUAAUAUAACAAAUAUCCUUUGCUUCUAUUAUGCACCUAAAAAACAUAACUCUUUAUGUGACGAAUUAGAUAUAGAGCUGAUCCUCACCAAAGUAAUCAUGUUUGCCCUCAAUAGCAUUUUUUUUCUCAUUAGCAUUAAUCUCUAUUAACAAUGGUGUAAAUGAUGGUACAACGAAGCAAGAAAAUUUACUACAUAGCUCGUGCUUAGAGUGAUGCCAAGACUACAAAGUACUAUUGAAUUGUUACUUAACGACUUUCGUCUUGUUUUGCAUCCUUUGCUCCAUCUUUGCUAGAGUUGCAUAUUUUACUUUUUGAGCAGUGCAUUUUGCUUCUAACUCCUUCUCCGUAUUGUGUACAUUAGAAGAAGAUAUCUCAAUUUCUUGACAGCAACCAUCUGCCAACCCACGAAUUUGAUGUUUGGGCUUUGAACCUAGAACGGACAUCAUGAUAUUGACUCUAGUCUUAGGAUCUUCUACAUAUAUCUCCUCUAAUGGGGUAUAUCUUCGAAAAAUUGCUACUCCUUUACCUUUUCUACAAGAUAUUCAUAAUCUUUGAAAAGCAUCUCAUUCUACAAACAAAACCUAUAGGAGAUAUAAAAUUGCCCAUAUUAUUAAAAUAUGCAAGAGAUAUACUACAACUACACACAAGAAAUGUAGCACUUGAUAAAUAAAAAAAAAAAGUUAUAAGGCCUAUAUGGUAGUGAUUAUGAAUCAAUUUUUUGACCAUUAGAGGGAAAAAGUGAAUCCCACCUAUAAGUGAAGAGGUCAAAAAUGACGGUUGACUAUUAGAAGUAACUGUCAAAAAAUUGAAUUUUUGGAGUAAAAAAUUAGAACCAAAGGAGGGCAUAAUGUUUAGUCUUUCUUAAUUGUUGAGCUUCUCGGCUACACUAUAAGUCCAACACUUAUUCUUCCUUGCAUAAACAAACUUGAAAGGGGUCGAUUUUAGGAAACCUCGAACUAUCGUAAUAGCAAACAAUUAUGCUUCAAACACUAUAUUUGAAUUAUUAGAAAAAUUAUUUAAUUAAGAACAUGUUGAUGACAUAUAAGUUCACUACAUCUAUCAUCUCCUUCACAAUGUAUGAGAAAGGACAUGAACCAGUACAAUGAUUCUACUUUUUCUUUGAUCAAUUCACUAUGUUCAGUGAUUAUGCUUUCUGCAAGGAAAAGAAUGUAGAUAUUAUAUAAAAAUAUCGAGAAGAAAAGCUUUGAACUAGUAAAUAGUUAUAAAAUAAAUACCUUUAACUUAUCGGAAAUUGAAAUGAUUACACAGUUACACCCAUUGAUCUAUACCUCUAUCAAGCAUCCCCAUAUUAGAGUUAUUGCACAAAAAAACCACUAAUAUUAGCCAUAAAUCAAUAACCACAUAACCAAACACUCAAAAAGUAAAAGAUUUUGAUUAAAAAAAUUGAAAAAGUGUGAAAUUUUGCAAAAGAGGGAUUAGGAAAAUCUCACCAGCUUCACCAGAGGGCAUGAGAUGUGAGCAGUUCUUCAUAUUCAAAAAAAUAUAGAAGCACUUGGAUUUAUCAUCUCAUCAGAUAAAUAGAAGAAGCGAAUUUAAAACUAAUCAGUCUACUGAUGUCAGAAUUUUUAGAAAAAAAUUUCGAAAAACUUUUUUCGAAAGAAGAAAGAGAAUCUUUUUAGGAAGAAUUUUAUAAAUUUCCCAAAGAAUUAAAUUUUUUUAGUGGGCAUAUUUCUAAGUUUUUAAUAAAAUACUCACUUCAAAAAAAGAAAAAACUAUUCAAAAUACAAAUACUACAAAAAAUAUUUGGAAAACUUCUUCUGAUGAAUCUAUUCAAUCAUCACAUCCUCCUUUGCAAGAGAUAGUAAUUCCAGAUGGAAAUACUGAAAUUCUUGCUUCUCCUCUUAAAAAGAUAUUUGAAGACUCACCUGAUGAAUGAUAGUUGUUGCUAAAGAUAUAAAAAAUAUUCAAUCUCAAAAUAACUAAACUAAUGUAGUUCUUCUAUUACACUUCACUCGUUUAUAGUCUACGUAAAAAAAAGAUAUAGUCAAAGUUAGGUAAGUCAACUGGUCAAAGUCAAAGCCAAAUAAGAACUUAAGUUGUAGAAAAGAUUUCAUGGCGCCUAAUUUAUAAUUACUCAUACUUAAAAAGGGUCAGAAAUAAUACCAAAUAUGAAUUUAGAGAUUUAAUGUUUUAUUAUUAUACUUAAAGGACUAAAUGUUAUAUUAUAUGAAGAUUUGGGACUUGAUUUGCAAUUAUACAAUAUAUGUCCACUUAAAGGAUAAGUAAUCCCUUUCUGUCAUUUAAGGAGACAAUUUCAUAUACUAGAAGUCUACAGAAACGAAGCAGAAGAGAAGGAAGGAAGGAAGAAAAAGAAAAAAAAGAAGAGGGGGGAAGAAAAAGAGGUUAUGGAGGAAGAUGAAAUAUGGACUCAAAUAUAAGGUUCUUCAUUUCUUCUAUUCCAAGAGGUAAGAAAACACAUUGUUGUUCAAUAUUGCUAAAUUUGACUUUGUAAUUAAUGGCUUGUCUUUAAAGAUUUGGAAGAGAGAUUAGGUAAUGGAGUUGAAUAUUUGUUUAAGUAAAAUUUUGAAAUGGGUUUAUGAGGUAAAGGCAUUCUUCGAUUUUCUUCUGAUUUUGUAGUGCUAAAACACUUAAUGUAAGGAUUUGAGGUUGGAUUUAUCAAUUUAGAGCAAUUUUAAGCUAUUUCCGAGCAAUUGUAGUACACAGGUGUUAAUUCUGAAAUUUUGCCCCCCGAAAAGUGCUAUUUCUGUCAAUGGUUUUGAUGCUAGAUUUCAAUUUACAAAAAUUGGUGCCAGAUUUCUAUAUUCUGGAACUUUAGUGUUGUUUUUGUCAAACCUUGGAUUUCCAGAUUUUUAAAGGUUUGAAUGAAUUUAUAUGACAAAUAUUGAAGUCUAUGUAUUGGACUAACUAUGUAUAAGGUUUGUAUAGUAUAUGUAUAAGGUAGUGAUUUUAUGAAAUUAUAGUGAUUUAAUGGAAUUGAUGAUGUUUCGUGAUUUGUUAGUAAAUUAUUGAAGAGAUGAAAAUUUAAAGAAUGGUCGUGCUACCUGCAUAGGAUCUUUGCAUAGAGCCUGUACAGGUGCACACACAUGGGGUGUACCCCCACACAUGGGGUCCAUCCCCAUGUGAAAGCCCCUGUACAGGGCCUGUGCAAGAGGCUUUUUCCUUUAAAGAAAUAGAAAGGCAAGAAUAAAUAUAGAAGUUAGGGGAAUUACGUGGUAGAUUUGUAUUAGUUUAAUUGUUAGAUUUUAAUUUGAGUUAUUAUAUCGUUAUUUCAGGUAGUGGCUUGAAAGUUUGGAAAUGCCAGUCAAUUUAAUAGAAUUGCUAUCCAUACGUACAUCUGUGAGUGAAAAAACUUAUAUAUUUUCAAAUAGUAAUAAGGUACUUACAGUAUUACAUUACGUGUGAUUAUACAAAUUAUUUGUUUGAUUACAUGAUUAACAUGGAAAGAUUCUUUUACUAUGAUAUAUGCAAAAUUUAAAGUUUGGAUAUGGAUUAUUUGUGAAUUGGAAUGUGAGACAUAUAUGAUAUUGAGAUCGACCAGAAAAGUACCCGUGAUUAUAUACUUCUUGUAAUUCACCGAAAGGCAUUAACCGUGUUCUACACUGCACUGAGAGGUCGACUGAGGAUGAAAAGGUCGUGACAGUGUACAUAUAGUUCAUUGAGGGGUCUUGACCAUGUUCUAGAAUUGAUUAUCAUAUGUCUUUGAGACCCACUUUCGUGCACGGAGGGGGCCAAAGGCCCGUGAUGUUAGAUUUAAUAAGAGGGUACAUUUUUUGUGGAUCACAUGUGAUGUGAUGAGAUGAUGGUAUAGAUAUCAGCUGAUGACUAUAUCGUGAAUAUGAGAUGAUAUUUACAGAAUUAUGAGAAUGUCUCUUUUUUGCUAUAAUUUUAUGAGGCUAUCGUGUGAAUUACUAAACGAUAUAUACUUGAUGUCUAUGUAUGAGAAAAAUGUUUAAAUGAGAAAGUAUAAUUAUUUUCGAAUUCUUCUACUCACUGAGUUAUAAACUCAUAUUUUUCUUAUAGGUACUAUUGGUCCCUGAUAGCUUGAGGAGCCUGGUGGUUUUAGAAUUAGAACCACACAAAAUAUUUAGUGAUACAAUUCAUUAUGGUAAAACAUGAAGCAAUAAUUUCGAUGAUUUUGGCGCAUAUUUUGUCGUAAAUCAUAAUCAGCCUUGUGGUUGAUCUACCAUCUAGUCAGCAUCUAUCAUCGGCACAAGUCACGUUCCUAGUCCAUUAGGGUGAUUCGGGACUAGACGGGUCGUAACAUCUUCAACCUAUGUGUUCUCAACUCAACAGCAUUGAAUUAAAAUUCUGAAACUGAGACACCAUCAAUUUCAAAAACUAUUAAGCCAAUGGAGUCAAUUUUAAUAAACAAGCAUGAGGCUACUCCAAAAAAUUCUAUUAAAACUCAGGUCAAUGUCCUAAAAGAACUAGCAACUUAGUUAUCAAAACUAUCAUCAUCUUUCACUUCAAAUAACAUCAAUACUAUUGAUGAUCAUAAAUCUCAAUUUAUUGAUGAUAAAAUUCAUUAUAUUUUUAAACUUUAAAACAAAAAAGUUCAAUUCUCAAAAGUUCCUCCUUAUUAUCUGAAAAAUACUCCUCCUGGUUUACUUUUUGAAGAAAAGUCCAAAAUCAACACAACAUUUUUUGGCAAUGGUAUAACUGUCUGGAAUAUUGAUGGUUUAACUGAAUAUCAAAAUUUUCAAACUCUUGAAAGAAUAGGUGCUUGCUUUAAUGCUUAUAUUCAAGAAGGUCGAAGCAACAAAUAAUAUUAUUCAAGGUUUUGCUGGACAAAUUAAUAAUCCGUGGUUCAAUUAUAUUACUCAACAAGAAAAUUUUCAAAUUGGUCAAGCUAUAAAACAUGAUGGCUGCAAUGAUAAUUUUAAUACUUUAAUUUUUAGUAUUAUUAAACAUUUUGUUGGUUCUCCAACAGAUGUUAUAGAAAAGAUUUCAAAUAUUUUAAUGACUUUAAAUUGUUCAAGUUUAUAGGAUUUUUGCUGGUAUGAUGAUAUGUUUCUAACACAAGUAUUUUUGCGAAAAGAUUGUAAUCAAACUUAUUGGAAAAAAAGAUUUUUAUCCAGACUUUUAAAAUUAUUUUCUGAAAGAGUUAAAAAUUCAAUAAAAAGGGAAUAUGAGAAUAAUAUUCUAUAUGAUAUUCUUACAUACGAAGAAUUAAUCAGUUUCAUUAACAGAGAAAGAUUAUCUCUCUAUAAUGAAAUUAAACUCAAAUCUAAAUUGCAAUCAGAAAGAUUAGACAGUCAAAGAGAACUAGGAUCUUUCUGUGAAUAAUAUGGACUUGAGAAAAUAAUUCCACCUUCAAAAUUAAAAAGAAAAAUAUUUUCAAAAAGAAAAUUUUAUUCAAAUGAAAAGAAUUUCCAAAAACCUUCUUAUUCAAAAAAUUAUUCUAAAAGGAAAUUUUAAAAAAGAAAAUUUUCAAAAAAAAAAAUAAUGUUGCUUGUUGGAAAUGUAGAAAGCGAAUAAUCUUCAAAUAGACGAAGAUAUUAAAUUUGAACUCCUCAAUCUUAUCGAUUCAGAUUAAAGUUCUAAUGAAGAAAACAUUUCUGACUUAGAACAUGUUUAUCAACAUCAAGAAGAUUAUGAUGUUGAAUCCAAUUCAAAUUCUUCCUUCUCUUCAAAGCAAAGUAGAGAACUUUAUGGUUGUAAUACUAUAAAUGUUCUUACUAAACAAGAAGAACUUAUUAAAGAGAUUGUUGAUCAAAUUGAAGAUCCAUUGCUCAAAAAUAAAAUUAAUUCUCUUUUACCUUCAAAUUCAAAAGUUGAACAUUUUAAUAUGCAAAAUGUUUUAAAUCAUUUUUAAAAUUCAAAAUCCUCUAGUUCUGAUCUAAAGUUAGAAAUCGAUUCAAUGGAAUCUCAAAUUUCUAUUCUUGAACGUCAAAUGAAAGAUGUUCGAAUAGAAGUUGCACUUCUCAAAACUCAAAAUUUGAAACAAAAAUAAAAAAAUUCUUCGUCCUCCUCUUCUAGGUCUUUUGAUGAAGAAUUUAUUCCUCCUAAUCUUCAAUCUGAAGAAGAAAUAGUUAAUGUUAUUAAUUGUAUUCAAUUUAAAAAAUGGUAUUGCAAUAUGACUAUUGUGGUCAAUAAAAAAUUCAAAUUUACUUCUAGAGUCUUUACUGAUUCUGGAGCUAAUAAAAAUUGUAUAAGGGAAGAACAUAUCCCUACAAAAUAUUUUGAAAAAAUUACUGAACAUUCUUACAGUGCCAUUGGUUCAGUAGUAAAAAGCAUAAAAUUUAAUAUAAGCUUUCAAAAGCUUAUGUUCGCAAUUCAAACAUUUGUUUCAAAAAUAUAUUUUAUCUCGUUAAAAAUAUAUAUCAAGAAGUAAUUCUUGGUACUCCUUUUUAUUGUUCAAAUAUAUCCUUUACAAGCUAAUUCAAAAGGCUUAACUACAAAUAUUUUUUGUCAAGAAAUUUGUUUUAAAUUUACUAAUCCUCCUUUUUAUAGAGAUCUAAACUCUUUAAAAGAAGCAUCUAUUUCAGAAAUUAUUAAUAAUACAAAUCUUAAAAAAAACCAUAUUAAAUUUCUUAAAGAGGAAAUUAAAUUUCAAAGAAUUAAAAAAUAAUUACAAAAUCCUUCAAUUGAAAGAAAAAUUUCAAAUUUUCAAGAACAUAUUGACAAAAAAAUUUGUUCAACUGUUCCAAUAGGAAGAAACACAUUUUUUCACUUCCUUAGAAUUCUGAUUUUCAUGAAUCAAAUAUUUAUACAAAAUCUCGUCCUCUUCAAAUGAAUAAAGAACUUUAAGACCAUUGCAUCAAGAAAAUUAAAGAUUUACUUGACAAAGGUCUUAUACGUCCAAGCAAAUCUCAUUGGAGUUGUUCUGCAUUUUAUGUCAAUAAUUCAUCUGAAAUUGAACGAGGUGUUCCCCAUUAAUUAUCACUUAUAAACCUCUCAAUAAAGCUCUUCAAUGGAUUUGAUAUACACUACCUUAAAACAAAGACCUAUUAAAUAGGUUAUUCAAAUAUGUUAUCUUCUCAAAAUUUAAUAUGAAGUCAGGUAUAUGACAAAUUCAAAUUAAAGAAGAAGAUAGAUACAAAACUAGUUUCAAUGUGCCUUUCGAACAAUACGAAUGAAAUGUUAUGCCAUUCGGUCUUAAAAAUGCUCCCUCUGGAUUUCAAAAAAUUAUGAAUGAUAUUUUUUAUCAUUUUUCAAAUUUUAUUAUUAUUUACAUUGAUGAUAUUCUUAUAUUUUCUGAAAGUAUAGAACAUCAUUUUAAGCAUUUAAAUAUAUUUAUUCAUGUUAUCAAGAAAAUGGCUUAGCAGUCUCUGCUAAGAAAAUUGGUUUAUGUCAAAUAAAAAUUAGGCUCCUAGGCCAUAACAAUCAUUUAGGAACUAUUACUCCAAUCCAAAGAAGUCUAGAAUUUGCCAAUAAAUUUCUAGAUGAAACAAGUUUGCAGCGCUUUUUAGGCUGUAUCAAUUAUGUUGCUGAUUUUAUAAAAAAUAUACGUUAAAUCUAUUCCCCACUUUUCAAAAGAUUACCAACAAACACCGACCCAUGGAGUCUCAAGCACAUAGUUGCAAUUCAAAAUGUCAAAAAAACAAUAAAGAAUAUUCCCCAUCUUUCAAUACUUAACCUGGCCUCUAUUAUUGUUGAGAUAGAUGCCUCUGACAUAGGGUAUGGUAGAGUACUCAAAUAGGUUCCAAACCAGUCAAGUCAAGAACAACUGGUUAGGUAUCAUAGUGGUGUGUGGAUCGGCCCUCAAAAGAGUUAUUCCACUAUCAAAAAAGAAAUAUUAUCAAUAGUACUUUGUAUUUCAAAAUUUCAAGAUGAUCUUAUUAAUAAAAAAAUUACUUUGAAAACUGAUUUUAAAACAUCUAAAGAUCUUUUACAAAAAGAUGUCAAAAAUCUUGUUUUAAAACAAUUUUUUGCAAGAUGGCGAGCUAUUUUAUCUUCUUUUGAUUUUGAAAUCCUUUUUUAUACAAGGAAAAUCAAAUGUUCUUGUAGACUUCCCCACAAGAAAAUUCAUACAGAAAAGAGAGAUUUGUGAGAAUUCAAAAUUGACAAAAAAAAGUUCAUGAGUUGGACAGAUGAAGUAGAGAGAAAUAUUCAAAAGAAAAAUCUUCAAUGACUUCAUCUGAAGCUCAAAAUCCUUUUCAAAAUUAAAGUAGUGAAGAGAAAAAUUCUACUCCAUUAUUUUCAAUUGAUGGCCUCUUUAAAGGAUUAUCAUCAAAAUUUGAAGAACAAGCUACUUUUUCUUCUCAAAAUACUCAAAACACAAACCUUUCAACUCUUGUUUUCAAAAAACCAGAUUAUUAUAAAAAAACCUGUUCAAGGUUCUAGAAAACUUACUCAAAUAAACCCUCUCCAACUUUUCAAUAUUUUCACAAAGGAGCCCAUGAACCCAUCUUCGAAAUGGAAAACAUCUUAGCUAAAUAGAUAUAUAUCCCUUGAUGAUUGUCUUUUAAGUAUUUUCCAAAAAAAAAAAAAAAUUGUUUCAUGUCUGCCAAUAUAAAAAAUUCCUGAGAAUAUUAUGAAGCUAACCUUAUGAAAACAGGAUCAGCUCUAAUUUCUCAUACUCCGAAUGAACGAAAUUCAAAUAAAUUUGAUUUUUCAAAAUUUAGUAUUUAAAGAGUGUUGUCAUGCGAAAACUGGGGACAACAACCAUGGGAUGAGAAAAGAAUAAGCCUUUCUAAAGGUGAAUAAUUUGAAUCUCAUUUCAAUUACUUUGAUUGAAGGAUGCUUGGUAUAAUGUCUUUUACUUUGGACCAAUGACUCAUUCUUGGUUUAUUCUUUUCAAUCAAAAUUUUCUAAAAUGGUUUGAAAAUUGGUUCAAAUGUUUUGGAAUUGAAGAGAAGAUCUUACCCAGUCUCACUCUUCAAGGAUCCAAACACUUCAAAAGCGAAGCAAAAUCCAUUUUGAAGCCUCAAGAAAAUCUUUUGAUUCAAUUUGCAGUCAAUUUGAGAGUAUCGUGGAUACUCUGCUUGGACAAUUUUAUCCUUCAAGAUUCGAACUCUGAAUAAUAUACUCAAAAAAUUAUUCGGAGAUUCAAAGUCAAAUGGUGGUCAAAAUUUGGAGAAACAAAUUGUUGUUUAAAAGCAAUUCAAUCAUGGAUUCAAGAACAAAGAAAUAUUAGUGUUCCAAAAAUUUUAAGGAAAAGUUCGAAGAAAAAUGCAGAUUUUCUCACAGAAAAAUCAAGACUUUUGGCCAUGUUCAAUCAAUGCAAAGCGCCAUUUCAAAAAAAAAUAAAUAAAUUGGUUCUUUGGCUAAAACUACAUCAAAGAAAUUAAAGUCAGUUCAAGAAAAUCUUCUCAAUCAGGAUCAAUAUCAAACCAUGCAUAUGGCAACGAAAACAUAUAUGAUGGACCAGAUAUUGAUGACUUAGUUAAUCAAAAGACACAAAAGAAUUCAAAAUGACUAUAUGACCCAGUUAUUUAGAUGAAAUGCAAAAUUAUGGAACCCUAAAGUCAAAAGAGAUAUUAUUUAAAUUUUGUCUACUACCAAACAAAUUAUUUUUACUAGCUUUAUCCACUUUCAAAUGGAUGUAACUUUAUUAAAACCACUUUAAUAAAGCUUUAUUCAAAGUUGGUGAAAUUGUCAAAAGAAAACUCAAUUAAGGGAGACAAAGACAAAAAUUGGUGAAAACUUUUCAAACAGAUGUUGCAAAAUUCAAAAGGUGCAAUAAUUCAAGUUUCUUUUUCAAAUUGAAGAAAUUUUCAAGUUCGGAUUGAAGUGAAAAUAAAAAAAAUAUUGAAUUGAAGAAAUAAUUAUAUUGAAGUAUGAAAAUUGAUAUCACAAGAUAAAAUUUUGAAAUAAAAACAUUGAAUUACAAGAUUGAAAAUUAAGAAAAUUUAAAAAUACAAGAUUUUCUCAAACUAUCUUGAGGCUAAUUUAUCUCCUGCUAAAUCCACUCAGAAGAGAUCUUGAAAUAUUGAUCUGCUUAAAUACUUGAAUUCUUGAGCUCUGGGCUUGAAAAUCUCUUCAAUUUGAAAAAUAAUCUUGAAUUAUCGCACCUUUAAAUUUUGCAAUGUCUUUUUGAAAAGUUUCCAUCAACUAUUGUCUUUGUCUCUCAUAAUUGAGUCUUCUUUUGACAAUUUCACCAACUUUGAAGAAAACUUUAUUAAAGUGCCUUUAAUAAAGUUAUAUCUUCUUGAAAGUGGUAAAGCUGGUAAAAAUAAUUUGUUUGGUGGUAGACAAAUCUUAAAUAAUAUCACUUUUGACUUUAGGACCCAGUAAUUUUACAAUUCAUCUAAAUAAAUUGGUACAUAUAGUCAUUUUGAAUUCUUUUGUGUCUCUUGAUUAAUUAAGUCAUCAAUAUCAUUGUUAUAUGUAUGGUCUGAUAUUGAUCCUAAUUGAUGAGAUUCUUUUUUAACAGACUUCGAUUUCUUUGAUAUAGUUUUAGCCAAAGGAGCAAUUUUUUUCUGAAAUUAUUGCUAAUUCCUCUGGCGCUUUGCAUUGAUUGAACAUGGCCAUAAGUCUUGAUUUUUCUAUGAGAAAAUCUACAUUUUUCUCUAGACUUUUCUUUGGAAUUUUUGGAACACCAAUAUUCCUUUGUUCUUGAAUCCAUGAUUGAACUACUUUUGGACAACAAAUUGUUUCUCUAAAUUUUGACCACAAUUUUACUUUGAAUCUCUGAAUAAGUUUUUAAGUAAAAUAGUCAGAGCUUGAAUCUUGAAGGAUAAAACAUAUCCCAAAAGAAUAUCCAUGAUACUCUUAAAUUGAAUGCAAAUUGAAACAAUUUAAAUUUGAGUUUAAUUUCAUUACAGAGAGCUAAUCCUUCUCUGUUAAUGAAACUGAUUAAUUUUCCGUAGGUAAGAAUAUCAUAUGGAAUAUUAUUCUCAUAUUCCCUUUUUAUUGACUUUUUAACUCUUUCAGAAAAUAAUUUUGGAAGUUCGGAAAAAAACCUUUCUUUCCAAUAAGCUUGAUUACAAUUUUUUUGCAAAAAUACUCGUGUUAAAAACAUAUCUUUGUACCAGCGAAAAUCCUAUAAAUUUGAACAAUUUAAAGUCAUUAAAAUAUUUGAAAUCUUUUCUAAAACAUCUGUUCGAGAACCAACAAAAUGUUUAAUAAAACUAAAAAUUAAAGUAAUAAAACUAUCAUUGGAACCAUCAGGUCUUAUAGCUUGACCAAUUUGAUUUUUUUCUUGUUCAGUAAUAUAAUUGAUCCACCAAUUAUUAAUUUGUCCAACAAAACCUUGAAUAAUAAUAUUUUUUGUUGCUUCAAUAGCAAAAUGACUUCCUUGAAUAUAGGCAUUAAAGAAGCACCCAUUCUUUCAAGAGUUUGAAAAUUUUGAUAUUCGGUUAAACCGUCAAUAAUCCAGACAGUUAUACCACUUUUCUUGAAAAAGUAAAUCAGGAGAAGUAUUUUUUUGAUAUUAAAGAGGAACUUUUGAAAAUUGAACUUUUAUGUUUUGAAGUUUAAAAAUAUAAGGAAUUUUAUCAUCAAUAAAUUGAUAUUCAAGAUCAUCAAUAGUGUUGAUGUCAUUUGAAGCAGAAGAUGAUGAUAGUUUUAAUAACUAAGUUGCUAGUUCUUUUAGAACAUUGACCUCAGUUUCAAGAGGAUUUUUUGGAGUAGCCUCAUGCCUGUUUGUUAAAACUGACUCUAUUGGCUUAAUAGUUUUUGAAAUAGAUGGUGUCUCAGUUUUAAAAUUUAAUUCAAUUCUUUGAGUUGAGAACACAUAGAUUGAAGAACUACAUUAAUAUAGUUACUUUGAAAUUGAAUAUUUUUUAUAUCUUUAACUACAACUUGAGAUUCAUCAAGUUGUUCUUUAGAUAUCAUUUUGAGAGGAGAAGCAAGAAUUUUAGUAUUUCUAUGUGGAAUUACUAUCUCUUGCAAAGGAGGAUGAGAUGAUUAAAUAGAUUUACCAGAAGAAGUUUUCCAAAUCUUUUUUGGUGUAUCUGUAUUUUGAAUAAUUUUUUCUUUCUUUAAAGUGGAUAUUUUAUUGAAAACUUUGAAAUAUGUCCACUCAAAGAAUCUAAAAUCUUCGGGUAAUUCAAAAGAUUCUUCCCAAAAAGAUUCUCUUUCUUUUUUUGAAGAAGUUUUUCGAAAAAAAUUUCUAAAAAUUUUGACAUCAGUAGAUUGAUUAGUUUUAAAUUCAUUUCUUCUAUUAAUUCUAGAAGAAUAACAUUGCAUUCGUGAUCAAUUCUCUCAUUUUGAGAAUCAAUCUCUUGUUUUGAGAAGGGGGAACCAUAUCAGAUAAAGUUGGAGAAUCAGGUUGUUUUGACUCUUCUUCUUUAUCUUUAUAAUGAGGUUUUGGAUUGUUGGUAUUAAAAUCAACACCUACAAGAGAAGAUGUUGAAAAUCUAGCAGAUUAAAAAGAAAUUCUAAGUCUAUCAUCAGAUCUAGAAGAAUAAGAUCUUUGAAACCGAGAAGAAGAUCCUUUAAAAAUCAUUUUGAUAUUUCCAUCAGAUAAAAUAAGAAUUUGAUUUGGAAUUGUUUGAACAACAACAAGAAUAGAAUUUUGAACAUUUUCGAAAUUCCAUUCAGGCCCUCUAGAUUGAAGAUUCCAAGGAACUCUCUUAGAAAUCAUGGAGUUUGAAUGAAAAUGAUUAAAUUCAACCAAAAGACUUUCAACUUUUGGAGAUGAGAAUAGAGCGCCAAUAUUGAGCUGAGUAUUCAUGAGCUUGUAAUAUAUUUUAUAUAUUACAGCAAAAGCAUUUGAACAAUCAUCAAAAUCAAGAGUUUUGUUUAAAUAUGAAGAUUUAGAGCAUUAAGAAUAGCUCCAUCAUUGAGAUUGAUAGAAAAAUUUGGAUAACAAUUUGAAUAAACGGGACUACUUUCCAGAUUUGAUUGUAGAAUAGAUAAUAAUGAAUUUUCAAAUUUGAGAAGUAUCUUAUCUCUAGGAGUUAAGAGAAUAGGUAUGUCUAAACUAAGUUGAAACAAUGGUUUAAUAGCAAUUUGUACUAAUCCAUCAUGAAGAUAUUUAAAUGUCUUUCUGUAGGAUUCAAUAAAUUCUUUUGAAAAUAAAUUGAUAAAUGCAUUUUGACUCCUAAAAAGUAAAGUUUGUUCAAAAGUUUUGAUGAUAUAAUUUUGAGUAUAAUCAAACUUUCUUAUUUCAUAGAUAGAGUUUUUUUUUCUCUAUUUUUGGAAUAGUUUAGUUAUGCAAUCUUUGUUCAAUUUUAGCAAUUUGUUCAUGACUAUUAAAAUCAUUUGGUAUUAGAGUUGUAAGAGAGUGAGGCAAGGUUAUGGUAAUUUAUCAUUUUAGGCACUGUUCAAUAGGAGAAAUCUAGUUCAAACCUAGUGUUUGCUGAAUAGAGUUGGUCAGCCCGUGUUUUGCCAGUGUAGGCAUUUUUGGGUGGUCCCGUUGUAGGCUUGAUAAGAGUCAGUUUUUUUUAUUGUAUUGUUUUUAUAGGGUUAAAUUAUUAUAUUUUCAUUUUAUUUAAUUAUGUCUUUGAUUUCAAAUUGGUUAAGGAGAUCUAGAAAUAGAUCUGAAAAUAUUUCAAAUGUUUUUCAAAGUGAAUAAGAAUUAAAUCAAGAGAUUGUGUGUGUGUGUGUGUGUGUAUGUUCAUGCAUGCAUGUAUCAAUAUGGCCUCGAAGAGAAUCAAGGCAAGUUCUAGAGAAGCAAAUCCAUGGAAGAAAAUCACUCAUUAAAGAAAAUAGUAAGAUUGAUAUGUAUGUCUCAGUCAUAAGGUUCAAAAUCUCACCAACUUUUAGUCUACAAAAUCUUGUUACUACCAUCCACAAAGAAAAUAACCACGCUAAUUAACUCUAAGUUGGGAGAUUACUUAUUCAAUCAUGUUAUAAAUUCUUCAGAAGCUUGAUUGAAUCUAGCAAAUAGCAUACACAACUAAAAUCGAUUAAAACCACUUUGUUUUCUCCCUCUUAUGUCGAAGUUUUAUCAAAAAGUCAAAAAUAAACACAAAAUAUGAACUGAAAAUUUUAGACUCAACCUAAAUUCCCUCUUCCACAUUUAAAACUUACAUUGCUCCCAAUGUAAGGUAAAAUACAAAGAAAAGGAUAACAUUAACCAAAUAUAUGAAUGUAAAAAGAUAAAAAUAAAAAGCUAACGGAAUGAACUCCCCUUGGGUUGCCUCCCAAGCAGCGCCUUUGUUUAUUGUUUUUGGCUAGACUUAUUGCUUCCUUCUUCAACCGGCAUCAAUUGGAUUUCCAAGGCCCCAUGUUCUCACCUCUUCUAUUUGGAAACCUGCAUAGAAAUAUCUCUUGUUAGAAACUGACAAAACACUAUGCAAACUUUUACCUGACUUUGGAGAAGCAUUAAACGCUGCAAUGGUCUCUGUAAGGCAGUAUUCGGGGGUAACUCCUGAUAUACCUCCUCAAUAUGCUUAUCAGUGGCAACUUUCACUGCAUUUUUUCAUCAGGUUCUAAAAUUUUCUGUUCUAAAUGAUCAAUCACUUUAAUAGAGUAAACAUCAUUAGGGCAUUUUAUGGAAAUAUUGAAUUUAACAAUUCUAUCAUCAAAUUCCAUCAUAAUUGUGCAAUCAUGAAUAUCUAUCUUAGUUUUGGAUGUCCUUAAAAAUGAUCUUCCUAGAAAAAUGGGGUAGUUUGAUCAUUAUUACCAUAUCAAGCACAUAAAAAUCAGCGGGAAAAUCAAAUCAUGAAUGUCUAGGAGUGUAUGGUUGCCUGUAUUGCUGGAAGUUUGGGCAAUUUUUAGGCAUUAGUUGAUUCACUUGUUAAUUCCCAUAGCUAAGGUUGUAAUGAUCCCUCCAUCCUGGGUUAUAAGUGCUUGAGUAAGGAUCAUAAUUCCUUUGUGAUUGUCCAGGAAAGCCAUACAUUUCAUUAACUUGUUCACUGGGGUCUUUUUAAAGAGUUGGGCACAUGUCAGUUGGAUGCCUUGUUACCGAACAGAUUCCACAAGCCUUUGUUAUUUACAUAGUUUCUGCAGCCAUUUGAUGAACAAAAGAAGUUAGACUCGCUAGUUAUUGUUCAAUAGAUGAAACAUUUACCUUAUUAACAGGUCUAUAAAGGGUAUCGAGUCUAGUAACAAAUUGCUGAGAGUUGGCUGCCAUGUUUGCAAUCAAGUUACUCGUGCCCUCGGGAGUUUUGUCCACCGAAGCUCCUUCACUUGCAACAUCAAUCAUACUCCUAUAUGUGGGUAGAAGACCUUCAUAAAAAUAUUGAAUGAGAAGCUGCUCACUAAUUUGAUGGUGGGGACAGCUUGCACAUAGUCACUUGAAACGCUCUCAGUAUUCAUGUAAGGAUUCCCUGCUACCCUGCAUAACACCACAAAUUGCCUUUCGGAUGUUUGCUACACUUGAAGCUGGAAAAUAUUUCUCUAAAAACAACCUCUUCAUCUCCUCUCAUGUUGUGACAUUUCCAGAUGGUAGAUAGUAGAGCCAGUCCUUAGCUGCGUCCUUCAAUGAGAAUGGGAAAGCUCUCAAUUUGAUUUGCUCUUCAGUUACCCCUGUGGGUUGCAUACUCGUGCAUACCACAUGAAAUUCCUUUAAAUGCUUAUGAGGAUCUUCACCUGUAAGACCACGAAAGGUGGGAAAAAGAUGUAUUAGUCCAGACUUCAAUUCAAAAGCAGUGGUAACAUCUAAAGUAGGAAAAGUGAUGCAGAGAGGUUGUUCAUUCAAAUUUGGAGCUGCAAGCUCCUUCAAAUUUUGAUGUCCAGCCAUGUGUCCCUCGAAAUUUCGUUGAAUGCCACUCUUUAACCUGUGCGAAGCUUUUUUUCUAAUUCUGGAUCGCACUGCAAAUCAGUUUGGUUAGAGGAUCGAGUUAUGGGCAUAAAAAAUUAAGGAAGUUAUUUAUUAAAAAAAAGUAAACUAAAAUAAACAAAUUAAACAAAAAAGAAAAGAUUAAAAAAAACUAAGUGAACAAAUAAAAAGCACAAAAAUAAACUAAAUUACUCCUCGACAACGACGCCAAAAUUUGGUGUAUUGUCCCAGGCACCCAAAAAUAAUCAAACCUACACUUCCAAAAAUUGUAUGUAGUAGUGGAAGUAAGGAUCGUUCCCACGAAGAAUGAUUAGUCUAAUUUUAUGCAAUGUUAACAAUAACGAAUGGUUUUGUUUGUGAUGAAAUCAAUUUUAACUAGAAGCAAUGCAAUUUAAUAAAUUAGAUAAAAUCAAUAGAAUGAACCUUGAUUUAAGUUAAUAUCCACUGUAGGAAUUUCAAAUUGAUCAUGGAUAUAUGAAUGAUUAUCAAUUCAUAUUUUUGCAUUAAUCGCUGGAAUUUAUUUUUCCUAUUUCUUUUUAGUUGUAAUUAAUCUGAAAACAAGCAAUCCAAUCAAUCCUUAUUAUCAAAUGACCUAAGAAAAGCACUUAAGAUUUAGUUUAAUAACAGCAUGGGAAACUAGAGAAAUCGAUGAAACUAAACAACUCAAUCACAAGCGGUCAUGUUUAAUCUAGUCAAAUAUCCUCUCUAGAAUUUAAUAACCUCUAAACGAACGAUUAAUAAAGCUCUAGUUACUUCAUAAUGUCAAAGAUAUCAAACAAUUACAUAUUUGUUCUUUAAACAAGCAAUAGAUUGUGGUACAUGAACAUCUAAUAGGCCUCUUAGAAUUAAAAUAUAACAACCAUGAAAUCAUGCAUAGAAAAAUAUUCAAUACAUAAGAUAUGAAUGAAAGCAAUGAAAUUUAUUUAGAUCUCACAGUUUGAAUCAUUCCUAGGCUUCAAUAUCCUUUGACUAAGAGAUGGAGUUUAGCAAUACAUUAAUAAUCCUUAAGUAAAAAGAGAGAGAAGUCUAUGAUGUUCGUUCUUCGCCUCCAAAAAUAUGUAGGAUAUAAGAUUUUUAGGCCAAAAAAAGAGGUUCUCUUCAUUCUGGCAUCUUUAGGUAUAUAUAUGAUAUUAAAAAUAUUUUUUCCAUGUAGAAUUUCAUCAGAAUAAGGAAAUUGGCCCGUCACAAAAAUUUUGACCCGUGCUCGCGCGCCAUAUAUUUCAUUAUGUGUGCGCCACUUUGUUGUUUUGCUCUCAGUACGCAAGAUUGAGGUCCCCCGUGCGCACAGUAUAAAAUAAUUUCAUUUGUUGCACUUUGAUUCCUCAAUUUCAAUCUUCAUUUGUUUUAACUCUUUUUUGAUGUCUUCUUACUCCUUUAGCUUUCAGUUCCAUCUAAUUGAAUUCACACCUUCUCCAAUCAUCGAUAUUAGGUCCAAAUCAACUAUUAGCACUUUGAAUUUUAAUCCCCAAGCUUUGGAUUAAUUUCUUUUUAGCACCUUUUUCAUUUCUUUCUUCCAAAUCCAUCAAUUUGCAUUGAUGCCAACCUCUUUGACUUCUUUAUUCAUCAAAUUGACUUCCAACACUUUUGAAUCUUCAUUUUAUUGCCCGUCUCAUGUAUGGAUUAUUUUCAACUUGGUCAUCAAGCUUUUACUUUCUUCCAUUUUGAUCCUUUUUUGCUAUUUUCUUCCAAACUCCAUAUUUUCCAUCCAUUUACAACCUGAACCAAAAUAUAAGGGUACUGAGUACAUUUAGGCGUUAAUUAAUCACAAAAACGCGAGUAUUAAUGGAUGUAAAAAACGACAUUUUAUGUCUUAUCAAAUUCCCUUAGACUAGGCUUUUGUCCGUGUUUGAGUAAAAUUCAAAUUUACUUUCACAAAAUAUUAAGAUUGCCAUUCCAUCAAUAUAGAACAACCAGACUCAUGAAAACACAUAACAAUUCAUGAACAGACAAUCUCACACAGCUUGUAAUCAAUUAGCAAGUAUUCUCAUAUAAAGUUAGAGUAAACCAAACAUGUAGACUCUCACAGGAUAUAAGCACUCAACUCUCAUGUGUUUAAAGGCUAAGUGUUUCGCUCAAGUUCAUUCCAACGAACAAGAUCUACCAUAUGCUUGCAUGUCUUCUCAUUCUCCACCAAUUAGAUCACAUGCAUUACACAAAUCAUAAGGUUUUUUCACAGGUUGUAACGUGGGUUAGGGUUCAAGUGUGAGAUAUUUGGGUAAGGAACCGUCUUAUGUCUAGUUAUGCCAUUUUCUUUACACAUACUAUCAAAUUCAGUGUUGCAAAAUUCUAGGCCGUUAUCUGUCCUUAAAAAUUUAAUCUUUUUGCUGGUUUGGUUUUCAAUUUGUCUCUUCUAGUUAUUGAAGUUUUGGAAAGUCUUAGAUUUAUCUUUUAAUAAAUAGACCCAAACUUUCCUAGUAUAGUCAUCGAAAUAGAUAGGAAAUAUCUAUUCCCACCCGAUGUGAGAUUACUAGCAAGAUCCCACAGAUCAGAAUGCACAUAUUCAAGCAUGCCUUUAGCCUUAUGAACACUCGAGGAGAACGAUAUUUUAUGAUACUUACCAAGCACACGGUGAUCACAGAAUGACAAAUCUGACACACAGUCAUGACCAACUGCACCUUUUUCAUUAAGUAGCUUAAGUCCCUUAAUACCUACGUGCACAAGUCUAUUAUGCCAUGUGUGUGCGAUCAAUCUUGACAGAAGAGAUAAAGGAGUUCAAACCUCUAAUCACUUUCUCAGUAGUGAUAUAUAAAUGUCAUUUUUCUUAGUCCCUUUAAUAGAAACUAACGCGCCCUUAAUCAUCUUUAGCAUUCCAUUUCAAAUUUUACCAAUGAAGUAAUCUUUUUCAAGUCUCCCUAUUAAAAUCAAAUUCCUAGACAAUUCAGGAAUAUAUCUAGCAUCCUUUAACAUGUACACAAAACCCGUGUCAAAUUUUAUGUUCAUGUCACCAAUUCCAACAAUAGUAUAUGCAAAGUUAUCACACAGCAUAAUAUGCCCAGCAUUAGAUUCAUACAAGUUAUCAAACUAAUUCUUUUCAAAUGUUACAUGAAAAGAAGCACCAGAAUCAAAUUCCACUCAUGCAUGCGAGAAUUAGCAGUAAGAUUUAAUUCAGUAGUGUAUGUAACGGGACUUGUAAUCAUAUAGACCUCACCGUUAUCUAUAUCAGAAGUAGAGGAUAGUACAUUUACCUCAUCUCUCUCCUUACCUUUAACUUACCCUUCUCUUUAUGGCAACCUUUUAUAAAAUACCCCGCGUUCCCACAGCCAUAGCAUUUUCUAAUCUUAGUCCUAGAUUUUGAUCUAGACCUACCCUUGCCCUUCUUUUUCCCUCCAUUACCACUCGACUCGCCACCGCUUUGGUAUCCAUCAUGACUAUUUUGCCUAAACUAAGCUCUACCCCACAUCAUAUGUAACUCAUCGCUCCUCUUAUUGUGUUUUUCAACCCUAAUUUCCAUCUCUUUACUCUUAAGAGAAUCAAUGACAAUUUUAUGUGCCAAUGUAUCCCUACCAUACUUAAUGGCAUUUUUAACUUCCUUAUAAGAAUCAGAAAUAGCAUUGAACAAGAUUAUAGCUUUAUAAGUUUCGGACACAGCUUCAUCACAAUUAACGAGAUCUUGCACCAAUUUGUUAAACACAUCUAAAUUGUCAUCGAGAUCCUUUGAAUGAUCCAUUUUAAAACUGAAAAAACUUUCAAGCAGGUAGAGUUUAUUUAGUGUAGAUUUAAGCAAAUACAAGUCUUUCAACUUUUUUUUAAAGUUCUUUGGUGGUUUUCAGUUUACCCACCUCCCUUAAAACGUUGAUUUUUUUUUGACCCUAUGAAUGUUUUUGAAGCUUACCAAUGGGCUUUGCACUUGGAGAAAACCUUGUCUAGGAGGACUUGGAGUACUGGUAUUGGUGGGGUGAGCAAUGGUAGUAGUAUUGGAAGAAAUGAGAUGAACCAACCACGAACUGUAUGUACUCCAUCUUCACAAACUAAAGGGGCACUAAUGCCCAGUCGAGUAGGGGGGUAGCAUCAAGUUCCUAGGCACGAUGUUUCAAGUGUAAUGAGAAGGGUCAUCGCACGGUAGAUUGCAAAAAAAGUGGUAGAUAUGGUAAGGGGUUAUUCAUUAAUUCUAGAAUUCAGCUGCUGAUGUCGAUCAAGAACCUAUUUACGAUGAUAGAGAGGAGGAAUACGAAGAGGAACAGGUUGCAGGUGAUGAAGGCCCUUUGUUAGUAGUGAGGAGGGCGUGUUUGGCACCUCUUAAGGAUGAAGAAGAUAACUGGCUACGUCACAAUAUCUUCCAGUCGAACUGUACCAUUGGCGGCAAGGUUUGUCAACUUAUCAUUGAUUCAGGCAACUACGAGAACGUGAUUUCUGGUGAGACUAUUAAGAAGUUGGGAAUGGAGAUGGAGAAGCAUCCUAUUUCUUACAAAUUGGCAUGGCUCAAGAAGAGAAGUGAGGUAACUAUUUCUAAGCGUUGCUUAGUCUCAUUUUCUAUCGGCGCGAAGAAUAAGGAUAAAAUUUGGUGUGACGUGAUAACCAUGGAUGCAUGUCAUCUUUUAUUGGGUCGAUCAUGGCAAUUUGAUAGGGAUGUUAUCCACGAUGGAAGGCAAAAUACGUAUAGUUUUGUGUUUAACAAAGUAAAGAUUGUCUUACUCCCUAACAAAAUGGAGGAGUCCCAAAACGCUUCGGGAGGGGGAGAGCAGAUUUUGUUAGCUAGGAGGGACUUUAUGAAUGAGUUAUAGGAGUUUGGAGUGGUGUGUUUGUGUUGUUGGGAAAAGAGGGUUAUGCAGGGAAAAAGGUACCAGCUCGCGUGAACAAAUUAGUUGAGGAAUUUUCUGAUCUAUUUCUAGAUGAACUACCGGAAGGUUUGCCACCAUUGAGAGAAAUACAACAUCAAAUUGACUUGGUUCCUGGUUCUAACAUACCGAACCGACCACAUUAUAGCAUGACCCCCAAGGAGCAUGAGGAGCUUAGGCAUUGGGUAAAGACCUUGUUGUCAAAGGGUCAUAUCAGAGAAAGUCUUAGUCCCUGUGUUGUGCCAACAUUACUUACUCCAAAAAAAGACGAGUCCUGGAGGAUGUGCGUUGACAGUAAGGCUAUCAACAAAAUCACAAUUAGGUACAGAUUUUCUGUUCCUUGACUAGAUGAUUUGUUGGAUCAACUAAGUGGUGCUACUGUGUUUACCAAGUUAGAUUUGAAGAGUGGUUAUUGUCAGAUACGUAUACGUCCAGGAGAUGAGUGGAAAACUUCUUUCAAAACUAGGGAGAGGUUGUAUGAGUGGUUGGUGAUGCCCUUUGGGUUAUUUAAUGCCCCCAGUACCUUUAUACGGGUGAUGAACCAGAUUUUUAGGCCGUUCAUUGGCCGGUGUCUUGUAGUUUAUUUCGACGAUAUAUUGACAUAUAGUGCUAUUGUGGAGUUGCAUCUUCAGCAAUUAAGAGAGGUUUUGGAGGUACUACGCAGGGAGAAGUUUUUCGUAGCCUUAGCCAAAUGUUCUUUCAUGAUGAACUCGAUCUUAUUUCUAGGCUAUGUAGUUUCCAAGGCUGGUCUAUAUGUCGAUGAAUCCAAAGUUGCAACUACUCGAAACUGGCCACUUCCUACCACUAUUCAGGAGGUACGUAGCUUCCAUGGGUUGGUAUCUUUUUACAGGCAUUUUAUUCCAAAUUUUAGUACUGUUACGGUACCACUCAUGGAUUGUAUGAAGGGUGAAAAAUUCAUGUGGACAAAUGAAGCAAUCGAGGCAUUUGAACAAAUUAAGGAGAAGUUAAUAACCGCUUCUAUACUUGUGAUGCCGGAUUUUUCUCAACCUUUUGAGUUAUAUUGUGAUGCCUCUGGAGUUGGCAUUGGGGCCAUUCUCAGUCAAGGGAGCAUGCCCGUGGCUUACUUCAAUGAGAAAUUGAAUGGGUCCAAACUUAAAUAAAGUACCUAUGAUGUGGAAUUUUUUUCUGUUGUUCGGGUCUUGAAGCAUUAGAGCUCUUAUCUAGCAUAUAAUGAGUUCAUCCUCUAUUCAGAUCAUGAGGCAUUGAAUCGCCUUCAUAAUCAGGAUAAACUCUCCACUAGACAUGCACGUUGGGCAUCUUACACUUAAUAAUUUUCUUUCAUCAUUAAACACAAAGAAAACCAAUUUUGUGUGCCCGAAGGGAGUCGACGCCUGAAGAUUAUUCAAGAAUUACACAAUAAAGGUCAUGUGGGGCAUGACAAAACUUUGAAGCUUAUCACGGAGCAAUUUUUCUGGCCUCAUAUGCAGAACGAAGUCGCAAAAUUUGUGGAGGGAUGUAAGAUUUGUCAGGUCUCGAAAGGGAAAGCAACUAAUGCAAGUCUUUAUUUGCCCUUGCCUAUUCCAGACCGACCUUGAACUAGUGUUAGCAUGGAUUUUGUGUUGGGGUUGCCUAGAACACAAUGCGAAUAUGAUUCUAUUUUUGUGGUGGUAGACAGGUUCUCCAAGAUAGCACACUUUGUGGCUUAUAAGAAGACAUCAGAUGCUGUUCAUGUGGCACAACUUUAUUUUCGUGAGAUAUAUCGAUUACAUGGAUUGCCAUCGUCCAUUGCGUCUGACAAAGACACUCAUUUUCUUAGCCACUUCUGGAGAUGUUUGUGGUGUUUGUCUAAUACCAAGCUCGACUUUAGUAGUACCUAUCAUCCUCAAACCAAUGGACAAAUCGAAGUUGUAAACCUUCUUUGGGAGACUUGUUACGAUAUCUGGUGGGUGAUCACUUGAAGUCCUGGGAUCAGAAAUUAUUUCAGGCUGAGUUUGCUUACAACCGGUCUACUAAUAGGAGUACGGGGUUUAGUCCUUUUCAUGUAGUUUAUGGUUAUAACCCUCGCGCACCACUUGAUUUAGCUCCUCUUCCUGAUAUCAGACGAGUUCAUGUCAAGGCUCAAGAUUUAAUAAGUCAAAUUCAGAAAACCCAUGAAGCAACGGUCAAGAACUUGCAAGAUUCUAUUGCCAGGUAUAAGGUGACUGCGGAUGUGAAGAAGCAUUUUGUGGAGUUUGAAGUGGGAGGUUUUUAUGGGCUAUCUGACAAAAGAUCGAUUUUCUACUGCUCGGAAAAUUGGACUGCUGGAAAUAAUUGAAAAGAUCAAUCCUAAUACAUACAGGUUGAAACUUCCAAGCAAUGUGGUGACCAGUGAUGUCUUUAAUGUCAAGCACCUGAUUCCAUAUGUUGGCGAUUCAUCAAUGGAGUACUCGAAUUCGAGGGCGAAUUCUCUCCAACUCGGGGAGGAUGAUGUAGAUUGUGUGGCAGCAACAGGAUGAUUAGUCCAUGUGAUGGCAUGAGAUAUAGAAAUAAACCAAUUUAUUUUACCAAGUUAUUUUAUUAGCUUUUCUUUCUAUUAUUUUUAUUAUUAUGUUGGUCGAGUUUAAGGAAAGUUCCAAUAAGUUAAUUAUUCUGCCAGUCAAUGUUUUGGUAAGUUUUCUACCUAGUUUUUUUUAGUUUUUAUUUAUAUUUGGGGGCAUAUUCUGAAAGGACGUUUUUUGGAGAUAGAAUUAACAUCAAUAAGAAUUUUCUUUCUUAACUCCUGCAUUCCUAGUUCUGGUUCUAGGUUGUGGAAGAGUUGUGAACUUACUGUGAUCACAGAUUUUGCUUCUGUUCCGUUUUCCUGCUGCAUUACUACCCCUACUGGCUCGGUCCAAAUUUAUAGGUUGGGCAAAGCAUGGUUUACUAAGUGAGCCAUAUGAUGAUACAAGAAGUAGGUUUCACCUGAACUGACUUUUAUGAAUGGAGAAAUUAGGGUGGUGGAAAGAGGGGGAAGACAAAAAGCGGCGGUGAUAAUAGAGUAUUAGCUUAACUCAUUGACUUUGGAAUUGGAUUUUGGGCUAUAAACCGAUCUAAUUGUUCCCAUUGAUAUCUUUUGCAUAUUGCAAUUCCGAGUAAAUGGAACUUAACACAAGUUAAUUCCUGUCAAAAAUAUUUGUGCAUAUACUUGAGGCAUUCUCUUUUCCUUGGCUAUUUUCACAUGUCCUUCCAGUUUUUUCAACUCUAAAAUCUUAUUAUUUCAUCAAUUUCAGCAUUAGUCAGACAAUCAUUUUUCAUGGCUUCAUCUUCAACAAAUUUCCCCAUGGGAGAUUUAGUCCAAAAAUAUUAAUGGAGCUUCAAUGUGCUUAGUGGGACAAUUAUCUGGCCCGUUACUUGAACAUUCCAACGUCCACAUGGGUAAAAUUAAACAUAAAAAAGGCAAAAAAAGAAAUGAAAAAAGGAAAAAAAUGGUUUCGUCUUCUGAGCAGCCACGGAAGAAUACAUAUUCUACUUAUUUUUCAUCGUUUUCCCUUUGUCCACUUCUUUCUGUGCUCAUGAGACGAGUAUUGAGGAAGAUGAAGAUGGAGAGCGUGAUGGUAAAGCGGGAUUGAAGGUGAGAUCAGAAUAUAAGUAGAUGUGCAUUGUUGAGACAGCAAUCUUUCUGCUCACACAUGAUCACCUGUCAAAGUACUUGGUUUCUCUACUGCGAUGCAGUGAUGGAAAUGAUAGAAAUCAUCCACUGCCACCUAGAAACAGAAGUAUUUCUUUUUCCUAUGCUAUUUUCACCGUUUCUUCCAAUAUUUUUCUACAUUUCAACUCUAAAAUCAGAUUGAUCACCGGUUCAGCCCGAGUCAAAGAAAUAACUACAAGUAGCUUCAUCUUCAUCAACCUUUCCCCAAAAAUUAUACAAGUUUUGGACUGAAAUCUCAUUACAUGAUUUGAGAGCAUGUUUACAUUAAACAUGCACCAAAGGUGCACCUAAUGUGCACCUAACAUGCACUUGAUGUUCACAUCUCGUAGAAUCCAAUAUUCGUGUCAAAAUAUUUGUGUCAAUAUUUUUGUGCAUAUGCUAUAGGAGUUCCCUCUCCUUUGCUAUUGUCACCAACACUAAAAUCAGAUUGAUUUUAUUAAUUUUAGCCCACGUUAAAGAAUCCCUACUCAUGUCUUCAUCUUCAAUUUUCCCCAUGUUUAUAUACAUUGUUCGAAAAAAAAUUUGCCAAAAGAGAUUCUGUCCAAACGUACUAACAGAUGUUCUACAAAAUCAAUAAUUGGACUUCUCUACUGCGGACUGAUCAAUUAUUUGCCCCGUUGUUAACACGACACUCAAAGUGAUUAUUUUUGACAUAUUACUAGGAAAACCUCCCUAUCCUUUGGAUCUAUUGCGGAAUAUUAUCUAUCUUCUCAAAUUUACUGAAAACGCCCAUAUAUGACUUCUUAGGUACGAAAGACUCCCUUUUCUCAUUUUCUCAAUAAAGCCUCCCGAAUAACAAACAUAUCCUCCUAUUUAUACAAAAAAUAAAAAAUAAAGAACGAAUUUCCACUACAAGAAAAAUGGCAUUUUGCAACAUGUAAAAGGCAACUUUCAUUAAUUGCAUGUUGCUAGAAGGGGCCUAUCGUAACAUUUAGCAAGUGUAUGUUGCUAUUGAUUCAUUAAAUUGAGUUUUGACAACUUUUUUUUUUAAUGAAUGUUGCUAAUACAACCUUUUGCAAUGUUUGGGGUCCAUUCGUUUUAUUAUUAUUAUUAUUUUUUUUUUUUUGCAACAUGCAAUUUUUUUUUUUUUUUGCAACAUGCAAUUUUUUUUUUUUUUUGCAACAUGCAAUUUUUUUUUUUUUUUGCAACGUGCAUUUAAUGCUUUAGCAACGUGCAAUGCAUGUCACCAUUAAUUAGCUUAAGCAACAAGCAAUGCGCAUCACCAUUAGGUGUUUUAGCAUUGCGCAUUUAAAAGUUGUCAUUAAUGUUUUAGCAACAUGCACUGUGCGUUGCUGUUAAACGUUUUAAUAACACACAUAUGAAUGUUGUCAUUAAUCUUUUCGCAACGUUUAUUGCACGUUGUCGUUAAAUAUUUUAGCAACACACGUUUGAGCGUUACCAUUAAUCUUUUAACAACGUGCAUUACACAUUGCCAUUAUUUAUCAUAGCAAUUUAACCAGUCUAACCCAAAAUAAAGUGAAUCUAGCCCAUCAAAAGAUCCAACUCACAAAAAAAUUUAAUUUACAAAAAGUAGAAAUCCUAAACUGAUUUUUCACUACUUCCUUCCUCCAUUGAGGCCUCUCCAACAAAAUCAAAAUCAUUUAAACACCAAAAUCCUUCUCUCUCACAAGAAAAGUGGCACAAAUCUUUGUAUGUUGAUAAUAACAAGCCACCAGAUUUUUUUCUUAACUGAUUUUCCAAUGAAUUAUUCCGUUGAAAACUAGAUAAAAGAGUGAUUCUCUAUUCAAUUGUAUAGUGUGUGUGUGUGUGUGUGUGUAUAGUCUUCCAUACACUUCCUCUUUAACACUAAUUUUCACUUGCUUUCUCGCCACCUCCUUCGCAGACCACCAUCAAAUUGAAGUAGGCCGAGACGUCGGAAGCAGAAGAAGAACAAUAAGUCAUCAUAAGCCUUAGCCACUGGAGAUGAUAGCGACACUGCUUUUGAGGAUGGGUGUUUUUUAAAAAACCAGAAACACUUCUUGAUUUCUUUCAAAUCAUAUCUAAAUCCCUCUUCAUCUAUGUAAUCCACUAUUGAAAUGGACAGCUUAGCAGUAAACCGCUUCAUGGAACUAAAAGAAGAAGAAACUCAUAAGAAACUAGGAGAUGGAGCAAAAGGGACAGCAUGAACAGGAUGAAAUGACGGUGAAAUACCUGAUGAAGAAUACAUGGAGGCUGAUUUUGAUUCUGAAGCUAGGGCUAAACUCUUCUGACUCCAAAGUCAAGGUAUGUUUCUAGGUUUAUGUGUGUGCAUGUGUGUGUGUUGUUAUGUUUAUCUUUGUAUAAAUAGGUGUGAUAGCAUUUGAUUUUAUUUGGGGUUUGAAUUGUAGGAAUUGGAAGAUAUGAAGAAGAGAUUGCAGGAGAUUGAGGAAGAAGCAGGGACAAUGCGAGGUAUGUAGGCCACGGUGGAGAAACAGACUGUCAAGGCUCAAGGUCUUUUUAUUACUCACUCUAAGUGCUUGUUCCUAUAUAUGUUUGAUGUCAUAUAUAGAUGUAUUUUAAAAAUUCUUGACUUUGUCUAAGUUUACUUUUAUAACUAAAUUGCCCAUGAUGGGUUGAUUUCGUAAUCUUUGUAGAUUCCAGUGGUUUAAGACUUUUAGAUGAGUAGGAAACAUUCUACUUUUUAUCUUAGUGGCUACAACAUUAGUGAAUAUGGACUUAUUUAAUAGAUACCUCACAAGAGGCUAUAGGAUAAUAUUUCAGUUGUAAAUUCAUUUUCCUAAUGAAAUUGACUCCUUUGACAGAUUUUGGAUUGUUGAGAAGUAAAAAAUUUAAUGCAUCAUUAAAGAUUUUGAUAUAAGGAAAGAUAAUUGUGAGAAUCUACAAUAGGGGACCAUUUAAGGGGAAGUGGAGUACUAAAGUUCCUAAGUUAGCAAUGAUACAUCUUAAAAAGUACUACGUUAUUUAAACUAAGAGCCUUAUGAGUUUAGGAUUGCUUGAGAACUACAUGAAAAGCCACGAUAUGCUCUUGAGGUAGGCGUUAUACUUGUUACCAAAAGUCGGUAGUGCAUUGAUGAAUAUGCUCUUAAUUGUCAUUGACCUUACCAAGUAAAAUUUUCAAUUUAUGAAGUAACGUUAAAUUUUUUCACUUUCUCAUUUUUAUUUGAAAAUUCUACCAUUCUUUUUAACUAUUUUUCCUUAGGUUUUCCAUGUAUUGCAAAUUGUAGAAAACACAAUUGUUUUAAAGGAUUGAUUUGUGUCUUCUCUUGACUAUCAAUUAUUUUAUUGUGUUUUAUGCCUUUUGACAUUGCAAUUUUUCUUGUUUCUUGUUGCUAAAUAUCAUUGAAAUUUGAGAUUGAUGAUUGUUCCUUUGCUGUCUAUGGGGUUCAUUUUGCAUCUGUUUGCUUUCUGUAAGAAUUCUAUUGUUCCCUAAAAUCUUUAGUUUUAAUCGUUGAUAUCGUUUGUCUAACUGUGGGGUACAUGAAUUUAGGAAUUAUUAUUUGAAUUUAAAAUCAAAGCUGUAAUUUUUUAUGUUAUUUAAAGCUACAGUCUUCACAAUGAAAGAUCCCUAUUUGCAACCUUUGCGUUACUGAUUACAAUUUUACUUUGGUUAUAAUAGAAUGAUAUAAUUCAAGUCAGGCUUUUCACAUUAUCUUCAUCUGUUUUUUCUUUUUUUCUCCAAUGAUUGCUUAAAUAGGCGGAUCUUUGAAUCUACAAGAUAGGAGAGUCCUUGAUUUUUAAUUUUUUUUUUUUUUUUUGUAAAGAUGGUCAUAUACAGGAUUUCCUCGUGCUCAAUUAUUGGCAAAUGCACAAGCAGCAAUUCAAAGGAAAAGUAAGGUAAAUUCUUGAAUUUUCUACCAUUUUUCUUGAAAUGCAGGAAGGUGACGCUAUUGAGCUCCAGAAGAAAGUAAUGUGGAUUGCCUGCUAGAUGUUCGUAAUUUCUUUUCUCUCUCUUUUAUUUUUAAGAUGAGCGUAAGAGAAUGUUUGCACUUAUUUCUAUAGUUUGUUCUAUAUUUUAAGUGUAUAGAUUCAAAUUUGUAAUGAAAUUUUUAUUUUUUCGCGAUUCAAAUUUUUUUCACAAGGUGUAAAUCUUUAAUUUUCUAGUUUAAUUUCAUAAAUUCCUUUAAAAAGUAUAAAAAAAAAUGUAAAAUGAUCUACGACAAUGAUAAAAAAUAUUUUAGAAAAAGAAUAAAAGCAAAGACAACGUGCAAAAAAUGCUGUAAAAUAUAUAAGACAAAAACAAAGGCAACGAUCAAUGGAUGUUGUGAAAACUUUAAAGGCAAUGGUAAGUAAAUAAUGCCAAAAGUAUAAAGGCAACAAUCAAUGGAUGUUGCCAAAACUGCAAAGGCAACAGUUAGAGAAUGCUGCAAAAACAUGUAAAUGCAACAUAUAAAAAACGUUGCAAAAGGUUAAAUGCAACGUUCAUUGAGCCUUUUGCAACGGUUAAUGAACGUUGCAAAAAAGCCUUUCACAAUGGUCUUUGAACAUUGUUGUAUCCUUUAACUCUACGACAAUAUCGAAGCCUGCAACGCACGCGUAAACAUUGCAAAAGGUCUUUCGAAAAUUUUUUGACCGUUGCAAAAGAGAGUUUUUGGUGUGGUGUUCAAUUGUAGUCAUAAUUUUUUUUAAAAAAAAGUAUAAACGAGUCCCAAAUAAAUAAUUAAAAAAAAAGACUCUCUUUCUUUCCCACCUACCCUAUAUUCCUACCACCACCUUUCUCUAGUCAUUUUUCCAAAUAUAAAUACUUGCUAAGGUUUGUUAGCCCCCAUGUCUUAAUCCUACACAUCUUAGAGAGAAAUUAGAAAGAAAAGAAAAAGACUGCAAAGAGUGAAUGAAAGUGGGACUGAAUAAGAAUUAUGGCGGACAACAUUGGAGUGGUGGCACAUCUUCAGAGUUGGAUUCCAAAAGAUGAUCUAUUGCUUAAAACUGUUUGAUAUACAACCCUUUUAAGCACCAUGUGAUUUUGUUCAAGAUUUUUUUCUUCUUCUUGGUAGUACCAGAAAUUCCUAGAGGCAUACUAUCAGAAAAACUUCCUUGACCAAUUGGGUAGAUCAAGAAAACAGCGAUAGCAGCUGCAACGGGAGCUGAAUAUGCAACAACAAUCUAAGGUUGCAUACCCAAACGAAAACUAAGCUUCCACUCACGACCCAUGUAACAAGGUAUACCAAGUAAGAGGGAAGUUAUGAGCAUUACGUUCAUGCAUGAGAUGUUCACACCAAAGAUGUACCUAAUGUGCACCUGACGUGUACUUGAUGUUCAUAACUUAUCAAAUCUAAUAUCUUUGCAUCAAGUGAGUUCUUGUCAAAAUAUUUGUGUCAAUAUUUUUGUGCAUAUACUAGAGGCACUCCCUUUUCCUUUGCUAUUUUCACCAACACUAAACUUAGAUUGAUUUCAUCAAAUUUAGCAUGCAUCAAAGAAUCCCUAUUGUUAGGUUUUAUAUUGUAAUUGGCGAUUCUGUGAACAUAAGGGACUUAAUUGAACAUGUUGUAAAAGUUGGGGACUUGAGUUGCAAUUUGUAUAGAUGGUUUAGGCUAGGUUGAAUUUGGAACAAGGUAGAAUACUCAUUGAAUUUUCACUAGCUGGUCACCAAGUUGUUGCUCGAGCGGAGGAAGCAGAACCAUCGUCACCCGUUUGUCGUCCCAGCGUCAUUGGAGCGAAGAAGCUGUUGCUUGUUUCUAUUUAAGGUGUAGCUCAAGCGAUAGUGAUAUGUGGCCAAACCCUAUGUUGCGAUUUGAAGAAUUUUACAUUGCCCAUGAGACCUGUUUGUCCCCAAGAAUAAAUAUAGAACUCAUGGACGUGAUAAUGAGAGGUUGCUACAUUGUGCUAACUUUGAAUACACUUUACAUCAUCUUCUAGAUAUCCAAAACAUAUUUAUUGGAGGAUUCAAUCAUUUUUAUCUUAUGAUUCGACAACCAACUUUUGGAGAAAACAUCAAGGUACAAUAAUCCAAAACACCGUGCUUCCUUAAUCUGUUGAGGAAUGGACUCUCUCAUUAGGGGAUUGAAGCACAGUUACAUGCACAGGAACAGUUAGUUCUUGGUGUUCUACUUGGAGAGAGAGACAUUCAACGCAAAACCAAGAGGCUGUAGGAGAUAGCAAAUUGGACUACUAGAGGUAGAUUAGGAAAUCUAGCAGGAGGUUAGAGGUAUCUACGAUAGCAGAAGGCUACAAGAGGUAGAUCAGGAGGUCUAGCAGGCUAGAGGUAUCUAUGGCAAUAAAUCAUAGGAUUGUGGCAGCGGGUCUUAGUGGGUACAAGUUGUGGAAUUGUUGUGUAUUCUCUGAACUAUCUAUAGUGGAGGUAACUGGCUUGGUCUCGGAGUUUUUCCCAUGUUGGGUUUCUCCUUCAUCAAAUUUUGUGUUCUUUACUUUCCAACAAUUUAUUAUAAACUAUGGUAUUCAAACAUAGGGUUAAUUAAAUUGCAUGCUUAAUCAUCUAGAAACUAAUUAAAAGUGACGUAUUUGCUUUAAUUAGUGAAUUCCGCAUGUAAGGUCAAACUAAUCGACAAUCUGGAACUUAAACUUGGUAAUCUUAAAAGUAAAAGUAGUGUGUUGCGUCCCAGACCUGAAAACUCACACCUACUCAUGUCUUUAUCUCUAAAAUUUUCCCCAUGAUUUAUAUACGGGGUUCGAACCAAAAUCUACCAAAACAGAUUUCAUCCAAAAGUAUUAACAGCCAUUUUCUCGGAUCAAUUAUUGGCAUUCUUUGUGACUAACAGGUCAAUUAUUUGGCCCUGUUAAUUAACAUGCCAUUCAUUGUGAGUGAUUAUUCUUAGCUUAUUGGCGCAAAACCUCCCUAUCCUUUGGACCUAUUGUGGAGUAUCCCCAUGUUUUCUCAAAUUGGCUAAAAGCCGUUAUAUAAGACCUUUAAGGUGGGAAAGACCACAUUUUCUCAAUAACAUUGUGAAAUGAUGAAUAUAUCUUUCUAUUUAUAUAAAACAAAGAGAAAGAAGAAAAGAAAUAAAGAUCAAAUUUCAAUUGUAGUCCUAAAUUUUUUUUAAAAAGUGCAAUUGAGUCCUAAAAAUAAUUAAAAAAUUAAAUUGAAAAUAAAAAUGUCUUUCUUUCCCACCUACCCUGUAUUCCUACCCCUACCACCACUCUCUGAUCUUUUUUUUCAAAAUAAAAAUUCUUGUUAUGGUUUUUUUGGCCCUCAUGUCAUAAUCCUACACAUCUUAGAGAGAUAAAUUAUAAAGAAAAGAAAAGGACUAUUGACACGACUCGUCCCGAAUCAUCUUAGUGAGAUCCAUCUCCAAGGUAGAGUAUGAGUUAUUACUAAAUAUGCCCUAAAUAAGAUGCUUAUGAAAUAGUAUGCAAUGGGUCCAAAAUCAUCACUUCGUACUUAAUUAAAAUGAAUCAUAUUGCUCCAUAUGUCAUGUGGUUUUCACUUUGAAAUCAUCACGCUCUUCUAGCUAUAAAGAACCAAUUGCUAUCUGGAGGAAAUAGUAUGAGAAAAUAUGAGUUGAUAGCUCAGUGAGUAGAGAAGUUCGAAAAUAAUUAUAUUUUCACAUUUAUACAUUUUCAUCGAAAAUCAAGUUGACAUUAUUUAAUAGUUUACAUUAUAAAGACAUAUAAUAAUAAUAAUAAUCAAGAUGUGAUAUACCUCAAAAACAUUGAAAAAUAUUAUUUCACAGUCAUGAUAUAAUGUAAUACAUUAAUUUAAUAAAAAAAAAGUUAAACAUGUCAUACAAAAAAAAAACACUAAAAACAUUUAAAAAAGUAUUGGUAGGCGGUGGAUUGACCUAUGAUCCAAAUCCAUUCAAAACACACACAACCCACCAAGAAGCCAAGAGCAGGGAGAAAAGAAAUAGAAAAGAUGAAGGAAAAAAAAAGGAAAGGGAAGGAAGAAAAAAAUAGGAAACUUUGCCUAUGUUAUUAGAAAAUAAGAGCUUCCUACAAGUAGGCUUGAAUUCUUCAAUUUAAAGGUAAGUAAAAAGUUACUUAUUGUGUAGUUAUGUUUAAUUUUAUAGUGUUUAAAUUGUUAGUUUAAAUUCAAUUUUAUUGAAAGGGAACUAUUGAAUAAAGUAUAAUGAGCUAUAUAAUUAAGUUAAAUGAAAGAAAAAUUAGCUUAAAUGAUUGAAGGAACUUUAGAAAUCGCUUAAGUGUGAAAGGAUUAAAUUUGGGUAUCAUCUAUUUAAUUAUUGAAAUUUCUUAAAAUAGUUAAUUGUUGAUUUAAAAAUUAUAUCAUAUUUCAGGCGGCGAUAUGGAUAUCGGGACAGAUUACCAACCGAGUUGAUUUUGGCGUACAUAGUUCUAUGGGUGAAAAAAUUUAUAUAUUUUCAAAUAUUAAUAAGGCAAGUAAUUAUAUUAUGUACGAUUAUGUGAAUUAUUUGUUCAAUCACAUGAUUAAUAUGGAAAAGUUCUUUCAAUAUGAUAUAUGUGGAAUUUAAAGUUUGGAUAUGGAUUAUUUGUGAAUUGAAAUGCGAAAUAGAUGUCAUGUUGAGAUUGGCUAAAAAAGUACUCAUGAUUAUAUAUAUCUUCUAGUUCACUGAGAGGCCUUGACUGUGCUCUAUACUACAUUGAGGGGUCUUAGACCGUAGAUGACGGGGUCUUAACCAUGCACAUAUAAUUUACUGAGGGGCCUUUGCCGUGUUUUAAAAUGAAUUAUUAGAGGUCUUGAGACCGACUUUUGUUCAUGGAGAGGGCCAAAGGCCCGUGGCAAAAGUUCGUAGCCCGAGAGAUGGAUUACAGAUUUUAUUCAUAAGGUACAUUUUUGAUGGAUUUUUCAAUAAAUUUGAUAUGAUAUUAUAGUAUAGUUAUCAGUUGACAUUUAUAGCUUGACUUUGAGAUGCUAUUUUGUGAUGUUAUGUGAAUGCAUCAUGUUUUGACUAUAAUUAUAUGAUGUUAUUUUGUGAGUUAUUCAAUUAUAUGAACUCGAUUUUCGAUGAAAAUAUAAAAUUGAAAAAGUAUAAUUAUUCUUGAACUUCUCCACUCACUGAGUUAUAAAUUCAUAUAUUUUCCCGUAAUUUUUCCUACAGGUAGCAAUUGAUUGCUUUUAGUUGGAAGAGCCUAAUGAUUUCGGAAUGAGAGCUACAUGACAUGUUGAGUGUUAUAAUUCAUAUUGAUGAAGUAUGAAGUAAAUAAUUUGGGUCCAUCUCAUUAUAUUUUACAUAGCAUUUGAUUUUGGCGCAUUUUUUUAUAGUAACUCAUAGUCAGCCUUGGUGAUAGAUUUGAUAUCUAGUCAGCAUCUAUCAUUGGUGCACUUCACGUUUCAGAUCCACUCGAAUGAUUCGGGACGAGUUGUGUUAUAUAAUCAUUGACAUAACUCCAUAUCAUUAUCUCAUCACAUCAUAUGUAAUUCACCAAGUAUGUACUUUCUAAAAUCUGUAAUCUGUCCCUCGAGGCUAAACACCAUCUCCAUGGUGUGUGAACGAAAGUGGCUCUUAAAGACUUUUGAUUAUCAAUUAUAGAAUACGGUCAAGGCCCUUCAGUGAACUAUAUGUGCAUGAUUAAGAUGAAUGUUUGAUCAAGACCCUUCCGUGUAUUAUAGAACACGGCCAAGGUCCCUCUGUGAACUAGAAAAAGUAUAUAAUCACGAAUACUUUUUUUUGGUCGAUCUCAAUAUCACAAGUCUCACAUUCCAAUUCACAAGUAAUCAAUGUACAAUAUUUAUGAUUUCACAUAAAAAGAUAAUGAAAGACCUAUCAUAAUAAUCAUGUACAUCUCCAAGAAUUUCACAUAAUUGCACAUAAUAUACUAGUAUAAUUAAUUCAUCAAUACUUGAAAAUACUUAAGUUUUUCCAUUCACCAAGUUGUAGAUCAAUGUGACUUCAAUCUUCUCAUCACCUUCUCACAUUCAAAUACAAAGCACGACAUCUUGCACUCAUCCCAAGAAAUCACAUCUCUUCACCAAGGUGCCUUAAUCAUUUCCCCCACCAUUAGAAAUAAUAGUUUACCAAUAGGAACUUAGAUGUCUUUAAUUUUCAAUCUCAUAAUCCCAAUUAGGGUUACUAACAACAUACACUCCUUUAUAUACAUUAAUUUGACACCUAAUCCCCAAUAUUUAACACAUAAUUUCGUUUUCAUAUUAAACAAGGGUUAUGCUAUAUGCACAUUAUGGUGUCCAUAAGGGUAUUUAUAAUGUACAAGUGACAUAACAUCAUUAGAGGGUUGAAAAAUAGUUUUUUAACCCUUCAAUUAUGAAAUUUCACGUGUACAUUAUGGACACCCUUAUGGAUGCCAGAAUGUACCUGUAGAAUUAUCCAUUAAACAAUCCAAGAAAAUCAAAAGAUUAUCCAAAACUAUACUGCAUUUCUAGAAUAUUGAAAUUCGACACAAAUUUCUGUGUAUGGGAAAUUGUCUUUGAAGAUUUUGACAAAAAGAGCACUUUCUGGCUGAAUUUCAAAAGUAGCAACAAUGUAUUGCCUUGCUUGAAAUUAGCCUAAAAUUUCUUGAAUAAUUAAGAAACUAAACCUCAAAUCUUUAAUCAAGCAAUUGAUAUCAUAUAAAUACAACAAUUUUAAAGAUUGAAUCUAUAAUUUACAAACCCAUUUCAUAUUUCUUUGACUUCACCAUGAAUCUUCUAAUAGUUCUCUCUGUAUUAAUAUUCUUAAAUACCUCAAAUACAUCUUAAUAAUCUCUAAUUCUUGCUAAACUUCAGAAAUAAAACAAUUUUCCGUGAACCAUAAAAUCAAAUUGAAGCAAAUCUGUUCCUCACCUCUAAAAUAGAGAAAUUGAACACCCUAGCUCAUUAGUGUUGCCAUCCUUCUCUCUCUCUCCCGUCACCUUCUUUUUUCUUUUUUUCUUUUUGUUUCUUCUCUUCUCCCCUUCUUUUUCUUUCUCUCUAUUCUUCCCUGUUUGUUUUUCUUCGUUCUCCAAAAUAGAAAUAAUGGGUCCAAUGAGAGUUAAGUGGGUAUGUAUCACAAAUUUGCAAAAGAAGUCCCUUAACUUCUUAUAAUGUAACUUUUAGCCCUUUCCAUUCUCAUAUUAGAAACCAAAUCCUUGAAUUCUAUUUUAUUUUAUCUAUAGCCCUUAAGUAAUUGCAAUUAGUAAUUAAGUCCUUAUUUGAAUUUGACUUUGACUAAAUAUUUUCUUAACUUUGACUAUAAUGAAUAGGGUGCAACAACUUCAAAGGGAAAGAAAGAGAGCGGCAUUGAAUAAAAAAGAGUUAUGGUGGACAACAUGGGAGCGAUGGCACCUCUUCAGAAAUGGAUUCUAGAAGACGAUCUCUUGCUUUUAAAUGACGUUGAGGUAUAACUCUUUAAGGUAGAUUUGGUUUUAUUCAAGAAUUUUUCUUCUUUGUCUUGGUGAUGUUGGUUUUGUAUGUGGGUGCGUUUAUUGGAAAAUGAUUCUAGGUUCUUCAUUUAUUUUAAGAUUAUUUAAGUUUAAAAUGGAAAAAUGAAGUCUGGUUUUAAAAUACAAUUGGGUUUCUUUGUAUUGAUUUAACAAGUAUUCCGAUUUUCCCCUAUAUUCUGAUAGAGGGUAUUGGAAUUGAUUUAUGCAAUUAUUUAAUAGCGGUGGUGGUGAAAGGGAUUUUAAUUUUAAUUUUUAAUUUUUGAUUUGGGACUCGUUUAUACUUUUUAUGAAAAAGUUAGGACUACAAUUCAAAUUAGAUCUUUAUUCUUUCUUCGUUUCUUUUUGUACUAUUGAAAUAGGAUGAUAUAUUUUUCAUUUCACACGGCUUUUUUUAGAAAAUGAAAAAGGGAUCUUCCUCACCUCAAUGGUCAUAUAGAGGGCUUUUAGUCAAUUUGAAAAGAUAGGGGGUCUUUUGUAAUAGGUUCAUAAGAUAAGGGUUGCUUUUACCAAUAAGCCAUUAUUCUUGAAUUUCUUUUUCAUAUACUUUUCAAGAAAAAGCAAAACAGUAAAUUAAUGGAUAAAAAAGAAGAAGAAAUGUAGAGGAAUGGAUUAGAGACAUUGCCACAGAAGCAAAAAACAUUAAUCGACUCAAAUUCUUUUUCCUUGACCAUUUUGAAGCAAUGAGAAACCAUUCAAAUAGUGCAUGACUCUUUCUUUGACCUAAGCAAAUUUGAAUAUCCCUUUUUUCCCUACUUUGACUGAAAAUUUUCGAAAGGAAGAGCGGACGUGUAUGAGAGUGUGGAUGCAAAACAAUGAGUGAGAAAUGGAAGUAGUGUGCACGAGAUAUGCACUAAACAUGCACUUGAUGUUCACAUCCCAUAAAUUGUGGUGGCCUGUAUGCAUAUACAGGUAUUAAAUUCUGAGUUAAUAGAAGUUAGCACCAGUACAUUACUAUCAAAACCUUUUUGUACAAAUACCAGCCCUUCUCCGUUGCUAUCUUCAACCAUUCCUCCAACGUUUUUCAUCUCUAACAUCAUAUGAUUUAAUCAACUUCAAAGUGAGUGAGAGAAGGAAUGCUUGUGGCUUCAUCUUCAUUAACUUUUCCCCAUGAUUAAUUACAAGCUUCAGACAAAAUCUUCGAAGAAAGCUGUCCAAAAUUAUUAAUGACAUUCUACAGACUACAUGGCUAACAAAACAAUUGUCUAAACCGCUAAUUGAACACUUUAGAGUCCCCAUGUGUAAAAUAAAUAUUAAAAAACUAAUAAAGAAUUGUGAAGGAGAAAAAAAAAAUAUUUGUCGGGAAUUUGCUGCCAAACAACCCCCAACAGGCGAUGAUGUAUAAAGGUUAAUUUCAUAGAUUUCGGCCAAUGGUUGAAAUAGGAAAUCAACACCACCAUUAAUAGCUCGACCUGAAAAACUAAGUGGGUUGUUUGAAGCAACAUUUUAAGUAAUGGUUGCUUAUAGCUCAUUCACUAAAUGGAUUACCCAUUUAUAUGGACUAACCCAUUUAUGCUCCUUGGCCCAUAUUGUUGGCUACCCUGUAGAUGUACACACACACGUUAUUCUCCUUUCUUGUUGUUUACGUGUGGCCAAAGAGAAAUCAACAACAACCCUUUUUUUAUAUGAAGCUAAUAGCUGUGAGUUUUUCUCCCGUCCUCGAUGUGAGUGAUCAGCUACCUUCUCUUUCUCUUUGUGAGAUAUUAUCCUUUGUGGUUUAUACAUAUACUUGGAUAACCUUAAAGAAUGUUUUGUGGGUUGAGCUUUGGAUUUUGGAAGAUCUUAUUGAUCUUGAUAUUGAUUUCAUAAAUUGAGCCCAUUUUUGUACAUCAAUUGAAAGUUAUUGGUUAGUACUUUCAUCACAACUGAAAAUCAACACAACUGAACCUGUAAAUUCAUUUUUCAGUGAAACCAGACAUCUGAUGGAUGAAUGGACACCAUAUUUUGACUCUAAAUGACAAGCCAAAGUUGUCUGGUUGGCACGUACAAUGCGUAGAGCAACAGAGAUGGCAGCACAUGAGGCCUACACGUAGAGAUUGGGGCAGUGUGUGGCGUUGAUUCUCGUCGAGGUCCUUGAAGGCAGUUUGUUGAAAUCUGGACAGUUUUUCCAUUGAGUAUUUGGUUGUCGGAUGUUAUUUUGGGUUGCUGCAAUUGUUGAAGGUUGUAGAGCGAACAGUGGUGGCCUUGAAACUGUAAAUUUUUCGCAUCUUUCCUUUAUUUACAAACCGAUAGUUUGGUAGGCUCGAUGAAUUGGCUGAUCUCUUUCUGUAUUAGAAGGCCAUUAUGUGGGGCGAUCAUUGGGUUUGGGAUUACCGUGCGGGGGUAAACAUUGCUUGUUGCUAGAAUUUAGUAAUUAUUUGCCUUGUUUUAUGUGUUUGAAGUAUUGAAAAUUGUUAAGUUUUAUUGCUGAAAAUUUUUCAUUGAAUCUGUGAUAUAAUUGUUGAAUGAGUUACUUUGUGAGACUUGAUGAGAAAUUUUGAUGACGACAUUGUCUACUAUUUUGUUGUUUUGAGCCAUUUUAUUUAUGUUUAUUUAGUAUUAGUUGGGCUAGCCCAAACUUUGACUUUAGGGUUACUGUUUCUAUUUAAAUGUUUGUAAAUGAAACUUGGGAGAAGACUAGAAAUGUCUCUUAUUUUUGUUCUUGUUCUUCUUCUUCGGCAGUGAGAUAGUAUCGUGAACUCCAAUGUUUAACACAGCUCCAAGUUAGGCGUUCCUUCUUCUUCUUAUUCUUCUUUGUGAGAUCGUAUUGUGACCUUCAGCAUCUAAUGCAGCUCCAAGUCCGGGGGUCCUUCUUCUUCUGUUCUUGUCUUCUUCUUCUUUUUCUUCUCUGUCACAGUUAUUAUACUUUUUCUCUUGUCAAGUUCACUUGACGCGACAUCACCUGGUUUUGUUAGUAUAAAUGGAUGGUGAUGAGACUUGAACGAUUGACCUCUUCCUAAUAUGACAAGUUGAACAACCUUAUCUCCAUCAAUUUCAAGUCUUAUCAUGCAAUCAACAACAACAUAAGCUCAUCACUACUUGAUUCCAUCCUCCAGGACCAACGGAGUCUCAAAAUUUUAGGCAGAGAAUCAUAAAACAUAAAAUAAAAACCUACCAAAAUCAGUAAUAUCACCAUUUCUCCAUGCUGCUACUAACUGGGACCUCUAACCAAUAUUCAAAAACUGAAACUCCAGGACCUCAAAUUUUGCAAAUUAGAUCUAGUGAUACUUUGCUUGGAUCUCUUGAACAAUGGGAUGUAUUUGUUGUUAUGGUGUUGAGAAACGCCAAUUAUAGUAGUGUGUAGUAGGUUUCAAGAUUUUGCUAGUAGGGUCCAUGAAUUAGGUCAACAAGAUGGUUUAUUGGAAGGAAAGGAUGAGAUGGUGGUGGCGAAUGAGCCAAGGGGAUGGUGGGAUGGGUGUUGGUGCUCGGGUAAGUGGCAAUUUUUUAUAAUCCCAUUAACUAUGGAGGGAGUAUUGAUGUCUUCGAUAGAUUCAUCUUGGAUGGAUUCUACUUAUACAACUUAAUUAUUGUUUUUAACUAGUAUCAAUGUGCUCAUAUGAUUUAUCUCGAGACAUGGUUGCCAUUAAGUCAAAAUUCUGCUCUCCGAUAUUACUUAUUUUGAGGUGGGCCUCCUUAUCUUACGCCAGAAAGGUUGGUUAUUCUCACAUUUUUGGGAACUUCUCCAAGGGGUUUUACUUCUAUAAUUUCCAUUUCCAAUUCCUGGUAUAGGAAAGGUGUUAGUUCAUGUUACUUGUUAGAUGCAGAGACUAACGAGAGGAGGAUACAGUUUCUGUAUAUCAAUACUGAUGAACUUUCUAGAAGCUUAUUAUAAUAAGGAUAUUGAUUUACUCAUCAUUAUUUCAGUUUAUGCUUCAUUUAGUAUAGAACCACUGGGAUAGUUUAGUUUUUCAUUCCGUUCUUACCGCCUCUUUCUCGUGCAUCACUUCCCUAAACAACUUUAGUUACAUGCCCAGACAUUGUUGAAGUAGCCUAGUUGUUUGGAAUUAUUAAUGGUUGUUGCAUAUUCUAAGAUAACUCUAGAAUUCGCUAGAAUUGCCUUGGGGAGCAAGAAAAUAGAAGUCCCUAGAAUUUCUUGAUAAGCAAGAAAAAAAAGUAAUUUAAAAUUAAAAAAUCAGAAUUUUCUAGAAUGUCUUGGAAAAGUAAUAAAGUAAUGAAAAAAAUCAGAAUUUCUAGAAUAGUUUCCACCAUGUAUAAAUAGGGGGUAUUACCUUCAAAAUAUUGUAAUAAAACAAAAAAUUGAAAAGAGCAUCCAAAUUCUUGCAUUGUAAAUCAGAAGUCACUUUGUAAAACUUCUAUAAAAUAACUUUCUUCCUCCUUUUAACUAUCUUGUUCAAUUAAAUUACUCCUAUCAUUUAUAUCCCUCAUAAAAUCUACUUAAUAACAAACCCCGCCCCGUGUAACACCACUAGAUCCGAACGUAGUAUGUGCCGAUGAUAGAUACCAACUAAAAGUUGGACCCAUCAUCAAGGCUACUAUAAAUACAAUAUAUCAUUUUUUAUACAUCAUUUUUCUAACAAAAUUUCGGCAUUAUUUCAUCUGUAAAUAGGAUUAACCAACCUGUGAUCAAUUUCACACAAAUCCUAAACUAUAGCACAACACAAUAAAGAUAAGCCAAAAUCUCCACUUUUACCAAGAAAUACAAUGAAAUAUACAUAUGGAUACAUAAUACAUAAUGAGCCCCAUAAUUAUCUACAAGUGAUGCAAAAUCACAUCUAGACAUGAACAUGCGUCCCAAAAUACUGACUAUAUGUUCUAUGAAGUGAAUCAUACUAACAAACUCUGUCGUGUGGCUCUGACUCCAAAAUCAAGCCUCAACUCCAAAAGAUGCCCAGAUUCUCAACUGCUGCCUAAUAAGGAAAAACGGGGAAAAAUAUAUAUGAGUUGAUAGCUCAGUGAGUAGAGAAGUUCCAAAUAAAUAUACUUUUUCAUUUAUACAUUUUUAUUGAAAAUCAAAUUCAUAUCAUUUGAUAAUUCAUAAGCUACCAUUAUGUAAUUAUAGCCCAAAAGCGAAAUAUUCACAUAAGGUCAUAAAAAUAUCAUCUUAAAAUCAUGAUAUAACAUCAGCGGAUAACCAUGCUAUAAUCUCAUCACAUCAAACGUGCUGAAAAAUCUACUAAAAAUGUACCCUCUGACUAAAAUCUGUAAUCCGCCUCUCGAGCUAAGAACUUUCGCCAUGGGCCUAUGGCUCCUCCGUAAACAAAAGUCGGUCUCAAAGACCUCUCAUAAUCAAUUCUAGAACACGGUCAAGACCCUUUUGUGAACUAAAUGUACACGAUCAAGACCAAUGUCAGGUCAAGACCCUCCGUGUAGGAUAGAACACAGUCAAGGCCCCUCUAUGAAUUAGAAGAAGUAUAUAAUUAUGGGUACUUUUCUGGCCGAUCUCAAUAUUGCAUGUCUCACAUACCAAACAAAUCUCAAUAUCACAUGUCUUACAUACCAACUCACAAAUAUGCCAUAAAUAAUCUUUGAUAUUCCACAUGUAUCAUAAUAAAAGAGAUUUCCAUAAUAACCAUGUAAUUCAAACACAUAAUUGCAUAUAAUUGCACAUACUUUAACAAUAUACUUAAUUUAUAAAUAUUUUAAAAAUAUUUAUAUUUUUCACUUACAGAACUAUGUACACCAAAAUCAAUUCGAUUGGUACGUUGUCUCGAUAUUCAUAUCGUCGCCUGAAAUUUAAUAUAAUUUUUAAAUCAACAAUUAACCAAUUUAAGUACUUUCAAUAAUUAAAUUGGCAAUACCCAAACAUAAUUAUUUCACGUUUAGGCAAUUUCUAAAGUCUCUUUAAUUACUAAAAUUAAAUUUUCUUUCAUUUUACUCAAUUUCAUAGUUUAUUACACUUAACCCCUUCAUUAAAAUUAAAUUUAACCUAACAAUCUAACAACUAUAAAAUCAAACAUAACUUAACAAUAAGUAACUUUUUACUUACCUUUCAAAAUUGAGGAAUUUAAGCAUAAUAGUAUAACCCACUUAAUUCCUAACACAUUGACGAAAUUUUUCUUUUUUUUUCUUCUUUUCCCUUUUUUUUUCUUUUUCUUUUCUCUCUUCUUCUUUCUCUCUGUCUCGUUUUCUUUCGUGUGUGUAAUGUGUGUGCUUUCUUUUAAUUUGGUUUUGGGUUGUGUAUAUAUAUAUAGAUAUUCAAUUGGAAUGAUUUGUUUUUGCUUCCACCGCGUGCCGUUUUUGUUUUUAUCUUUUGAUUUUAUUUUUUUAUUUUCUUUUAAGUUUGACUUUUCUUUUGAAUUGAUUAAAAUAUUACAAAACUCACCCACUUAAAAUAAUUUUGUCCUCAAAAUUUGAUUAACUAAGUACGAAAAAUCUAGGGAUACUGAGAACGCAUCUGCUCUUCACUUUCCCAUGUCGCUUCUUCUAUAACAUGAUUCCUCCACAAAACUUUAACUAAAGGAAUAGUCUUACUACGCAAGACAUGUUCCUUCCUGUCCAAUAUCUGAAUUGAUUUUUCUUCAUAGGUAAGAUUUUCCUUCAGCUCUACUGGUUGUAAUUCCAAAACAUGAGAUGGAUCUAGAAUAUACUUACAAAGCAUAGAAACAUGGAAUGCAUCAUGAAUUCUAGACAAUUCUAUUGGCAAAGCAAAUCGAUACGCAACUGGACCGAUGCGUUCAACAAUCUCAUAUGGGCCAAUAUACCUCAGACUCAAUUUACCUUGUUUACCAAAUCUAAUAACACCUUUCCAUGGAGACAAUCGCAGGAAAACUCUAUCCCCAACAUCAAAUUCAAGGUUUCUUCUACGUCUAUCUGCAUAGUUCUUCUGUCUAUCCUGGACUGUCUUUGACUUUUCUUUAAUUAUCUUUACUUUCUCAGCAGUAAUCUAGACAUAUUCAGGACCCAAUAACUUUCUUUCACCAACUUCAUCCCAACAUGCUAGAGUUCUGCAUUUCCUACCAUACAGUGCUUCAAAAAGAGCCAUUUCUAUAUUAGAAUAAUAACUGUUAUUAUAAGCAAACUCCAUCAAAGAAAGAUGAGUAUCCCAAUUCCCUUUGAACUGUAGUACACAAGCUCGUAAGAGUCUGAAUAGUUCUUUCUGACUAACCAUCUGUUUGUGGAUGAAAAGCUGUACUGAAAUGAAGUUUAGUACCCAUAGCUUUCUACAAACUGGGCCAAAAUUUAGAAGUGAAACGAGAAUCUCUAUCUGAAACAAUAGAUACUAGUGUCCAUACAAACUGAUUAUCUUAUCAACAUAUAUUUUUGCCAAUUUAUCUAACAAGUGACUUUAAUAGGCAAAAAUCUAACAGUAUUCGUCAAUCUGUCUACAAUGAUUCAUAUGCCAUCAUGUCCACUCUGAGUCCGUGAAAGUCUAAAUAGAAAAUCCGUAGUAAUGUGUUACCAUUUUCACUCAGGAAUAGGCAACGUUUGUAACAAUCUUGCUGUUUUCUGAUGAUCUGGUUUCACUUGCUGGCAAAUGAGACAUCUGGAUACAAACUCAGCUAUUUCUCUCCUCAUUCCAUGCCACCAAUAGUGUUCUUUGAGUACACGAUACAUUUUUGUACUGCCUGGAUGCAUCGCGUAAGCUGAACUAUGUGCCUCUUCUAGAAUUUCUCCCUUCAAUUUCGAAUCAUCUGGAACACAUAAUCUGUUUCCCAUAACUAAAGCUAUGUCAUCUCGAAUGGUAUAAUCUGUAUGCUUACCUUUACUAACUUCUUCUUUCAAUUUGCUCAACACUGGAUCUUGAGUUUGAGUUUCUCUAACUGUGUCAAUCAAAGUAGGCCUCACUUGGAAGUUGGCAAACAAUGCUCUUACACUGGUAACUGAUAAUUGAGCAUGAAAACCUCUGAACUCACCAAACAAAGAUGAACAUACUGCAUUAUUUUGGGUCAUAGGACUCAAUAUUUUUUGACUGAGAGCAUUAGCAAUUACAUUAGCCUUCACUGAGUGAUAAUCAAUCUUGCAGUCAUAAUCUUUUAUCAGCUCUAACCAUCUUCUUUGCCUCAAGUUUAACUCUUUUUGAUCGAGAAUAUACUUUAAGCUUUUAUGAUCUGUAUAUAUCUAACAUCUCUCACCAUACAAGUAAUGUCUCCAAAUUUUCAAGGCUAGGACAACUGCAGAUGGCUCUAAGUCAUGUGUAGGAUAACUCGGUUCGUGUUUCUUCAAUUGCCUGGAAGCAUAUUCUAUAACUUUCUCAUUCUACAUCAAAACACAACCAAGACCCUAACAGGAAGGAUCACUAUAUAUCACAAACUCUUCACCGAGAGAUGGAAGGGUAAGAACUAGAGCUGACACUAAUCUAUUCUUCAAUUCAAGGAAACUUCUUUCACAAUUUUCAUUCCAAACAAAUUUAGCAUUCUUUCUAGUCAAAUUGGUCAAAGGAAGAGCAAUUUUUGAAAAUCCUUCUACAAAACGACGAUAAUAACCUGCUAAGCCAAGGAAACUUCGAAUUUCUGUCACAUUAGUAGGCCUUUCUCAUUUUACCACUGCCUCUAUUUUCUGCGGGUCCACAUAAAUUCCCUCUACUGAUAUGACAUGUCCCAAAAAUAUAACUUUAUCAAGCUAAAAUUCACAUUUAUCAAAUUUAACAUACAACUGCUCAUCACGUAGAGUCUGGAAGAUGAUUUUGAGAUGCUCUGUGCGCUCAUCAUGAUCUCGAAAGUAUACUAAAAUAUCAUCAAUGAAUACAAUCACAAAUCUGUCUAAAUAUGGGUGAAACACUCUAUUCAUCAUAUCCAUAAUUGCUGGUGGUGGUUGGUCAACCCAAAUGGCAUCACAAGAAAUUCGAAAUGACCAUACCUUGUCCUGAAAGCAGUUUUUGGCACAUCACUGUCCCUGAUUUUAAGUUGAUGAUAUCCAGAACGCAAAUCAAUCUUUGAAAAUACUGUAGCACCUCAAAGCUGAUCAAACAAAUCAUCAAUACGUGGCAAAGGAUAUUUAUUGCGAAUUGUCACCUUGUUUAAUUGUCUAUAAUCUAUGCACAGUCGCAUUGUGCCAUCUUUCUUUUUCACAAACAAAACUAGUGCUCCCCAUGGAGAUAUACUAGGUCUGAUGAAACCCUUGUCUACCAACUCUUGCAACUGAACCUUUAGCUCUUUCAAUUCUACUGGUGCCAUUCUAUAGGGUGCCCAUGAAAUAGGUGCUGUUUCGCGCGUGUUCGUCGCUAACAAUUAAAAGGGAUUAGACGAUUGUGUAAGGGACAAACCUCUUGAGACAAAGUCCCAAAAAAGGGUGUUCUUUAUUGGCAAUAACUUUACAAUUGGAAAUUAAAAACAGAAUGCCUCCAAGGGGCGCAGGCACACGAGUUACUGAAAGAAGUGUUUAAAUCUAAGCUAAGAAAUUUAAAAUUACAUGUUCUCUGUUCGAGAGUUUAUGAUUCGGUCAUUUUUCUCUAUGUCUUUUCUUCCUUUUAUACUCCUUGGAUGAUCUCUUUGUGAUCAACCGCCUAAAAACUGCUUGAUCGUUCUAUAACUGCCCACUUUCCUCGUAAUGGCCAACUUUGCAUGGAACUACCUUUGUUAACUGCUGCCAUUACUCUUUGUCGUUCAACCGUCUUCAAUUGAAUUCCUUGAAUCGUGGAACGUGAUGGGGCUGCUUAAUAACUGCUUUGAUAACUGCGCUUCUUGAUAACCAUAACACUUCAUGUUUGCUAAGUCCUUGGGCGACUCGAAGAUUUGGGCGAGAAUAGAGUAGCAGCUCUAGGCGACUGCAUGGCAUUCCAUUUGCUCAGAUCCUGGGCGACUUGCAAGUUUGGGCGAUGGUGUUACCGCGUUCACGGGCCUCCCUAUUUGGGCCUUCAUCCUGAAUCGUCUGAUUGGGCUUCAUUCUUUGGGCUAUCUGACUUGGGGAUCCUUCAAUUGGGCUUCAUUCCUUGGGCCGUUCGAUUUGGGUUGAAUUUUUAUGUGUCAACAAUUACCCCCCAAUAUGGCAGAAUUAAUACCAAUUAUUAAAUUUUGCUAUAUUCACUUUUGUGUUUCCAGCAACAUUCGAAAUUCUCAAGAAUUUCAAUCACUGUUUUCUUCCAUAACUUUGAAAAGGUGCGGCGUUUUGUAAACCCUUAUAACCCCCAAAUACGCCAUCUCACUGCACCAUUAAAUCACGCCUCACUUUUUCGCGUUUCUCUCCCACAAUUUACUGUUCAUCUCUUUGCUUCCCUACUACGUAAUUCUGAAAAACUCCAUUUCGUCCAUAAUGGCUACUUUACAAUCUCAAUCUAGCGACUCCUUUAGUUUUGAUGACUUUCAGAAACUCCUUAAUCGUCCAUACAUAACUCCGAACUUUCUCGCACCUGCCAAUGUCGAACUCAAUGAGUUCUACCUAGGUCCUUUCUUCAACAAUGCAGAGGCAGUCGAACAAGCGGCGAUUGGCCAGCUGUUUCCUUGCACUCAAGGUCCUCCAUUUCUAAACUCUCUGCCGCUGGGGCCACUUCGCGAAAGAGGUAUUCGCAUUUGGCCCAAAUCUGACGUAGUUUUCCAUAGGUGGCAUGCUCGCCUUGUGGACCAUGGUCCUAUUAAGGCACUUUUUAAUAAUGCUAGGAUUUCUGAUUUGUUAGAAAUCUCUAUUCAACCCCCUUACUUUUGAUUCGGCACUUUUUUCGAUCGCUCUAAGUUUUUGGUCUUCUGAAUAUAAUACCUUUGUUUUCCCUCUUGGCCCCAUGUCUAUUACUUUAAGGGAUGUUGGGGCCCUGGUGAAUCUACCACCUUUGGGCAAUACCAUUUUUCCUGGUAUCUUGGUUUCUGGUGGCGCCCCAAAGUUUGGUAGAAACCUUACCGAUUCUUAUUCAAGCCUGCAAACCCUUCAUAACCAUUCGAGCGCUGAGCCUUCCCAUACUGAGCGAGUGGCUUUUCUUCUGGUUUGGCUUUGUAAAUAUGUUUUGUGUGUGCCAAGCAUAAAGCCCUCCCUGAGCUAUUUACCCAUAGCGCACGAAUUGGCGCGUGGCAAGCCUUUGAAUUUAUGUUCUUUCUUUUUGGCUGCCCUCUAUAGAGGCAUGGCUUCUCUUCAAACUCAAUUGAAGAAUGGUGCAUCUCCCACUGGCAGUGGACCUCUUUGGUUCACUCAAAUGUGGUUGAGGUCCUAUUUUCCAAUGCUUGGUGCUCCAUCAAUUUCUCGUCCUUCUGCUAAGUGCUAUGGGCUAGCCAUUGAGCCCCUGGCUCCUGUAAAUAUGUCUAGAAGGGACAUUUUUUCAUUCUUUUAUUCUUUGGAUUCAAUCCCUUCCUUCUUUCCUUUUCCUUCCUUUUUGACUCCAGACUAUGUGCAUCCUUCCUCUACCAUAGACAGUACGAGCACCUCUCUGCUCAUUUGGAUCCAGUUUUUAACCAGGAGGGAGUUAUUUCAUGAUAUUUUGACUGGGACCAAUGCCAAGGCUAGAGUAGAAAUAUAUGAUCCCCAAUUUUUUGCCCCCCAACUUGGUUUCGGCCAAACCUGGCCUGUCGCUCCUUGCUAUUCAAGGAAUUUGAUAGACCGCUUCCAUAUUAUUAAUAAGGCAGAGGCAGAGGUUAUAAAUGCUUACAAUCUUCUUUUGACGAGCCAUUUUUCAUUAGCCCCCUUCAAUUCUAGUCAUGUCAUCUAUCCUCCUUUUGAACAGCUCUGGCCGUCAGUGAAGCGCAGAUUGUUUGCGACUGAUGCCAAUCGUGCCUUUCAUUCACUGGACCAGCCAAGCAUUUCUUCCCCUCCUCCUGGUUUAGUCACUCCUUUGUCUAUCCGGAGUCCUUCUCCUCCUCGUCACGCCAAACAGUCUGCUCAUCCAUCUUCUUCUCUCCCUGCCAAGCCUACUGCAGCCAGAAGUGCUCUGAGCCACAAACGGCCAGCCUCAGCAUCUCCUAUUCUGGAGGAUGAUGUUGAUGAUGAUGAUGAUACCCCUCUUAUCAUCAGGAGAAAGGUAAUUAAAUUGGUUUACUUACAAGCAUACUUUUCCAUACUUGAAACUUUUCUGUGUGUUGAUGAUUUAUUUGGACUUCUCAGAAAAGUUCGGCCUCUCCUUUAAAGGCUUUGGUAUCGGCAGCUCCUGCUCCAUCAUCCUCCGCUGAGGCUGCUUCAUCCAAACCGGCUGAUGAUGGGACUACGCUUAAAGAGACAUCUUCAGCCCCAGAAUCCACAUCACAACCAAUGGAUGAGCCACCUUUUUCCCAGGGCGUCAACCCCCCAAACAUCGAAGCAGAAGGUAAUUCAGUUUUUUGAUGCUUUACCUUUGCUUGUGCUAUUGGUUUCUGAUUUGUUGCUCUUGAGUUCUACAGAUGCUCCUAUGAGUCUGUCCGUUGUGGCAACAUCUUCUCGCUCAGACAAGGGGAAGUCCUCGCGAAUGGUGGAGCCAUAGGUGGCAAACUUGGCUGAGGAUACGCCAUCUUCCAAGAUUAUUGAUGAGGUAAUCUUUGCUUCACUUUUAUUUCCAUCUUGUUCGUUGUAGUGAGAAUCUUUAGUAUUGGCAAUUUUCUUUGUAGGAUGCUGAUAAGAUUGUGCGUUCCACCCAAGACUUGUUAGCUUCCUGGGGACAAGUCAAGACAUCUCGCCCUGCUCCAUCUGGUCAUCCUGCUACUUCUUCAGAGGAAGAUAUGAAGUUCCUCAAGCAAUCGAUAUUUGAGUAUGUGUCCUUGAUGGAUAUGGACAUUGGCAAGGCUAGUGCUGCCAAACAUAAGGAUAAACUUAAGCAUUUGAACGCGAAGUUGGAGCAAGCACUGACACUUUUGUCGCUCAAUCUUUCUGCUGAUUUUAAAGCGAUGUUGAAAGUUAUCCAUUCCGAAGUCCUUUCCUUGCUGGCCAAGAAUGUUGGACUGAAGGCCAAAAGUACUCAAUAUCUUCGCGCCGUAUCUGAAAAAGAGUCUUUGCGUCAAGAGAUCAACAAAGCAGAGGACGAGUUGAAAGAAAUCUCUUCCGAAGUCAUGAUUGAAGAUUCUUAGAUGACUAGUUUGGCUGCUCAGAUGAAGGAACUUCAAGCCAAAAUAGACGACUGCAAGGUGAGAAUGGCUGCUAAAAAGCAUAACGCCUCCCAGGAAAUUGAGCGAACUAAGUCUUUGAUCGAGCAGUACAAGAAGUUGGAAGUUGAUGAUGAUGUCGUGGCCGAAUUGAACAUCACUUCCUCUCGGCAGAACGAGGACUGGGAAAAACUUAGGGAAAGAAUUCAUUCGGUAUGGGGCGAAUUGUAAUUAAGACAUAUAAUGCCUUAACUCUUUCUUAUUGUAAUUUCACACUUGACUUUCCUUUUGUAACCUUGUUCAUCAUUAAUGAACAUCUAUGUUAACUUCUUGUGUAUUUAUUUGACGUUUGUAUUUUAAUCGCCAAUCCUUCAAGCAUUUAACUGCUUUGUGCUAAAAAUCUUACACAUUUUCUCUUGAUAUUUCCACCUCUUUUCCCAAGACUUUGGGCUACUUAAUUCCAUUUACUAGGCAGAAUGUGGCUGCUCAUAUUCUGUCUCUUCAUCUCCACCCCCUAUAAAUGCACGUAUGCUUCGCACUUUCCGUCUUCCAUCUUCAUUUUCAUUCUCUUCUUCAAAACCAAUUUGCUGCCAUUGUUUGGCAUUCUGAUAAUCAAUCCAAAACCUUCGUCUUCUAUAAAUAUGGAUUGUUUGGUCCGCCCAUUUUACUACUUGUCUUGAUGUCACCUUUGGUAUGGGAGAUAUAGGAAAUAUUUUUUGGUCAGCAGCGAAGUUUUUCCCAUCAAAGUUCUUCCCAUCGUCUCUUUGAUCUUUACAAGGGGUUCGAUGAUAGAAGGCAAUUUUUAGGAUGCUUGCGGGCCACCUUGCUUGCUGAGAGUGCUUCUCAGCCUCUUUGCCCGCCAUUACAGAGGUGCAUUUAGGAAGGCAGUGCGAGGCCAGUCCACCCUCUUACUCGGCGAUCGACCAAGAGAUUAGCUUACUUGUAGUUUGUAGAGCAUCCAUUAUUUGUAUUUUGCAUCUUUGUAAUGAACGUUUGAUAAUAAAGGACUUUAUUUGAACGUAUUUCGCUCUGACUUUGUUAUCUUUAAUCGUUCAACAUGUUUUGAUUACGCUUUUAUCUGUUCGCUUUCCCAUAAAAAAGGAACAUAUUUUUUCAAAUAUUUGCCGUUGAUGAAUCUCACGUGCUUGUUGCCAUCUAAAUCUUCCAAAUGAUAUGCUCCAUUGGGUAACACACUAUUUACUUUGUAUGGUCCUUCCCAAUUAGGCGACCAUUUCCCGUACUUUGGAUCCUUGCUAUCCAAAGAGAGUAUUCUCUUCCAAACUAAUUCGCCCAGGCUGAACGACUUGGCUAUGACUUUUUUUAUUAUAAAACUUAGCCAUUCUUUGUUUUUGAACUUGCAAUCUAUCUAAGACGUCCAACUUUAAUUCGUCCAACCCCAAUAAAUUUUGAACUAGUGAUUCGGUAUACUCGUCAUCAUUUAACUUAUGUUGCAAGCACACUCUAAUCGAUUGCACAUUGAUUUCCGUAGGCAAAACGGCCUCCUAUCCAUAAGUAAGUUGGAAAGGAGUAAUUUUGGUACUUGACCGAGGUAAUAUUCUAUAAGCCCAUAAGCCUUUAUUCAGACAUUCGUGCCAAUUUCUGACAUUUUCAUCUAUCAUCUUUCUGAUUAUAUUUUUUAGAAUCUUAUUAGAAGAUUUUGCUUGUCCGUUGGAUUGAGCGUAAUAUAGUGUGGAGUUUACUAAUUUAACCCCAAACUCGCUCAAAAAUUUGUUCACUUGAUCCCCAUUCAAAGAUGUUCCGUGAUCUACCAUCAACAUUUGUGAAAUUCCAAACCUAUAAAUGAUGUGAUCAUGGAUAAACUCUAUGACAUUAUUUUGGGUGAUCUCUUUCAAAGAUACCGCCUCUACCCACUUGGCGAAACAGUCGCUUGCAACUAUAACAAAAGUAUGUUGCUUGGACGAUGGGGAUAAAUCUUCCCUAUCAGGUCUAUCGCCCAACCCUUGAAUGGCUAAGGUUUAAUAAUAUGUGCUAUCUCUCGUGCUGGCGCCCUUUGUAUUGGACCAUGGUUUUGGCAUGCUAAACAACUCUUUGCAUACUGAACGCAUAAUUCUCCCAUCUUUGGCCAAAAAUAUCCACUCCUAAUAAUUAACCAUCUCAUCUUUUGGCCAGCUUGAUGAGCUCCACAUAUCCCUUCGUGCACCUCAGCCAUGAUCGUCCUGGCUUCUUGCAAACUUACACACUUUAGCAAUACACCAUCAGAGCGUUUCUUAAACAACUCUUCAUUUAUUAGUGUAUAGUUCAGCAAACACAGCUUCAUUUUCCUACUAAUCCCUCCAUUAGGUUCUUUAAGGAACCUUUUAAUCUCUGUUCUCCAAUCCAUUGCAUCUCCAUCUUGUAUGCAAUGAAGUUCAAUUCGUCUCGCCCUUCUUUGGGUCACGGGCAAUAAAGUUCCAUACUCACAAGUAGACUUCCAAUUCAAAACCUUUGAGUACCCUGAGGCCAUUUGGGCCAACUCAUUUGCCACAUCGUUAUAUAUCCUAUUAACGCAUUGAAGUUCUACUUGGUCAAAUUCUUCUAACAAUUCUUGGGCGAUCUCAUAUUGACUUAUAAUGGAAUCACUUUGGCAUUUAAAAUCACCAAUCAGUUGGUGAAUUACCAAUUGAAAAUCGCCCCUAACGAUCACAUUUUUUACUCACAUAUCUAUCAUUAGUUCUAGGCCUACGAUUAAGACUUCAUAUUCAGCCUGAUUGUUGGUGCACAUCCUGUCUAAAGUGAACGCGAACUUGUAACAAAUCCCUAAAGGAUUAAUCAAUGCUACUCCUACUCCUGCACCUUUAGAGGUUUUUGACUCAUCGAAAUACAACACCCAAGGUUUUAGCUCGAACGAAUUGAUUUAUAAUUCAAUCUCUUCAGGCAUGUCAAGGCAUGGAUGAUCGGCUAGAAAGUUAGCCAAAACUUGAUUUUUGACUGCCUUUUGAGGUAUAUAUUGUAUCUCGAAUUCUGAUAAAGCUAAUGUCCAAAGGCCUACCCUUUGGUGUAAAAUAGGGCGCGAGAACAUAUACUUAACUAAAUUUACUUUAGAAAUUAAAUAAACGGCUACGCACCGUAAAUAAGCCCUCAAUUUUGUACAUGUGAAAUACAAUGCAAGAUAUAAUUUUUCGAUAGCAGAGUAAUUACAUUCACAUUUUGUUAACCGUCUACUUAAGUAGUAAAUUGCCCUUUCUUCACCAAAUUGGUCUUCUUGUGCGACUAUUCCAGCUAUUGAUUCUUUUUCAGCCGAUACGUACACUUUCAUUGGCCGUACUUGGAUUGGUGACACCAACACUGGUGGACUUAAUAAAUAUGUCUUCAGGCUUUCAAAAGCCUUUUGAUGUUCUUCUUUUCAGACGAAUUCGUCCUGAUUUUUCAGUUUUAAGAGCGGCAAAAAGACCUUAGUUCACCCUGCACAAUUAGAAAUAAAGCAUCUUAAAAAGUUUAUUGGCCUAGAACCCUUUGCAAUUCUUUUUUGUUGCUAGGUGGUUUGGCCUCUAAAAUGGCCUUCGCUUUAUUUUUAUCAAGUUCAAUCCCUCUUUUGUGUACCAAGAAACCAAGAAAGUUCCCUGCAUUAACACCAAAUGCACAUUUCAAGGGAUUCAACUUUUGCUUAUAUUGCUUCAUUCGCUCAAACGAACAUCUUAGCUAUUCGAAAUGGUCCUCUUCUUUAAUGGAUUUGACCACUAUGUCAUCUACAUACACUUCAACAAACUUGCCUAUCAUAUCAUGAAAUAUUAAAUUCAUUGCACUUUGAUAAGUUGCUCAUGCAUUUUUUAGGCCGAAAGGUAUGACCACCCAUUCAAAACAUCCUAGAGACCCAGGGCAUCUAAAGGCAAUUUUGUGUAUGUCUUCUUCAGUUAUAUAAAUUUGAUUGUAUCCUGAAUACCCAUCCAUGAAAGAAUACAUGACGUGUUCGAUAGUUGAGUCUACUAAAGAAUCCACCAUGGGCAUUAGAUACUCAUCUUUGGAUGUAGCUAUGUUUAAAUUCCUAAAGUCUAUGUACACUCUUAGUUUACCAUUCUUUUUUAUUACUGGCACGAUAUUGGACAACCAUUCGACAUAUCUGACUGUUCUAAUAAAACCUGCUUUCAAUAAUCGCUCUAUCUCUUUCUUAAUCUCAGGGAGUACAUUAGGAGCAAAACGUCUAGGAGGGUGCCUAUGAGGUUUAAAAUUAGGCUUAGUUGGUAACCUAUGUUCCACCAAGUCUCUAUCUAAACCAGGCAUUUGUUCAUAUUCCCAAGCAAAACAAUCUUUAUAUUCCUUUAGCAAAGCGAUUAAUUUAUCACUAACCUCUUGAUCGAGUAUCUGGCUGAUGAAUGUUGGGCGAUCUUCUCCUUCAUUGCCAAUAUUUACUUCGAUCAGAGGGUCUUGUGCUUGAGCGUAUCCAGGUUUAAUGAUCUGCAUCACUUCGUUGUCCAGUUCCCUUGUAAGUACUUCUUCUUCUAAACAGUCCACCUUGUUGACUUCUCGGCCAAUGCUUUGUUCCAUCUCGAAUACUGCCCAUUUGUCUUUCAGUGCUCUUAGGGCUGCCUCUUCUUUCGUUUUGUCCUUGCAUUCUUUAUUGAAAGCCAUUAGUCUGGCUUUGAAGGCCUGAAUAUCGGCCAUUUGCUUUUGUAACUUAGAAUCCAUUCAAGACUCCUUGAUUAUUCUUUUGCCAAUUACUGGCUCUUCUAGGGCCACUAUAUUUGGCCUCAUCUGUCUGAACAUUUCAGUGAGUGCGUCCACUAAAAAUGGCUCUUCGCUUUGCGUGACAACUUGAGUUUCUUCUCCAUCUUGUACAACCCCGAUAGGUCCAUAGUUUCCUUCGUACAUGAACUUUUCCACCGAGUUUACUUCUGCGACAAAAGGCCUAUGAUCGGCCUGUACCACCUCUGCUUCGCUCUUGUUAUUCCAAAAAAUAGGCAUUGAUGGAGCGAUGAGGGUAUACAGAGACUUCCGUGUAUCCAAUCUCUUCCUAGUAACACAUUGUAACUAGUAGGACCAUCUAUUACAAAGAAGACUGUGGUCCUAGUAGUUGUCCCUAUAGUUAUGACCAAUCGCAUAACUCCCUUAGCUGAAGUUGCUCCUCCAUUGAAACUCGUAAGGAUGACUUCUAUUGGAAUCAUGUCACCCUCUGUCUUUCCAAAUUUCCUCAUCAUCCUAGAUGGAAUGGUGUUUAUAGCUGCUCCAUUGUCGACAAGUACUUUUGCCACAUGGAUGCCGUUAACUAGAGUUUUAAUGUACAAUGGCCUCAAGUGUUUAGUCAAUUUCAUGGCUGGCCGUUUAAAAAUAACCUUUUCGGCAGCCUCUAUUUCUACUUCUUGCUUGUUUUCUGUCGAAUUAUCCCCCUAUGAUAAAUCGAUGUGCAGCAUAUCAUGCUGAGCCUCUGUCUCCUGAAUUUCUCCCUUACUGUUUUCUAAUGCUUCCUCAUCAGUUACCCAACCUGUGGGAGGGGGCAUUAUUCUUGGAGGUGAUCCAUACUUUUCAGAGAGAGUCACUCUCCUCUUCCUUUUAGGCAUCCCGUACAGUACGUAGAAAUCGAAAGGACGUCCAGAUGGUUCUCCCAACAAGUCUACUUCGCAAACUCCCUCUCGAUGUAGUUGUUUCAACAGAGUAUUGUGCGAUACUCCUCUCCUUCUUCUUUCUGCUUCUAGGUCAAUUUUUUCUUCGAUGUCUGUCAUCCCGUCAUCUUCUUCAUCAUUGUAGGCCUUUCCAGAAGCUUGGCCUUCUUCACAUUCCAGCACGCAAGCCUCCCCUUCGUUGUCCUCCCUUUCUUCUUCUUCUUUUUCUUCAUUCUUGAAUUCAUUGGCCAGUAAGUAAUUAUUAGCCACGACAGGAGGUAACGUACCGAACUGGAUAGUAAGGGGCUGAUCUGGAUCUUCUCCAUCCCUUCUAUCUCGCUCAAACUUUGAUCUCCCAGAAGAAGUCUCUAGCAGUUCUUUUAUUGAUUCAUCUGUACCGAUCUCUUCACUAUCUUUGAGAACAUUUUGAUUCCUUGAGUAGUUUAGGUGCUUUAGGAUGUGGCACCCCCUGUUGCUGCCUCAUCAUUCGUCCAUAGUUUCGUUGAAAAUGCUUUUGUUGGGUUCUUGUCAUCUCAUCGAAGGAUACUGCUCUUCCUGCAUUAUACUGGAAUGAAUGUCAUACAUUUGGCCGACGAGGUUGUGGCCUGAAUGUUCUCCCAUUAUCUACUGGCCUGCACUGCCUUUCAAAAGGCGGUCCUCUGUAGAAUGAUAUACCUCGCCCUCUACCAGGCUGAGUGUUUGGGAAGAAGGUAGGGCAAUGGGAAUGCUGCCAUAUCCCUAGUUUCUCCGUGUUUCCACUCACUUCUCUUUUACAUCUUGCACACAGGACGUCUUCGUCCUUUUUUGGCUCUUUCUCCUGAUUCGUUCAAAGACACUGGGAUGUGAUCCAGGGUCCUCUUCUCCAUCAUCUAUGACCAACUUGAAUUUUGGCAACUUGUUUUUGAAACCAGACGUCACCAUGUUCACUCCAAGUGGCUGUGGAAAAGGAUUUUCAUCCACUGCCAUAUUCUUCUUAUCGUCGAACGUAAUUCGUCCUGAUUCAAUGGCAUUCUGCAAUAUAUGGCAAAAACCCAAGCAAUUGUUAGUCAAAUGUGACCAUGCAUUAUGCCACUUACAAUAUUUUUUACCCUUAAUUUGUUCAGGGUUUGGCAAUUUAUGCUUAUAGCUCAGCCUUAUCUGCUUAUCCCUAUAUAAUUUAUCAAAUAUAAGGUCAGCUUUGGUUACAUCGAAUGAGAAAGUUCUAGCCUUUAUGUUUCCAUCUUUCAUGGGCUCAUCUUUGCCCGAUGGUCUAGGCUUAGCCAUUAUAGGACAAGUAUACGUGUCUCCUUUGACCAAUUCGGCCAAACACAUUUCGGCUUGAUCGUAUGACUCAUCGCUGAUGGUAUGAACGUCAAAAUUUGGGUCUUUGUAAUAAGUCCCUUUACUAGAAUUUUUCAUAAGAUGUCGUUAACUAGAGCUUUAACGUACAAUGGCCUCAAGUGUUUAGUCAAUUUCAUGGCUGGCCGUUUAAAAAUAACCUUUUCGGCAGCCUCUAUUUCUACUUCUUGGUUUUUUUCUGUAGAAUUAUCCCCCUGUGAUAAAUCGACGGGCAGCAUAUUGUGUUGAGCCUCUGUCUCCUGAAUUUCUCCCUUACUGUUUUCUAAUGCUUCCUCAUCAGUUACCCAACCUGUGGGAGGGGGCAUUAUUCUUGGAGGUGAUCCAUACUUUUUAGAGCGAGGCACUCUCCUCUUUCUUUUGGGCGUCCCGUACAGUACGUAGAAAUCGAAAGGACGUCCAGAUGGUUCUCCCAGCAAGUCUACUUCGCGAACUCCCUCUCGAUGUAGUUGUUUCAACAUAGUAUUGUGCGAUACUCUUCUCCUUCUUCUUUCUGCUUCUAGGUCAAUUUUUUCUUCGAUGUCUGUCAUCCCGUCGUCUUCUUCAUCAUUGUAGGCCUCUCCAAAAGUUUGGCCUUCUUCACAUUCCAGCCCGCAAACCUCUCCUUCGUUGUCCUCCCUUUCUUCUUCUUCUUUUUCUUUAUUCUUGAAUUCAUUGGCCAGUAAGUAAUUAUUAGCCACGACAGGAGGUAACGUACCGAACUGGAUAGUAGGGGGCCGAUCUGGAUCUUCUCCAUCCCUUCUGUCUCGCUCAAACUUUGAUCUCCCAGAAGAAGUCUCUGGCAGUUCUUUCAUUGAUUCAUCUGUACCGGUCUCUUCAUUAUCUUUGAGAACAUUUUGAUUGGCUACCUUGAGUAGUUUAGGUGCUUUAGGAUGUGGCACCCCCUGUUGCUGCCUCAUCAUUCGUCCAUAGUUUCGUUGAAAACGCCUUUGUUGGGUUCUAGUCAUCUCAUCAAAGGGUACUACUCUUCCUGCAUUAUACUGGAAUGAAUGCCAUACAUUUGGCCGACAAGGUUGCAACCUGAAUGUUCUCCCAUUAUCUACUGGCCUGCAAUGCCUUUCAAAAGGCGGUCCUCUAUAGAAUGAUGUACCUCGCCCUCUACCAGGCUGAGUGUUUGGGAAGAAGGUAGGGCGAUGGGGAUGCUGCCAUAUCCCUAGUUUCUCCGUGUUCCCACUCACUUCUCUUUUACAUCUUGCACACAGGACGUCUUUGUCCUUUUUUGGCUCUUUCCCCUUGAUUCGUUCAAAGACACUAGGAUGUGAUCCAGGGUCCUCUUCUCCAUUAUCUAUGACCAACUUGAAUUUUGGCAACUUAUUUUUGAAACCAGACGUCACCAUGCUCACUCCAAGUGGCUGUGGAAAAGGAUUUUCAUCCACUGCCAUCUUCUUCUUAUCGCCGAACGUAAUUCGUCCUGAUUCAAUGGCAUCCUACAAUACAUGGCAAAAAGCCAAGCAAUUGUUAGUCAAAUGUGACCAUGCAUUAUGCAACUUACAAUAUUUUUUACCCUUAAUUUGUUCAGGGUUUGGCAAUUUAUACUUAUAGCUCAGCCUUAUCUACUUAUCCCUAUAUAAUUUAUCAAAUAUAUGAUCAGCUUUGGUUACAUCGAACGAGAACGUUCUAGCCUUUAUGUUUCCAUCUUUCAUCGGCUCAUCUUUGCCCGAUGGUCUAGGCUUAGCCAUUAUAGGACAAGUAUACAUGUCUCCUUUGACCAAUUCGGCCAAAAACAUUUCGGCUUGAUCGUAUGACUCAUCGCUGAUGGUAUGGACGUCAAAAUUUGGGUCUUUGUAAUAAGUCCCUUUACUAGAAUUUUUCAUCUGCUCUUCUUCUCUUAUCAGUCAUUCAUACCGAAUCACAUUCGCACUCAACUGAAAAAGGUCAAGAAAUUCCUUGUCUUGGAAUUUCUUUUUUAAAUCAAAGCUCAAACAGCCCUGAGCGAUUUUGACAAAUUUCUUUUCGGGCAGAGGUACAAAACACUUGCUUCUUGCUAUUUUGAACCUUUGGAGAAAACUUUCUGCCCAUUCAUUUGGCAUUUGACGUAAAUUCGCCAAAUCAGCCAAAGUGACUUCAGACUCAGUUUUAUAAAACUGAGCGUGGAAUAAUUGUUCCAAUUAUUGCCAUGUUUGAACAGAGUUCGCUGGCAAGUUGAUGAACCCGGAGAAAGCUACUCCUGUUAAUGAACUAGGGAAAAGUCUCAUUUUAUGGUAAUCAGUUACAUCACCACUUUGCAAUGUGAAUCGCCCUAUGUGUUCUAGAGUAGACACCUCUCCUAAACUGGUAAACAGUGAGAAUUCUGGCACUUUAUAUCCUCUAGGCCAUGGAUAUGCUUGGUCUACCUAAUCAGGAUAUGACUUUGUGUAAGUCGACCUAAUGACAGGACGCAUCCCAAUACGAUUUCCAUAAUCUGAUUCCUCAACAUGACGUUGGGGUCAUAUGGAAUUCCUACAGGUUGGUUAACCAGUUGAUUUGCAUGAGGCCUGAUGUUUGGUCCUUGAUUGGCAACAAAGUUACCAUGAUUAGGGCCAUUACCAUUAGCCUGAACAUCUAUUUCCUCAUUAACACGUGGGGUAUUCUGUCCAUUGUUUAGGACAUUAUCUCUUACAUUUGGAUUACCCCCUAAGUUAGGCGUACCACUACCAUUGUUCUGAUUUGGCACUGCAUUACCCCCUUGGUUUGAAGUAGAGAGACCAGAAAGUGGUUCUAUCCCUUGAUUCGGAUUUAGGACUGAGGGAUUAUGUCCCACAAUUGUCCUAGUUUGAAAGUGGUUUGCAAGAGGCAUAAUCGGUUGACAUAUUUGGCCUACUAAUUUAUUCAUUGUUUCGUUCAAAGUGUUUAGUUGUUUGGCCAUGUUGUCAUAAUGUGCAUUCCCAUUUUGGGUAAAUCUUUCCAUAUUAUGAAUACUUCGAAGAUUUACCUGUUCAACGACAUCUUGUGUGAGUUCUCCAAGUAGUGCACGCAUGGUUCGAGGACUCAACUCUGUCAUUGGGUCGUAACGACUGUUACUACUCUGAUUCUGUCCAUCUGUUCGUGGAGAGGCAUGCUGCUCCUCAUAUCGCUUGAUCACAGACUGGACUCCUCCCUGAUUUACUGCUUCCUUAUCGGAUCUCUGAGGCAUAUUGUUUCACCUUUUGUAUUUUCAACACCAAACACCACUGUCCCACUGGGCGUGCCAAAUUGUUUCGUGCGUGUUCGUCGCUAACAAUUAAAAGGGAUUAGACGAUUGUGUAAGGGACAAACCUCUUGAGACAAAGUCCCAAAAAGGGGUGUUCUUUAUUGGCGAUAACUUUACAAUUGGAAAUUAAAAACAGAAUGCCUCCAAGGGGUGCAAGCACACGAGUUACUGAAAGAAGUGUUUAAAUCUAAGCUAAGAAAUUUAAAAUUACAUGUUCUCUGUUCGAGAGUUUUUGAUUCGGUUCUUUUGCUCUAUGUCUUUUCUUCCUUUUAUACUCCUUGGAUGAUCUCUUUGUGAUCAACCGCCUAAAAAAUUGCUUGAUUGUUCUAUUACUGCCCACUUUCCUCGUAAUGGCCAACUUUGCAUGGAACUGCCUUUGUUAACUGCUGUCAUUACUCUUUGUCGUUCAACCAUCUUUAAUUGAAUUCCUUGAAUCGUGGAACGUGAUGGGGCUGCUUAAUAAUUGCUUUGAUAACUGCGCUUCUUGAUAACCAUAACACUUCAUGUUUGCUAAGUCCUUGGGCAACUCGAAGGUUUGGGUGAGAAUAGAGUAGCAGCUCUGGCCGACUGCAUGGCAUUCCAUUCGCUCAGAUCCUAGGCGACUUGCAAGUUUGGGCGAUGGUGUUACCGCGUUCACGGGCCUCCCUAUUUGGGCCUUCAUCCUGAAUCGUCUGAUUGGGCUUCAUUCUUUGGGCUAUCUGAUUUGGGGAUCCUCCAAUUGGGCUUCAUUUCUUGGGCCGUUCGAUUUGGGCUGAAUUUUUAUGUGUCAACAGGUGCAAUUCCUAGAAUCAGAUCAAUAGCGAACUCCAUAUCUCUAUCUGAUGGUAGCCCUGGUAAUUCUUCUGGAAAUAUAUCAGGAAAGUCCUUGACCACUGGGAUAUCUUCAAGUUUUAGUUUGCUAACAUCCGUAUCAAUUACAUGAGCCAAAUAUGCAUUGCAGCCCUUGUUGAGUAAUCUUCUAGCGUCAAUAGAAUAUAUCACACAAGAUGGUAAAAUUCUGCGCUGUCCAUUGAAUAUAAUUUCAGGCUGUCCUGGCUGUCUAAACACAACCUCCUUUCAAAAAAAAUCAACUAAAGCUCGAUUUAUUGUAUGAAAGUCCAUACCUAAGAUAACAUCGAAAUCAUGUGUGUCAAGAGGUAUUAAAUUUUCCUUGAGCUCAUUCUCCUUUACCUUAAUCCCACAAUCUCGAUAUAUAUUAUUUGCUUUAGUGAUUCUCCUACUGGUGUAUUCACUGCCAAAUAACUGCCUAAAAGUUUUGGCUUUUGAUUUGCAUAUAAAGCAAAUGCAAAUGACAUAAAGGAAUGUGUAGAUUCAGGAUCAAUCAAAAUACGAGCAUUUCUAUCAAAAAUAAACAACAUACCCAUGAUAACAUCUGGUGACUCCUCUGCCACCUGCUGAGUCAUAGCAAAAAUCUUACCUUGGGUCUUUAGUUGUCCUGCCUGCCCUUUUGAUUUUGUACCUCUACCGCUUACGAUAUUAGACUGGGCCACACUGUUUGUACCUGCUCUAUUAGCUGAAUCAUCUGUCUGAGUCUGAUUCUGUCUUGUACUACCAGCACUCUGUUGAGGAAACAUCCUUUGUGCCAUGCCACCCUCCUGGAAUACAAUUGGACAAUUCCUUUUCAGAUGUCCUUCUUGGCCAUAUUGAUAGCAAACACCAACUCCCUUCAACUUUAAACACUCUCAAGGAUGAGAUCUUCCACGUAAUUGGCAAGAAGAAAAUCUAGCACUAGUAGAACUCUCUCCCUGUCUCGGAGUAAAUGAUCUCUGGAAAGAACCCUGAGUAUAAUUACGACUGGCCAAUGGUUGUUGUACAGUACUGGGACUGAAUCUGGGAUCCUGACUUCCUCGGAGUCGAGAUUUGAAUUGGCCUGAACUAGACACACUAGGUCGAAAUCCUCUACUAUCCCUCCGUGGUGGUCUAUAGCUAGAAGCACUUGCUAUUGUCUGACUACCGCUUGCUUUGAACAUUGUUUGUUCUCUACCAUUUGGCCUAUCAGAAAUGCUCUUUUCUACGCUCGAAGUUGAUCCUAAUAAUUUACCAAAUUCAUUCCAGCCUGCCAGCCUGCAGCUGUUACUACUGACCUGAUUUCUUCCCUUAACCCAUUUUCAAACUAUCUGUAUUUACCUAUUUCGUUGCUUACCAGAACUUGGGCAUACUUUGAAAGUUCAAUAAAUUUCGCCUGAUAUUCUGCAAUAGUCAUCUGGCCUUGUACUAGUUUCAGAAAUUCCUCAUGCUUUGCAUCUUUAUAGGAUCGAGGGUAAUAGGCAUCAUAAAAGAUACAACGAAAAUCUGUCCAAGUAAUGAUGGAGAAGGGUCUAGAUAUGUGCUCUGUAUCGACUGCCAUCAAUCAUACGCAUCCUCCUCUAAUAAGAAGGUGGCAAGACACAACUUCCGAUCGUCUGAGCAGCCCGUAACGUCAAAUACCCUCUCUAUCUUUGUCAUCCAUGCCUGCGCAACUACAGGAUCUAUUGUGCCAGUGAACACUUUAGUCCCAAACUUUGUAGCCCUUUCAAUACUAAAAUCUCUAUUAGUAUUACGCAUAGCAGAUACAACGACAAUAGCAAUUCUUUCAACAGCAAUAGGAUCAGUUCCAAUCACAUUUCCCUAUCCCUGUUGUUCAGGAGGCUGGUGAACUCAUUCAUCGACUCUCUCGGACUCUCUCAAUUCAUCUCUAUCAAGAGCAAUCUAAGACUGGGGCAACAUAUCUUGGAGCCUACGAGUUUUGCCAUCACGAGGGAUGACUCACCUACAGUUAUGCAUGAUAUGCUAAAUAUCAGAAUGUAUGCAUGUACAAUGCAAACCCAUGAACUCUAAUGCAUGCUCUAAUACCAAACUGACACACCCCGCCUCGUGUAACACCACUAGAUCCAGACGUGGCAUGCGCCGAUGAUAGAUACCAACUAAAAGUCGGACCCACGGUCAAGGCUACUACAAAUACAAUAUAUCACUUUUUAUACAUCAUUUUUCUAACAAAAUUUCGGCAUUAUCUCCUCUGUAAACAGGACUAACCAACCUGUGAUCAAUUUCACACAAAUCCCAAACUAUAGCACAACACAAUAAAGAUAAGCUAAAAUCUCCACUUUUACCAAGAAAUACAAUGAAAUAUACAUAUGGAUACAUAAUACAUAGUGAGUCCCAUAACUAUCUACAAGUGAUGCAAAAUCACAUCUAGAUAUGAACAUGCGACCCAAAACACUAACUACAUGUUCUAUGAAGUGAGUCAUACUAACAAACUCUGUUGUAUGGCUCUGACUCCAAAAUCAAGACUCAACUCCAAAAGAUGCCCAGAUUCUCAACUGCUGCCUGAUAAGGAAAAACGUGGAAAAAUAUAUAUGAGUUGAUAGCUCAGUGAGUGGAGAAGUUCAAAAUAAAUAUACUUUUUCAUUUAUAUAUUUUUAUUGAAAAUCAAAUUAAUAUCAUUUGAUAAUUCACAAGCUACCAUCAUGUAAUUAUAGCCAAAAAGCGAAAUAUUCACAUAAGGUCAUAAAAAUAUCAUCUUAAAAUCAUGAUAUAACAUCAGCGAAUAAUCAUGCUAUAAUCUCAUCACAUCAAACGUUCUGAAAAAUCCACCAAAAAUGUACCCUCUGACUAAAAUCUGUAAUCCACCCCUCGGGUUAAGAACUUUCGCCAUGGGCCUUUGGCCCCUCCAUGAACAAAAGUUGGUCUCAAAGACCUCUCAUAAUCAAUUCUAGAACAUGGCCAAGGCCCCUUUGUGAACUAUAUGUACACGAUCAAGACCCUCCGUGUAGGAUAGAACACAGCCAAGGCCUCUCUAUGAAUUAGAAGAAAUACAUAAUCAUGGGUACUUUUCUUGCCGAUCUCAAUAUUGCAUAUCUCACAUACCAAACAAAUCUCAAUAUCACAUGUCUUACAUACCAAGACACAAAUAUGCCAUAAAUAAUCUUUGAUAUUCCACAUGUAUCAUAAUAAAAGAGAUUUCCAUAAUAACCAUGUAAUUCAAACACGUAAUUGCAUAUAAUUGCACAUACUUUAACAAUAUACUUAAUUUAUAAAUAUUUUAAAAAUAUUUAUAUUUUUCCACUCACAGAACUAUGUACGCCAAAAUCAAUUCGAUUGGUACGCUGUCCCGAUAUCCGUAUCGCCGCCUGAAAUAUAAUAUAAUUUUUAAAACAAUUAACUAAUUUAAGUAAUUUCAAUAAUUAAAUAGGCGAUACCCAAACAUAAUUAUUUCACGUUUUGGCAUUUUCUAAAGUCUCUUUAAUUACUAAAAUUAAUUUUUCUUUCAUUUUACUCAAUUUCAUAGUUUAUUACACUUAACCCUUUCAAUAAAAUUAAAUUUAAACUAACAAUCUAACAACUAUAAAAUCAAACAUAACUUAACAAUAAGUAACUUUUUACUUACCUUUCAAAAUUGAGGAAUUUAAGUCUAAUAGUAUAACCCACUUAAUUCCUAACACAUUGACAAAUUUUUCCUUUUUUUCUUCUUUUUCCUUUCUCUCUUCUUCUUUCUCUCUGUCUCAUUUUCUUUCGUGUGUGUAAUGUGUGUGUUUUCUUUUAAUUUGGUUUUGGGUUGUGUGUGUGUAUAUAUAUAUAUAUAUAUAUAUAUAUAUUUCUAUUGGAAUGAUUUGUUUUGGCUUCCACCGCCUGCCCUUUUUGUUUUUAUCUUUUGAUUUUUUUUUAAAUUUUUUUUAAGUUUGACUUUUCUUUUGAAUUGAUUAAAGUAUUACACUUAAUCACUUCUAUCUAAACCCAUUUAUUUUUUCUACUCAAAAUAAAAAAAAACUUUCAGUGGUAUCAGAGCUACGUUCGAUUGAUAUUGGCGUAAGCAUAUAUAUUUAGAAAGGCGCUAUCACGAGUAAGGUUCGAGUUACUACGAGAAAUGAUCGGAGUAAUCAAAAUAUGCACCGAGGAGGAGUAUUAAUGGUUGUUAUAUAUUUUAAGAUUACUCUAGAAUUCACUAGAAUUGCCUUGGGGAGCAAGAAAAAAGAAAUCCCUAGAAUUUCUUGAUAAGCUAGCAAAAAUACUAAUUUCAAAUUAAAAAAUCAAAAUUUUCUAGAAUGUCUUGAAAAACAAGUAAUGAAAAAAUCUGAAUUUUCUAGAAUAGUUUCCACCACUAUUUUGUCUGUAUAAAUAGGGGCUACCACCUUCAAAAUGUUGUAACAAAACAAAAAAUUGAAAAGAGCAUCCAAACUCUUGCAUUGUAAAUCAAAAGCCACUUUGUAAAACUUUGAUAAAAGUAUUUUCUUCCUCCUUCAACUAUCUUGUUCAAUUAAAUUACUCCUAUCAUUUCUAUCCCACAUAAAAUCUACUUAAACACUUCUAUCUAAACCCAUUUAUUUUUUCUGCUCAAAAUAAAAAAACCUUUAGGAAUGUGACGGUGUAAAAGGAAGGAUUCUUAUAAUGCACAAGAUAGACAUGAAGAUUCAACCAAAUCAGCUGUAAUUAGCUUCUUACAUAACCCUUUUUUUUUUUCAGAAUCUUGCACAAUUUCCUGAUGUGUAUACUUUUCAUGUUUUAUUGCGUCAUAUACAAGGUCUUUGACUUGAAAACUUACAUAAUGUUCUUUGACUUGAAAACUUACAUAAAGUUAGUCUCCAUUUCAAGUAACAUUUUCAAGAGAGUGCACAUCAUGAAUAAAUUCAAAUGGUUGUUAUGAUAUACCUAUUUCUUUUCUGAUGUAAGUAAGCUGGAAAGAUGUUUGUAUUUCUUCAGCUCCAAAAUUAAAUAGUCCUCAUUCUGCUUCCCAACGUUAUCUAAAUAAUCCUUUUUAUCAUAUUCUUUAACUGAAAGAUUAUUUGUUUCUUUACUUUUUCUCAGACUCAUUUUCUGCACACGUUCUUCAAUAAAUUACUUCUCAACAAAAAGGUAUUUUCUUCUGUGUGGAAAGAAGACUUCUUUCCACAAGCUCACUGUGUCUUGUAUACACAUCCACAAAUUUGUGGACCCAUAACUUAUUACUUACUUUUUACGCAGCAUUCUUUGGAACCUGCAUCUGAAAUUCUAACUUAAACACUCCGAAACGAGGUUUUAUGUGUUCAUAAAAAAAUUAGUCUUCAAAACACUGUCUUUGAUGCAGAUCAGAUUCCUUUUUUUUUAAUGAAUGGAUGGUAUGUUCAUAAUUUUCAUAAAAGAGUGGCGACGAGACAUGUACCUAGAUUUUUGUUGGCUCCAAUACCAUGCCGUACUACAUCAUCUAAAAGCUUAAGCUGUUGACUGGGGACAAAUUUAUUCAUUUCAAUUUAAUAUUAAUGGUCUUUAGGGUAUUUAUUCUUUUGAGAACAUAUGAUGCAGAUUCCUGAAAGUGUGGUUGACCUACGCUAGAAUUAACAAUGUGCUGCUUAUUGUUGGGGUACAUCCCGCGAUUUACCUCCCUCACAAAGUUCUAGGGGCGGAACGUUGGGGACCCUCAAGGUUGGGGUUCAACCUUUUUUUUUUUUUAACUAUGUGCUGCUUAUUUUCCAACGUGUUGAGCAGUCAAGAAAAUCCUUGCUGCAAUGCAAACAGGGUCUAUAAAUAAGAAAAUCCAUACAAGGCCUCGUUGAAAUUUGAAAAAGUUCAGUGUUUCAUACCGUGGAAAGGGAACGUUGACCAAUUUGAUUGGGGAUGCAUACUUCAAAUGGAAUCGAAUUUCUCGAAUUGGAAUCGAAUUUAUCACUUUUAUAAUUAUUUAUUUAUUUAUUUAUUUAUUUAUUAUUAUUAUUAUUAUUAUUAUUAUUAUUAUUAUUAUUAUUAUUAUUAUUUUUACAAUUUAUUCACCCUGAUUCUGCUAUAUAUUUUUCCUUUGAUUGAGAUUUUAACUAGGAAUUCUGAUGUAUAUUCAGAACGGUCUCAUUCUCAAUUGAAAGAAUCUAUUGAGGAACAUGGCCCCUAGCCUUGGUAAUAUCAAUAACAUUAAUUGUAUUAUAAAGGAUGGGUAAGACAGCAUAAAUCAAUAGAUUCUUUCAAUUGAGGAUGAGACUAUUCCGAAAUCUUUUAACCAUCUUCUUCAUCAGAACAAGGUGGAUUUCAUUGAACAGUUCAAUGAGAAGCUUCUUGUCAAACAAAGGAACAAGAACACCAAAUUCUUGAUGUAAGUCGUUGUUUUUUGUCUUAUAUUUGUAUAUUACUUUGUAGCAUGCUUAGCACGAAGACUAGAUACCAAUGAACUGUAUGAAGAAAGAAAGUGGAGUUAACAAACUUACUUGGUUAUGUCCCAUAGUGCGCACCAAACAUGCACUUGAUGUUUACAUCCUAUAAAAUCUAUACGAGUCCGCAACUUGGACAAUAGAUUCUUUCAAUUGAGGAUGAGACUAUUCCAAAAUUUUUUAACCAUCUUCUUCAUCAGAACAAGGUGGAUUUCAUUGAACAGUUCAAUGAGAAGCUUCUUGUCAAACAAAGGAACAAGAACACCAAAUUCUUGAUGUAAGUCGUUGUUUUUUGUCUUAUAUUUGUAUAUUACUUUGUAGCAUGCUUAGCACGAAGACUAGAUACCAAUGAACUGUAUGAAGAAAGAAAGUGGAGUUAACAAACUUACUUGGUUAUGUCCCAUAGUGCGCACCAAACAUGCACUUGAUGUUUACAUCCUAUAAAAUCCAUACGAAUCCGCAACUUGGAGUUAAAGUUAGCAUAAGUGAAUUCCUGUUAAAAUAUUUUGUACAUGUACAUAAGGCGUUCCUUUUUCAUUUGCUAUUUUCAUUCGUUCUCCCACAUUUUUCAACACUAAAAUCAUAUGACUUCAUCAAUUUCAGCACGAGUAAAAAAAAUACUACUCACAGCUUCAUCUUCAUCAACUUUUUCCCAUGAUAAUAUACAAGUUUCACUUCUUUUUGUGCUCGUAUUUUUGUUUAGGUUUGGCAAUUAGAUAAGCUUAGCUGCUUUUAUUUCUUUCUCGUCCAUUUUUUUAGUCUA
Molecule: long non-coding RNA, 90514 nt
Filed under: Olea europaea (common olive)
Lineage: Eukaryota; Viridiplantae; Streptophyta; Magnoliopsida; Lamiales; Oleaceae
Description: long non-coding RNA (OEUR_LNC004917)
Source: RNAcentral